Molecule: long non-coding RNA, 104488 nt
Filed under: Citrus x clementina
Lineage: Eukaryota; Viridiplantae; Streptophyta; Magnoliopsida; Sapindales; Rutaceae
Description: Citrus clementina (C. clementina) long non-coding RNA (CCLE_LNC002336)
Source: RNAcentral
UAUGGGGUGGUACAGGUGAAACUUGUGGUUGGUGUUGAAAAAGAAGUGAAAAGCCUUACCAGCCACCUUGAAGCCAUUCAAGUUGUGCUCGAUGAUGCAGAGGAAAAGCAAGUGAAGGACAAAGCUGUUAGUCUUUGGCUGGGUAGGCUCAAGUACGCAUCCUACGACAUUGAAGAUGUGUUGGAUGAGUGGAUCACAGCAAGACGCAAAUUGCAAAUUGAGGGUGGCGUUGAUGAAAAUGCUCUUGUUGUUCCUCAUAAGAAAAAGAAGGUAUGUCUCUGCUUUCCCGGCUCUUGUUUUGGAUUCAAACAAGAAGAAUUUGGUUUCAAACAAGUCUUUCUCCGUCAUGACAUUGCCGACAAGAUCAAAGAAAUCAAUGAAGAGCUACAUGAUAUUGCCGCUCAAAAAGACAUGUUUGAUCUUGUUAAGAGUGGCAAUAAAAGUAGUGAAAGACCAAGGCGUGUACAGAGUACCUCCUUGAUUGAUGAGGAAGAGAUUUGUGGUAGAGUUGGUGAGAGGAAUGAACUCAUAAGCAAGCUGUUGCGUGAGAGUAGCGAGCAACAAAAAGGCCUCCAUAUCAUCUCAAUUGUUGGUAUGGGAGGCAUAGGGAAAACUACUCUUACACAACUAGCUUGUAAUCAUGAUGAGGUGAAGAGAAAGUUCGACAAAAUUCUGUGGGUGUGUGUAUCAGAAACUUUUGAGGAGUUUAUGGUAGCCAAAGCGAUCGUUGAAGUUUUGGAUGGUCGUGAAUCUCAUUUAGCUGAAUUCCAUUCUCUUCUUCAACAUAUUUAUGAAUCAAUUGCAGGGAAGAGCUUUCUUCUUGUCUUAGAUGAUGUGUGGGAUGGAAAUUACUUGAAAUGGGAACCAUUCUACCGUUGUCUAAAGAAUGGUCUCCAUGGAAGUAAAAUUUUAGUUACCACACGUAGUGGGUCUGUUGCAUCCACGAUGGGAUCCACAGAUAUUAUCUCCGUCAAGGAGUUAGCUGAAGAGGAAUGUUGGUUGUUGUUUAAAAAGAUAGCAUUUUUUGAUCGGUCCAUCGAGGAACGUGAAAAAUUAGAACAAAUUGGGCAAAGAAUUGUAGGCAAGUGCAAAGGUUUACCUCUUGCAGCAAAGACAAUAGGGAGUCUCAUGCGUUCUAAACAAACUGAAGAAGAGUGGAAAAGAAUUUUAAAUAGUGAUUUAUGGAAAGUAGAAGAGAUUGAGAAAGAUGUUUUGUCCUCUUUAUUGUUGAGUUAUAAUGAUUUGCCAUCUAGAGUAAAAAGAUGUUUUUCAUAUUGUGCUGUCUUUCCAAAAGACUACGAUAUAAAAAAAGACGAACUAAUCACAUUAUGGAUGGCUCAAGGUUAUCUUAGUGCGGAACAAGAUGAAGAGAUGGAGACAGUAGGUGAAGAGUAUUUUGGCAUCUUAGCUUCUCGCUUGUUUUUUCAAGAGUUUAAGAAAAGUUAUGAUAAUCGUAUUAUAGAGUGCAAGAUGCAUGGUAUGGUACAUGAUUUUGCCCGAUUUGUAAGUCAAAAUGAAUGUUUUUCGAUGGCAAUUAAUGGUAGUGAAGAACCAAACGCCACAAACUCUCUUGAUGAGAAGGUCCGUCAUUUAAUGUUAAUCUUUAGUAAAGGGGCUUCAUUACCUGUUUCCACUCGUAGAGUUAAAAGAAUGCGUACCCUCGUAAUUAACGAUAGUAGAUCAUUAAAUGGCGAGAUCCUAGAAGAAUUAUUUAGGGAAUUGACAAGUUUAAGGGCAUUAGAUUAUGGCGGAUCGCCCCACUCAAGGCCGUUGUUGACUGCGGAGGUUCCAAGAAACAUAGAAAAGCUGGUACAUUUGAGAUACCUUAAUUUGUCUUUUCAGAAAAUAGUGAAACUACCGGAGACAUUGUGCGAGUUGUAUAAUCUAGAAAAGUUAGAUAUUAGUUGUUGUUUGUAUCUUAGAGAAUUACCUGAAGGGAUUGGGAAGUUAAUAAACAUGAAGCAUUUACGAAAUAGAGGUACUAGUUCUUUAAGGUACAUGCCAGUAGGGACUGGGAGAUUAACGGGUCUUAGGACCUUGGGUCAGUUCCAGGUGAGUGCAGGAGGAGGUGUUGAUGGUAGGAAAGCAUGUAGGCUUGAAUCUCUUAAAAAAUUGGAACACCUUCAAGUAUGUGGUAUACGUAGACUGGGUGAUGUAUCAGAUGUGGGCGAGGCUAAGCGAUUAGAACUUGACAAAAAGAAAUACCUCUUCAGUUUGACCCUUGAGUUUGAUAAGAAGGAAAGAGGAGGAGAAACGAGGAAGAACGAGGACGAUCAACUUCUUCUUGAAGCCCUGCGACCACCUCUGGAUUUAAAGGAAUUAGUGAUACGGUACUACCGAGGCAACACUGUUUUCCCCAGCUGGAUGACGUCAUUAAUCAACUUAAAGAGUUUAGAUCUCUCUUCCUGCGAAAAUUGCGAGCAGCUGCCUCCUUUGGGAAAAUUGCCGUCCCUUGAAAAACUCGGCCUAUCGGACAUGAAGAGUGUGAAAAGAGUGGGUGAUGAAUUUUUGGGGAUAGAAAGUGAUCAUCAUGGCUCAUCUUCAUCUUCAUCGGUUAUUAUUGCCUUCCCCAAAUUGAAAUCACUCUCAAUUGAGUUUCUGCGCGAAUUGGAGGAGUGGGAUUAUGGGAUUACAAGAACGGGAAACACCGUCAUCAACAUCAUGCCACGUCUUUCUUCAUUGACAAUUGUUGAUUGCACCAAAUUAAAGGCACUGCCCAACCACAUUCAUCAAACGACAACGUUGAAGGAAUUGUGCAUUGUGGAUUGUGAGCUUCUGGAAGAACGUUACCGCAAGGGGGAAGGAGAAGACUGGCCUAAGAUAUCACACAUUCCCAACAUAGAUAUUUUUUAAGAAGGAUUUGCGCAUUCGAGAUUUGGCGUUGACAAGUAAUUUCUUCUCUUACUCUGAUUUGCUUUGUUGUUGUUUUUAAUCUAAUUAAGAAGCGUAAAUAGCAUUUUGAAUCAAACUCUAUAUCCGAAAUCUGCAAUACAUACUUUCUAAUAUUCUGAUUUUCAUAUCCUACCAUUUUUAAUUUGUGAGAUGGGUAACGUUACUGUAAAAGAUUAUUAAUGGAACAUGAGUAAUUCUUUUGCAGGACAAGUGACCUACAUUUAGUUUGGCUUUGGAGUUGAAUAAUAACCUUUCAAGGCCAGGACCCAAAAGCAGGAAAAACAAAAAAAGGAACGAAGCUUAAUUUUGCCACAGAUUACAUGUAUUGCCAUUAUUGACAAGUUUCUGGACAAGUGAUCAAGGGUGAGAGUGGUGCUACAACAUUGAAUAAAGCAGUCGUGACUGAAUUUAGGUUGUGUCAAAAGUGGUAAAUUAUUUGCAUGUGUAGCUAAUUUGACCAUUUCCUGAUCUAUAAGUCUAUAUUAAUUUUGAUUUUUAGUUGAGUGAUUACAUUUCAAGGUUUGCUUACUUAACAGGGCGACCAAUUUCUUUUAACUAAAUGUAUUAUAUGAUGCAGGAAGCAAGGCAGGAUAUGAAAUAAGAAGCUUAUUAAUGGCAGUUGGCAGUGAAUGGAGGCCCUUGACUAAAUUCUCAAGCGGUUGCACUGCAAUUACGCUUAUCCGUAGCCUCAGGUAAUUUCUUCUUCUGCAUUUUUGUAAUUUGUUAUCUAAUUAAGGGGCGUGAGCUAUUUUGAAUCAAAUUCUAUAUCAGGAAUAUAUGCAACAUUUUUUAAAAUUUUGAUAUGAGAGUAAUGAUGGUAAUUUCUCUUUUUUGUCUGUCAUCGAAUGUUAAAUAACAUUCACUAAGACUCUUGAGAGUCAUUUUUUGACAAUUGCAGGACAAGCGACGAAGAGUGAGAAUGGUGUUAGAUUGGGGAUUGAGGCAAAAGGAGGUAAAUUAUUGGCAGAGAAUUUGGGAGCUUGAGUGUACAGGGAUUUGCAAUUACAAUCUUACUCUGCCUUAGGUGAUUUCUUCUCCUGCUUUGUCAUUGGUUGUUCUCUAGUUGAAAAGCAUAAAGUAUUUCAAUCAAAUUCUAUACCAAGAAUAUGCAAAACUUUAUUUCCAUCUGUUUGCAUUGAUAACUUUGCGGCAUAUGCGCUAGUUAAAGAACAAACAGAAACAGAGGUCAGGAACAAGUUUCCUCUGCCGUCAUAUUUGAAAAUGCAACCAUUUCCGGGAAGUAGUUGGCAGCAAAUUCAUAUAAAGUGUAGACAAUAAUGAGCAAAAAGGUGAUUCACAAUUUUAUUUUUUUUAAAUUAAUUGUUAGGUUGGAGUUGUUAAAAGGCCAUUGAGCUAACCUAUGUCAUUAGUUACCUAGAUUGCAGGGGGUCCCGAGACUCCAAAGAAGCAUUGAAUUUUAAAAGGCAUGCAAUAAUUCUUGUGGGCGUAUGAGUUUGAUUUAGAAUCAAACUCUAGAUCAGAAAUCUGCAAUGCAUAUUUUCUAAUAUUCUGAUUUUCAUAUCCUACUAUUUUUAAUUUGUGAGAUGGGUAACGUUACUGUAAAAGAUUAUUAAUGUAAUAUGAGUAAUUCUUUUGCAGGACAAGUGACCUACAUUUAGUUUGGCUUUGGAGUUGAAUAAUAACCUUUCGAGGUCAGGACAACAAAAAAAUGAAUCUUAAUUUGCCACAGAUUGCACUUAUUGCCAUUAUUGACAAAUUUCUUCACAAGGGAUCAAGGGCGAGGAUGUUGAUAGAAUAUUGAAUAAAGCUGCCGUGACUGAACUUACGUUGAUGUCAAAAGAGGUAAAUUAUUGGCAUGCCUGACUAUUUUGACCAUUACAUGAACAUGAGUUUACAUUAAUUUUGAUUUUGAGUUGAGUGACUUUUUAAGGUUUGCUUACUUAACCGGGUGAUGUGAUGCAGGAAGCAGGGCAGGAUAUGAAAUGAGAAGCGUAUUAGUGGAAGUAUUGCCAGUAACAGAACCCAAAAAAAAGUGGAACCAUUUUAAGGCAGCAGUUGGCAGUUGGGAGUGAAUGGAGGCCCUUGACAAAAUUCUCAAGCAGUUGCAAUGCAAUUACGAUCAUCCUCAGCCUCAGGUAAUUUCUUCUCCUGCUUUGUUGUUAUUUGUUACCUAAUUAAGAAGCAUAAAGUAUCUUGAAUCAUUUUCUGUAUCUGGAAUAUAUGCAACAGUCUCUAAAAUUUUGAUGACUGUAAUGAUUGUAGUUUCUGCUUUCUGUCCGACAUCGAAUGUAAGACGACUUUAUUAAGACUCUUGAACCGAGACAUUUUUGACAAUUGAAGGGCAAGUGCUGAAGAGUGGGAAUGGUGCUAGAUUGGGGAAUAAAGCAAAAGGAGGUAAAUUAUUGGUAGUUUCUGCAGCCUUGUUUUCUUUGAAUCAGCACCUGAUUCACAAGACUCCAUUAAUUUGGCUUUUGAUGAGCUGAGUGAUAAAUUUUCAAUUUCUUUGGUGCUAAAUGUAUGUGUGAAGCAGGUAGCAGGGCAUGACUGUGGAAAAGAGAAGAUUUUAGUGAAAGCUGAAACUCAGAUAAUUCUACAUUUAUCUAAUUCACGAAAUUUUAUUUCCAUCUGUUACAAGAUCAAACUGAAGCAGAACUCAAAGAAAGUAAUCUACUUCUUGCGGCAAUCUUGCCUUCGCUCAGAUUAUGAAACCAUUUCCAUGCACCAAAUUCAUCCAAAAGUUUGAAUAAGUUUCAUGGUUGGACACUGUUGGCUUCUUUUUCUUUUGGGGUGCAUUUUGGUGCUACCAAGUGACAGCUGCAAGUAUGAUUGCACUAACCUGCUGCUGGGAAAUUUGAGGUUUUGAUGGCUGCCCAUGUUAUUGUCAAGAAACUCCUCAUGUAAGAAGCUGUGGUUCUUUUCAUCAGCUUGAACCUGAAACUGUUGCUAUGGAUAACUCACGUUUUUAUUCUCAACUAUAUCAUCUUUUUUAGUGUUUUGAAACUCUUAAGAUUAAACUUUGGUAAAAUGUUUUCAGUUAUCCAUGUAAUCAGGCUGAGGAUAAUUUAGUAAAGUUGUUUCCGCUAUUCAAAUGAAAAACCCCAUUGAUUUUAACCAUGAUAAAGCUAAUGUUCCCAAUGAUUACUGCAGGUGAGACUUGUGAAGAGGGUGAGUGAGGCAACUGCUAAAAUUCCUGGCUGGGAUACAGUAACUAGAGGCUGAGAUCAGGUGGUGGAAUUUUUUGUUCCGUGGAUGAUACCAGAAUUGUCCAGAAAAGAUUUGUUGAUACUAAUUACAGAUGAUAGAAAGAGGUAUAGGUGGAGAAGAGAAAUCUGCGAGUCAAAUUAGGGAUAAUUGAUUCUGAUACUAGUUAUAUUGAAAAUAAUAAUAACAAUUGCAUGAAGAUAGUCAAUAUUCUUCUCUAGAUAUAUUGUAUGGACUUCCUUGCUGCCUUUAUCUAUGUGCAUGUUGACUAAAGCUAAUCUAGAAUCAAUAGAGAGGGAUAUUUAUCUAUUUUGUUUAACAUAAGAGUGCUGUAUAAUUUUUCACUAAAUACACCUACAACAAACUAUUAAUAAUAAAGUGAUAGAAGAAUGCCUAAAAUAUAGGUAUUAAUGUCAUAAUAAGCCCAUGUGGAUCUCAGUGCCGCAAGUUCGAUAAAUGGCUAUCAAGGAUUGCUUAUUAAGUCAAAAUAUUCAAAGGACAAAAUGGUAAAACUAUAAGGGUGGAGUAAUAUGGCUAUCUUGGGUUACAUAGUAAGUCAACUACAUUCAAAGUAUAAAAUAUUAGAACCUGAACGGCGGAGUAGUCGUCGUUAGAACCUGAACGGCGGAGUAAUCGUCGUUAGAAUCUGAAUGAUAUGUCUAAGACGUUGCAUGCAUCUAGAAAAUUGCAGAUGAUUAGACCUUGCCAUCUAUGCGUUGUAUGAGGUUAUAGCAACUAUCUAUCUGGUCACCGUUUUCAAGUCUCAAUUGGUAGUCCAAACUCCAAAGAAAAGAAUGAUUCUACAAUAGCAUUAAGUGUUAAUUGGACACAAAAAGAAAUGUUUUAACCACUUUAAGGAAAGUAAAUGUAAUUUUGUGUCCUAAAGAAAAGGUAAAUGUAUGCACUGUCAAUUAAUCUUUGGUCGACCAGCAACAUCAUAAUUUUGUGUAGGUUCAUUUUUGUUUCUUAGAGUUUGUAAAAAGAAUGGGAAGAUUUUAAAAUAUAAAUUUCAUAUCUGUUUAUUACUGUUGUUUGGUCUAAUUUCUUAUGUAGAAUUUUCAGAAUCUGUAGGACAUUAGUUUAUAAUUUUGAGAUUUUGCAGCCAUAAAUGUUUUUUUUUUCUUUUUUCUUUCUUUUUUUUUUUGUUGGCAUUUUAUUUUGCUCCUUUAUCUAUGUGCAUGUUGACUGGCUGCAGUGAGUGAAAAUUUACCCAUAUAUGCUGGCUAUUCUUGGACAAUAUUAGAGAAAAUAAUCAUAUUAUUUCGCUUGAUGUGAACUUCCAUAACUUAUCAAUUGAAUUGCUGUAAAAUAUUAAAUAGUUUUAUUUUUCUUUUAUCGUGUAACUUGGACCAAAAAAGGAAAUGAGUUUAACACGACCCUCAUUCUGCUUCUUGCUUUGGUUUCAAACAAGUCUUUCUCCUUUAUGACAUUUAUUGUAAUUUCAUUUGGAGACAUAUAUCUGUCGUUCAAAUAUAUUUCAUACGUAAGCUGUUAAUAAUUCUGCUUGCAGAAAGCCUACAAAGCAGCUGUGUGAUGUAAUAGAAGACCAUAGUCUCGUCAAUUUUUCAACAUUAGAUAUUCAGGUCAUCAGCUUCUCAUGAAUUCUUUCCUGAGUUUCUUUGAAUUAUUUGUGAUGUAAUAACUUGUGCAUUUGAGAAACUGUUCUCAUGAAUUCUUUCCUGAGUUUCUUUGAAUUAUUUGUGAAUAAGUUCCUAAUCGGCUGCUUCUCCUCAGGAUAAGGAAAGUGUUGCAAACUGGUGAAGCAGCUGAUAGAUAAAAGCAAUGGGUACAUCUUUGCUGGCAUGGAUCGAUGCCAGUGCGGUUGAAUUCAGCAAGACUGCCGUUCGUGAUGUUGUUGAUUGGGAUUACAUUAAGGAUGAUGACAACAUUGAUUAAAAUGGGACGUGAAGAUAUAUGGUGUGCAAAUUAACCCAACCCAACCAAACCCGUACAUUUUAUCAACCCAACCCAACCCAACCCGUAAAAAAUCACACGGAUUAGGUUGGUUUCACGGAUUGGGCGGGUUAAUUCUAAUUUCUUUAUAAGUUUACCAAAAUUAGAUCUGCUUACCUUUGUUCAUUCAGCAACAACACUUACAAUUCACAGCUAGAGAAUCUAUCCAUUGACAAUUGUGGAUUAAAAUUAUAACACCUGAAUUCAAACAUAUCCUUAUGAAGUUAUGAAUUUGUUCAUACUUCAAAUGAUUUUUUUUUUCCAAGCUAAUAAAGCAACGACUUUGAUCAAACGACGACGUUGAAGGAAUUACGUAUUUUCAAUGUCCUUUGCCAGACAGACGCUGGAGAGAGGGAAAGGAGAAGACUGGCCUAAUUAAGAUAUCUCACAAAGAUUAUUAUUGAGUUAAAAUGUUAUUGUAAAAGAUGUUUAAUACAAUAAUAGUACUUCUUUUGCAUUGUUAUAAUGAGGCUGGCGGGUUUCCUCAGAGGAUGGAUCUGGCUCGCUAGUAUGCAUUUGGGAAGCUGCUAAUUAUCGGCCAUAAAAAGUCAGGGGGUUGUGGCUCGUCCGUCGCCCAGAAAUUCCUAAACUCAUAUAUCAAACUUCAGAUGAACUUGGGCAUUAUGUAAAUAUGUAUUUUUGAGAAUUAAACUAGUGCGUUAGAAAAAUUUUGAGCCAUUGUAAUCAUUUUAUUUUGCUAAGAGAAAAUUUUACUCUGUGUUUCGCUUUGCCUUUUGUUUUUUCUGUGAUAAUAUGAUUCAUACGAAUGUGAUUACACACUAUCAUGCAUCUAUUUUCAUUUGCUUGUCAUGAAUGAUCAACAUGCUCGAAAUAUUUAUUUAGGUUGGAAAUAUUUAAAUCUAUUAAAAUACUAUACACACCCAUUUAAAAAUAAAAAUAUGAUUAUCAUAAUGAUCGCGAAGAUAACACGAUAUCAUACAUAAAAUAAAAUAUUUCGCAAAAAAGAAAAGAUACACUUGAAUACAUUGGUAUAAAAAAUAUUUUAGUGGAUUCAAGUAGCACUAAUGCCCCCUUAUCAAAAAAUAUAUAAAGAUAACUAAUCUGAUUGGGUAUACCGUGUGUGUGUGUAAUAUUUUUUGAUAUUAUUAUAUAAUAUUUUUUAAAAAGAAGAGAGUGGGCAAAGUCCAAAUCAAUUUUCUAAUCCCUAUCUCCUUUAGGAUUUCUAGUCAAAGAGGCUAAAUUGCACGAAAUUGUGCUAGCUUAUUUGAUUUUAAAAUUUUCCAAUGCACUGUAACACACUCUCAUGCUUGUACAUAGCUCGAAAAUCUCUAGAAUUUACCAGAGUAGUGUACCAUGUAGCUUGUACAUAGGUUUUUCUGGAACACUCCAAGCGUUACUAAGCAUAAGAGCUUUGAGAACUCUCUAGACAUAAAACAUUCAAGGGUAGGCCUACCCUAAAAAUAGGGCAUGAUGAUUGCCAUUUGAGCAUACAAGAAGUAAGAACAAAUCAAGUAUAUUUGUAAGCUCCCAAACUCUCUCGUACACACUCUUGUGAAUAAUAUGCUUUCUCUUUGACUACAUUACUCUCUCUUCUCUCUAGUUUUUUUCGUAAGUAUCAUAGCUUAGCUAGUCGAAAAGUUCAAGUAGGAAUGAUAAUUUUUCCUGACAGGAUGUGGGAUCCCAUCUCAUUUGGGACGGGAUUGGGACACAUUUUUAUCCCACAAAAAAAUAUAGGGACGGGAGUAGAAAUUUUUUUAUCCCACUUGUAUAUAUGGGACAGGACUGAGAUUAACAAAUUCAGUCUCGUCCCGUCCCGUCUCAUUACCAACUAGGGAUGGAAAUUUUUCCAAUUGGGAUGGGCUCUCGCAGAAUCCCAUUUAUUUUGGGAUGCAAUUGAGACAUAUUUUUAUCCCAAAAAAAUAUAUCGAGAGUGAGACUUUUUUUUAUCCCACUUGCAUAUUCGGGACGAGACUGAGAUUAGUAAAUCUCACCCUAUCCCAUCCCAUUGCCAACCCUAAGUUCAAGGCUUACUUUGCAAUUAUCUCAUAAAAGUUGUUUUAAGUACCACAGGAGUUUGUUGUGCAAAAUACUCAUCCCGUGACAUUAGCUAAAUAAAAUUAUUUGAAAGCCACUUACCCAAACUAUUAAACAAAUAUUAUUCUUUUAAUAUGUAAUCUUUUAAUAUAAAACUUUUGUCUUAAUUUUCUAUCUCCUACAAUAAAUUUUAUGAUUUUAAAAAUUGAAAAAAUUAGUAACUUUUAGAUAGAGCAUUCCUUACUGUGAAAAGAAAUAUGAAUGGUAAUAUAAAACUUACUUAUUAUAGUAUAAUGCUUUUAGUUUUUUGAAAUAUAGGUUCUUAUUUUUUUCAAGAUAAAGUUCAAAGAAAACAAGUUAAAUGUUGUGGAAAAUCUUACGCACAUACAAUAAAUUAUGACAGCUAAAUGCAAACCUGGCUGAAGUAUUAGUUGUUUUAUUACAGAGACAAAAGGACAAUAUCACUAUCCAAGUCAAAAGCAACUCAAUGUGAGUCUUAGGGCACUCGCAGUGAAUCCCAAGAUAAACUAAUUUCACUAGCAAGUUGGAUACCAAAGAGUAAGGCUUCAGCCUCAAUUAUAUUAACAUUAGCUGAGUAAACAUUAAAUACCACAAUCAAUCUCAGAAAUCAUAAUUAAACUAUCAUGAUUAAAAAUAAAGUUUUUUUUUUAGAUAUCCGUUUGUAGUAUCUCUUUAGAUGACAAGUAGGAGAUAAAGUAAAUAAAUAUUGGUUGCGUAAAUAAAAAUAAAUAAAUUUUUUAACUGAAAAAAAAAUUCCUAAAAACUAAAUAGUUCAAACUUUUUUUAACAUGAAAUAAAUAUUUGAUGCGUAAAUAAAAAAAAUUUAACUGAAAAAAAUUCCCAAGAACUAAAUAGAUCAAACUUUUUGUUUAACAUCAUGGGUUUUGUAUAUUCAAUUGAACCGAACAACUAAAUUAAAUCGAAAUUACCAUGUUCGGUUCAAAUGAAUAGACGAAAACCGAACAGUUUAUAUUUUUAUGAACUGAUGGUGCGUUUACUUCAUGAAAUGAAAAUAUGGUGGAAUGAGAAUGUGUUAAAAUGAAAAUGAGGAAUGAGAAUGAGAUUCUAAUGUUUAUUUAGUAAAAAUAAAGGGAAAUGAGAAUGUGCUGGAAUGUCAUUGAUGUGUUUAUUUGACAAAAUAAAUGACAAAAGUAUCAAUUCGGAUCCUGCUAAUGAUAGUUUGCCAUAUCCUUUGUCAUUGAACUUUCUUACAAAUGCUGUGGUUUGUUGUAGUAUAAUUAGUUCAAUCAGAAACUUCCUUGAUGUUAAUAUAGAUAUGAGUGUGCUGUGAAUAUUGAGGACUUCAUUAGACUAAGUGAUGUGAUGAUGGAGCAUUCACUUGGUCCCAAUGGAGGUUAGUCAGCCCAUUGUUGUUUACUCUUUCUUGCUUUAUCACGCAAUGAUAUUCCUUUGCUUCACAACAAAUUUCAUGAAAUUAACUUCAAUCGAGUGGCUAUGUUCAUACGCUAUUGAGAUUUUAUGGACAAUGAUUUGGUAGACUUUAUAUGCCGUCUUCUUUCUUUUUGCAGUGAUAUGUUUGUAUGCAAUGCACUUGUACUUGUUCUAUGGUUUCUAAAGUAGGCGUUUUUAUGAUAAACUAGGUCUUGGGUAUUGUAUGGACUAUCUAGAGAAGAAUAUUGACUGGUUGCAGUCGAAAUUGGAACCACUUUUGAAAGGUAAGAAGUGGCCAUUUUCCUUCAUUCUAAUGCCAAUAAUGCUGUCAUGAGACUCAUAAAAAUUGUUAAAACGUUAAUGUUUUUGGUAUUUUGCAGAUCAUUAUCUUCUGUUUGAUUUUCCUGGCCAAGUUGAAUUAUUUUUUCUUCAUUCCAAUGCCAAGAAUGUUAUAAUGAGACUCAUAAAGAAGUUAAAUCUCAGGGUAUUGUUACAUCUUACGUCUAUGAAGGGACUCAAAGAGUUGAGAUGAAUUCAUCAUUAUUAUUUUGAUGCCAGAAUUGUGCAAUUCUCAGUUGCUUCCUUUCACAUGCAGUUGACUGCAGUGCAUCUAGUUGAUGCGCAUCUUUGCAGUGACCCCGGGAAGUAUGUUAGUGCUUUGCUUCUCUCGUUGUCGACGAUGCUACAUCUGGAAUUUCCCCCAUGUCAAUGUCUUGUCUAAGAUCGGCCUGAUUGAGAAUUAUGGAAAGCUAGGUGUGGUUUUAAGUGUAGCUCUCCUACUUGUUUGUUUAGAUUGAGAUAUCAGAUAUUGUCACAAGCUCCUAUCUGCUACAUUUCCUCACCAAUCAAUUACUUUGGGUAUGUUGCAGCUUUUAAUCUCGAGUACUAUACGGAUGUGCAAGAUUUGUCAUUUUUACAGCAUGCUCUGGGUCAGGACCCUCGUUCUGCUAAGUAUAGGUUUGAAUUCUAGCUGAAUCAAUGAUGCAAAUUAUGUCCAUUGCUAUUUCUGACUGUCGUUUCUAUCAUUUUCAAUUGUUACCUCCCCUUGCCAUCUACUGCCAUACUGCAAUGCCCACACAAAUGUUAUGAAAUUUGUCAAUGGAAAUGACAUUCUAUUUGUCCAGAGACAGCUCUUAGAUGCAAGUGAACAAUUUUUGGCUUUGGCCGUAGUACAGCCUUAGAUUUCAACUUGCCAUAUCUUGUCUCGGAAGUCAAAAGAAAGCAUAUAUGUUAGCCAAAUUUUAUUUGAAUUUCUUGUGUAACAAUGAAUGGGGAAAAAAAACAGUUCCUCUUUUGUUUUGAUCAGACUCAAUGAAUAAGUGGUUAAAAUGUGCCUGUACUAGAAAUAUAGAUGUGUGGUUUCAUAAAAUUUUCUUGAUCUUAAGAAAGAGUUAUCUUGAAAAGAAGAUAACAUGGGGAAUUGAACAACUAUACAGUCAUAUUGAUGUCUGUCAACUUGGGUCAUAUGGUGUCGUUUGGAUGGAGAUGUUAGGUCCCAGAUGGUAAACUUGUUAUCGAAUUCCAGUCUACUUCAUUCAUGCUUUGAUGACAUAUGUGGUGCAGCUUCUUAUCUAAGACCUGCAUAUGUUACAGUCAACAUUCUGUUCUGUAUUUGGCUGCCAUUCUUUUCAAUGAAUUCAAACCACUUUCUGAAUACUUGGAAAUUCAUCCAGUGUUGUCAUUGAGAUGCCAAUAUGAAAAGAAGCCAUAAUUGCCCUUGAUAGUAUGCUUAUUGAUUGCCUCUUGCCUCACUCAACCUCAGGAAUCUGCUUGUAUGGUGUUCUUCUAAUUUCAAUUGGAGAUAAAUAAUAUCUGUUGUUCAAAUAUAUUUUAUUUACAAGCUGUUAAUAAAUCUGCUUGCAGAAAGCUUACAAAGGAGCUGUGUGAUGUAAUAGAAGUCUACAGUCUGGUCAAUUUUUCAACCUUAGAUAUUCAGGUCACCAGUUUCUCUUGAAUUCUUUCUUGAGUUUCUUUGAAUUAUUUGUGAAUAAGAUCUUAGUUGACUGCUUCUCUUCAGGAUAAGGAAAGUGUGGCAAAACUUGUGAAGCUGAUAGGUAAAAGCAAUGGGUACAUCUUUGCUGGCAUGGAUGCCAGUGCAGUUGAAUUCAGCAAGAUUGCCGUUCGCGAUGUUGAUUGGGAUUAUUUCGGAUAUCCUUCUUUUCACCUAUUUUCAAUCUUGUUAUUCUCAUAUUCAUAAAACUUUUUGGUUAUUUAAUUAUGGUUCAUCAUAUGCAUCUGCAUCUUCUAACUUGUUCGUUUGAGAAACUAAUUUUGCCGUUAGGUAGGCUUCGAGCUUGAUGAGUUGAUUCAUGCUUUUUCAUAAAUGUACCAAAAUCAUGGAAACUUCUUUUUCCCAGAUAUUGUAUCCACACUUUUCCCAUAUAAUUGGGUCAGACAAGUUUUGCUUAACAAAGAUAUCUACAGUAGCCGAAGUGCAGGAGAAGUACAUUAAGGAUGAUGACGAUGUUAACUAAAAUGAGACGUGAAGAUAUGUGGUGUGCAAACCGUAAGCCUGCCUCUUAAUUUUGUGCAUGUUUACUUGCUUGUGAUUCACGUUUGUUAAUCUAUUUUGCUCUCUUGCAGGAGUUAUAAAGUUUUCAAUCAAUCAAACAUUUAACUCAAGUCCUUAGCUCUUCACGGCUUGAAUGGGUCAGAUAGGACAAGCGCCGAAGAGGUGGUUUUAAUCAAACCCCUCCUAAUUAUGAUGUAUGGUCCGAAUCUCGGACUUUUUGUACAAUAUCAAGCGAUUUUUUUUUGGUUGAAUCGGCUAGUGUACGCAAAUGUCGAUUAUUGAUUUUUCUCCAGUAUUGUUUGUAAUUACAAGAAACGAAGUAAUGAAAUUUAUCACUGCGUUCAUAGUUAUGCUUAAGCUCAAAGAUUACCGUCAAGAUCAUUUUGGGCCCUCAAAGAAACAUGAUGUUGACACAUGUAAAAUUAUGAAGCUUGUGAUUAAAAUACUUUUCACAUAUAUAUGUUAAGUUCUAUUAAUAAUUAAAUAUAUGAAUAAAUAUGGUCAAUGAGGAGAGGAUAAAAUAAAAUGGUUUCAUUUUUUGAAUUACCCAUCCGCUUCAAACUUCUAAGAAGUAGAUAUACAAUCAGUGGAAUACUGAAUUGAGUACGAGCUGCGGAUAACUUAUAAAAUUGGGAUACAAGCUUCAAGGAAAGUGUAUUGCUAUUCAAAUGUAGAUUUCAAAUUAAGAAGAUAUGCCAACAAAUUAUUCUAAAUGAUGAAAUGAGCUAUCUUGAUCAAAAGGUCAAGAACCUACCUUACUUCUCUUAGAGAUAACUUGCAUCAACCGUUGUGGUAUUGAUACUUGUCUUCAGCUAGUAAAAGUGAAAGUUUCACAAUUGAAAUAAAGCUAAGGGAAGAUGCUAUGCUCCAUUUAUUAUUAUUAUUAUUAUUGACGUGGUCGAGAAGUAAAGCCGUGCAUAUGAUGAAGUAUAAAUAAGAAUGCAAUAGCCCGGAAUUCAUUUACACAAACACUUCAAUAUCCUUUCGAUCACUUUUGCAAACAUCAAUUUGUCUCCUCUUGUAUUCACCAUGGUUGAUGCCAUCGUUUCCCCUCUCGUGGAGCAGCUGACUUCCUUCGCUGCUAAAGAGAUAAUACAACAGGUGAUCGAAGUUACACCCCCCAUAGUAUAAAUACUUCUAAUGAUUUUAAUUGGUUUUGUUUUUAUCGAAAACAUUAACUUUGCUUUAUUUUACGCAUUUAGGCAUUUUAAAUUUUGAAAUUUGAAUUGAAUUUAAUUAAAAUGUGAUUUAGUUAGUAACCACUUUUUUUUUUCAUUUAUAUUCUCAAUAACUACCCAUAUUUUGGUAACUUACUGUAACCCCCGUAUCUAAGAAAUUAUCAAAACCCACAAUUUUAACUCCACAUAAAUAUUCCAUGUUGAGCUAAGUUCGAUGUUGAGGUAAGUUUUUUGCAUAACAUUCAAAUUUGUCAAAUAGUCAUUAAUUUAAUGUUUAGUAAAAACUCAUCUCUGAAAAAUUUCAUAAUUUUCUUACAUUAUUUGAGUCUGGUAAGUGACUUCAUAUAAUUUCUUUUCAAUUUAAAUUUUAAUUUGGUUUCUGAUAUAGUCUCUUUACUGAAUUUAUAUCUUUUAUGAUUCUUGGAUUUUGGGCUCCAACUUUUUAGGAUUUGAUAGUCACAUUUUAUGGCAUGCUUAGAUUGAUGUUCAUGAUUUUUAGUACUCGUUAAGUGACUGAGAAUUUGACAAAAGUUUGAAAGGAAAUCCGUUUCACGAUUCUUAUGUGGAAGGUUCGUAAAAUCAUGAAAUUUGGAUAGGAUUCAUUAGCAAUAUGUACAAGACUGUCCAUAAAGUUUCAUAAUUUUUCAUUCGGUCGGGGGUGGUACAGGUGAAACUUGUGGUUGGUGUUGAAGAAGAAGUGAAAAGCCUUACCAGCCACCUUCAAGCCAUUCAAGCUGUGCUCAAUGAUGCAGAGGAAAAGCAAGUGAAGGACAAAGCUGUUAGACAUUGGCUGGGUAGGCUCAAGUAUGCAUCCUACGACAUUGAAGAUGUGUUGGAUGAGUGGAUCACAGCUAGACACAAAUUGCAAAUUGAGGGUGGCGUUGAUGACAAUGCUCUUGCUGCUCCUCAAAAGAAAAAGAAGGUAUGUUUCUGCUUUCCUGCCUCUUGUUUUGGAUUCAAACAAGAAGAAUUUGGUUUCAGACAAGUCUUUCUACGUUAUGACAUUGCCAACAAGAUCAAAGAAAUGAAUGAAGAGCUACAUGCUAUUGCUACUCAAAAAGACAUGUUUAAUCUUGUUAAGAGUGGCAAUAAAAGUGGUGAAAGACCAAGGCGUGUACAGAGUACCUCCUUGAUUGAUGAGGAAGAGAUUUGUGGUAGAGUUGGUGAGAAGAAUGAACUCAUAAGCAAGCUGUUGCGUGAGAGUAGCGAGCAACAAAAAGGCCUCCAUAUCAUCUCAAUUGUUGGUAUGGGAGGCAUAGGGAAAACUACUCUUGCACAACAAGCUUGUAAUGAUGACGAGGUGAAGAGAAAGUUUGACAAAAUUAUGUGGGUGUGUGUAUCAGAAACUUUUGAGGAGUUUAGGGUUGCCAAAGCAAUGGUUGAAGCUUUGGAUGGUCGUGAAUCUCAUUUAGGUGAAUUCCAAUCUCUUCUUAAACAUAUUGAUGAAUCCAUUGCAGGGAGGAGCUUUCUUCUUGUCUUGGAUGACGUAUGGGAUGGAAAUUACGUGAGAUGGGAACCAUUCUAUCGUUGUCUAAAGAAUGGUCUCCAUGGAAGUAAAAUUAUAGUUACCACACGUAGUGGGUCCGUUGCAUCCAUGAUGGGAUCCAUAGAUAUUAUUCCCAUUAAGGAAUUAGCUGAAGAGGAAUGUUGGUUGUUGUUUAACAAGAUAGCAUUUUUUGGUAGGCCUAUCGAGGAACGUGAAAAAUUCGAACGAAUUGGGCGAAGAAUUGCAGGCAAGUGCAAAGGUUUACCUCUUGCUGCAAAGAUAUUAGGGAGUCUUAUGCGCUCUAAACAAACUGAAGAAGAGUGGAAAAUAAUUUUAACUAGUGAUUUAUGGAAAGUAGAAGAGAUUGAGAAAGAUGUUUUGUCCUCUUUAUUGUUGAGUUACAAUGAUUUGCCAUCUAGAGUAAAAAGAUGUUUUUCAUAUUGUGCUGUCUUUCCAAAAGACUACAAUAUAAAAAAAGACAAACUAAUUACAUUGUGGAUGGCUCAAGGUUAUCUUAGUGCAGAAGAAGAUGAGGAGAUGGAGACUAUAGGUGAAGAGUAUUUUAGCAUCUUAGCUUCUCGCUCUUUCUUUCAAGAGUUUGAGAAAAGUUAUGAUAAUCGUAUUAUAGAGUGCAAGAUGCAUGAUAUGGUACAUGAUUUUGCCCGAUUUGUAAGUCAAAAUGAAUGUUUUUCGAUGGAAAUUAAUGGUAGUGAGGAACCAAACACCAUAAACUCUCUUGAUGAGAAGGUUCGUCAUUUAAUGUUAAUCUUUAGUAAAGGGGCUUCAUUACCUGUUUCCACUCUUAGAGUUAAAAGAAUGCGUACCCUCUUAAUUAACGAUAGUAGAUCUGAUCAUUCAUUAUUAAAUGGUGAGAUCCUAGAAGAAUUAUUUAGGGAAUUGACAAGUUUAAGGGCAUUAGAUUUUGGCGGAUCGUACACACAUUUUUCUUUGACUCUGGAGAUUCCAAGAAACAUAGAAAAGCUGGUACAUUUAAGAUACCUUAAUUUGUCUUGUCAGAAAAUAGUGGAGCUACCGGAGACAUUGUGCGAGUUAUAUAAUCUACAAAAGUUAGAUAUUAGUGAUUGUUUUAAUCUUAAAGAAUUACCUGAAGGGAUUGGGAAGUUAAUAAACAUGAAGCAUUUACGAAAUAGAAGUACUAGUUCUUUAAGGUACAUGCCAGUAGGGAUUGGGAGAUUAACGGGUCUUAGGACCUUGGGUGAGUUCCACGUGAGUGCAGGAGGAGGUGUUGAUGGUGGGAAAGCAUGUAGGCUUGAAUCUCUUAAAAACUUGGAACACCUUCAAGUAUGUGGUAUACGUAGACUGGGUGAUGUAUCAGAUGUGGGCGAGGCUAAGCGAUUAGAACUUGACAAAAAGAAAUACCUCAUCAGUUUGACCCUUGAGUUUGAAAAGAAGGAGGAAGGAGGAGGAAGGAGGAAGAACGAGGACGAUCAACUUCUUCUUGAAGCCCUACAACCACUUCUCAAUUUAAAGGAAUUAGAGAUACAGUACUACCGAGGCAACACUGUUUUCCCCAGCUGGAUGACGUCAUUAACCAACUUAAAGAGUUUAGAUCUCUCUUUGUGCCUAAAUUGCGAGCAGCUGCCUCCUUUGGGAAAAUUGCCGUCCCUUGAAAAACUCAGCAUAAUGUUUAUGCCUGUGAAAAGAGUGGGUGAUGAAUUUUUGGGGAUAGAAAGUGGUCAUCGUGACUCAUCUUCAUCUUCAUCGGUUAUUAUUGCCUUCCCCAAAUUGAAAUCACUUUCAAUUGAGUCUCUGGACGAAUUGGAGGAGUGGGAUUAUGGGAUUACAAGAACGGGAAACACCGUCAUCAACAUCAUGCCACGUCUUUCUUCAUUGGAAAUUAAUUACUGCCCCAAAUUAAAGGCACUGCCCGACCACAUUCAUCAAACGACAACAUUGAAGGAAUUGCGCAUUUGGGGGUGUGACCUUCUGGAAGAACGUUACCGCAAGGGAGAAGGAGAAGACUGGCCUAAGAUAUCACACAUUCCCAACCUCCAUAUUGGGCUUUGACAAGUAAUUUCUUCUCUUACUCUGAUUUGCUUUGUUGUUGUUUUUAAUCUAAUUAAGAAGCGUAAAUAGCAUUUUGAAUCAAACUCUAUAUCAGAAAUCUGCAAUACUUACUUUCUAAUAUUCUGAUUUUCAUAUCCUAUGAAUAUACGAUUUUUAAUUUGUGAGAUGGGUAACGUUACUGUAAAAGAUUAUUAAUGCAAUAUGAGUAAUUCUUUUGCAGGACAAGUGACCUACAUUUAGUUUGGCUUUGGAGUUGAAUAAUAACCUUUCGGGAACUGGUGUGGACUGGCAAAGGAUGAUGAGAUAGUUUUUUGAGUGAGUAAAUUUUGGGAGCUUGAGUGUAUUGGGAUUUGCAAUUACAAUCAUCCUCUGCUUCAGGUGAUUUCUUCUCUUGCUCUGUCAUUGUUUGUUCUCUAAUUCAAAAGCAUAAAAUAUUUCAAUCAAUUCUUAUACCACGAAUAUGCAAAAGUUUCUAAUAUUUUAUUUCCAUCUGUUACAAGAUCAAACUGAAGCAGAACUCAAACAAAAGUAUGCUACUUCUUGCGGAAAUCUUGCCUUUGUUCAGAUUAUGAAACCAUUUCCAUGCAGCAAAUUCAUCCAAAAGUUUGAAUAAGUUUCAUGGUCGGACACUGUUGGCUUCUUUUUCUUCUGGGGUGCAUUUAGGUGCUAUCAAGUGACAGCUGUAAGUAUGAUUGCACUAAGCUGCUGCUGGGAAAUUUGAGGUUUUGAUGGCUGCCCAUGUUAUUUUCAAGAAACUAUUGAUGUAAGAAGCUGUGGUUCUUUUCAUCAGCUUGAACCUGAAACUGUCGCUAUGGAUAACUCAGGUUUUUGUUAUCAACUAUAUCAUCUUUUUCACUAUUUUGAAACUCUUAAGAUUAAACGUUAGUAAAGUUGUUUCAGCUAUUCAAAUGAAAAACUCAUUGAUUUGAGACUUCCUUCAUUAUUGUUUCUAAUUACAAUGCUAACGAUCCAGAUAAGAUAAUAUUUAAUCGGCGAAGGUGUCCCUUGGAAGUACAUCCUUCUUUUUCUUUUAUUAUAUAAAUUCUUGCAAUGAGCUUAGUGAAGCUGUUGUGCUAAUCAUGCCACUGCAUAAUUUGGCCCCUAAUGUGGGUACUCUGUUACAUUGUUCUGCAAAUUCUCCAGAAGUUAAAAUCAAUAAAUUUUCUAUUAGCUCUAGUGCUUUGACCUAAAUGCUAUUCUAUAUUCUGAUUACAAUGUUUUAACCUUUAAAUUAACUACCCCUAGAUGUUGGAUUUUCUAGAACUUCAAAUUAUAUAUAACCUUUAAAUUAUAUAUUUCUGUGUCUCUAUUUAUAGAUGACAUUUAAGCAUCCAUAAACCGUCAGACAGAGGAAGGGGGUUCAGUGCAAAGAUUCUGUUGACCUAGGGUUGACUGCAUAUGUCACUUGUUCGCAAUCUAAUAUUUAUUUUAUAUUUUGAAAAAUUUAAUGGGUAAUCCUAAUUGUUUGUUUUGGCAGGUAUGUGUUGUUAUCUCCUUCUAUCUUACAGUCGUACCUAAAUAGCAUAGUUUCAUCUGUGUUACCAUGUGAUGUACAUAAUUUCACAUUUGCCUCAGAUUAAGCUUAAUUUCCCACAGAAUAGAGCUGUCGCGACUGGACUUAGUUUGAUGUCCAAAGAGGUAAAUUAUUGGCAUGCCUAGAUAAUUUGGCCAUUUCCUAAUUCAUAAGUCUACAUUAAUUUUGAUUUUGAGUUGACUGAUUUCUUUUCAAGGUCUGCUUCCUUAACGGAGUGACCAAUGUUUUUCAACUAAAUUUAUCAUAUGAUGCAGGAAGCAGGGCAGGAUAUGAAAUGAGAAGCUCAUUGGUGGAAGUAUUGCCAGUAGCAGAACCCAAUGAAAAUGAAACUAUUUCAAGGCAGCAGUUGGCAGUUGCAAGUGAAUGGAGGCCCUUGACAAAAUUCUCAAGCAGUUGCAAUGCAAUUACGAUCAUCCUCAGCCUCAGGUAAUUUCUUCUCCUGCUUUGUUUUUAUUUGUUAUCUAAUUAGGAAGCAUAAAGUAUCUUGAAUCAUUUUCUGUAUCUGGAAUAUAUGCAAGAGUUUCUAAAAUUUUGAUAUGAGUGUAAUGAUGGUAAUUUCUGUUUUCUGUCUGUCAUCAAAUGUUAGAAAACUUUCAUUGAGACCCUUGAACCGAGUCAUUUUUGACAAGUGAAGUGCCGAAGAGUGAAGAGUAAGAAUGGUGCUAGAUUGGGGAAUAAAGCAAAAGGAGGUAAAUUAUUGGCAGCUUCUUCAGCCUUAUUUUCUUUGGACCAGUGCCUAAUUCACAAGUCUCCAUAAUUCGGCUUUUGACCAGUUGAUAGAUAAAAUUUUAAUUUCAUUGGUGCUAAUGUACCCGUGAAGCAGGCAGAGAAGGACUGUGGAAAAGAGAAGGUUUUUAGUGAAAGCUUAAACGCAGGUAAUUCUAUAAAUUAUAUGUUUUUGCUGAUUUAUCUAAAUCAGGAAAUUUUAUUUCCAUCUGUUACAAUAAAACAGAAACAGAACACAAAGAAAAAUAGUCUACCUCUUGUGGCAAUCUUGCCUUCAUUCAGACUAUGAAACCAUUUCCUUUCACCAAUUUCUUCCAAAAGUUUGAACACGUUUCAUGGUUGGACAUAGUUAGCUUCUUUUUCUUUUGGUGCAUUUAGGUGCUAUCAAGUGACAGCCAUAAGUAUGAUUGCAUUAUUGGGAAAUUUUAGGUUUUGAUGGCUCCCCAUGUUAUUGCCAAGAAAUUUUAAGUCCUCAUGUCAGAAGCUGCGUUUCUUUUCAUCAGCCUGAACCCGAACUGAGGUUUUUGUCAUCAACUAUAUCAUCUUUUUCACUGUUUUGAAACUCUUAAGAUUAAACUUCAGUAAAGUUGUUUCAGUUAUCCAUGUAAUCAGGCUAAGGAUAUUUAGCAGCUUAUUUAGGCAACUGCCAGAAUUCAGUUUGUUUGCUCGAAACUUGUAUGGUGACAAGGAUACUGGCAAGGAUAGUGAGAUAGAUUUUUGUGUGAGUGAAUUUUGAAAGCUUGGGUGUUCUGGGAUUUGCAAUUGCAAUCAUCCUCUGCUUUAGGUGAUUUCUUCUCCUGUUCUGUCUUUAUUUUCUCUCUAAUUGAAAGCAUAAAGUAUUUCAAUCAAAUUCUGUACCAGGAAUACGAAAAACUUACUAAUAUUUUAUUUCCAUCUGUUUGCAUUGAUAACUUGGCCGCAUAUGUACUAGUUAAAGAACAAACAGAAGCAGAGUUCAGGAAAAAGUUUCUUCGGCCACCAUAUUUGAAAAUGAAACCAUUUCCAGGAAGCAGUUGGCAGCAAAUUCAUACAAAGUACAGACAAUGAUGAGCAAAAAGGUGAUUCGCAAUUUCAUUUUUUAAAAAUGAAAUUAUUUGUUAAGUUGGAGCUGAUAUUGUUAGAAGGCCAUUGAGCUAACCUAUGACACUACUUGCCUAGAUUGCAGGAGGUCAAGACUCAAAAGAUGCACUGAAUUUUAAAAGGCAUGCAAUAAUUCUUAUGGCCAUUUGUCAAUGGUGGAAUGCUUUUAGCUUCUUUUCCUUUCGUGCAUUUUGGGGUUCUAUCAAGCGACAGCCGUAUGCAUGGAUGGAUAUAGCCGCUGCGUUGAUUUCUAAUGCGUUGUAUGAUGUUAUAGCAACUAUCCAUCUGGUCAAUGUUUCAAAAGAAUAAAACACAGGGAAAAAGAGAAAGCAAGUGGCCAAUCAAGUAUUCAUGUCCCAAAGAAAAGAAUGAUUCGACAAUAGCAUUAAGGGUUAAUUGGACACAAGAGAAGUGUUUUAACCACUUCAAGGAAUGUAAAUGUAAUUUUCUAUUCUGAAGAAAAAGUAAAUAUAUGCACUGUCAAUUAAUCUUUGGUCAACCAGCAACAUUCAUAAUUUCGUGUAAGUUUCAUUUCUGUUUGUUGGAAAUAGCAGUGUAUUUCUUAGAGUUUGUAAAAAAUGGAAAGAUUUUAAAAUAUAAAUUUCACAUCUGUUUAUUACUGUUGUUUGAUCUAUUUUCUUAUGUAGAAUUUUCGGAAUCUGUAGGACAUUAAUUUAUAAUUUUGAGAUUUUGUAGCCAUAAAUGUUUUUGUUCUUUUUUUCUUUUUUUUGUUGGCAUUUUAUUUUGCUCCUUUAUCUAUAUGCAUGUUGACUAAAGCUAAUCUAGAAUCAAUAGAGAGGGAUAUUUAUCUAUUUUGUUUAACAUAAGAGUGCUGUAUAAUUUUUCACUAAAUACACCUACAACAAACUAUUAAUAAUAAAGUGAUAGAAGAAUGCCUAAUUUUUCGUACUUUUUAAUUUCUUUCAGCCCUAAAAUAUAGGUAUUAAUGUCAUAAUAAGCCCAUGUGGAUCUCAGUGCCGCAAGUUCGAUAAAUGGCUAUCAAGGAUUACUUAUUAAGUCAAAAGUAUUCAAAGGACAAAAUGGUAAAACUAUAAGGGUGGAGUAAGAUGGCUACCUUGGGUUACAUAGUAAGUCGACUACAUUCAAAGGAUAAAAUAUUAGAACCUGAACGGCGGAGUAGUCGUCGUUAGAACCUGAACGGCGGAGUAAUCGUCGUUAGAAUCUGAAUGAUAUGUCUAAGACGUUGCAUGCAUCAAGAAAAUUGCAGAUGAUUAAACCUUGCCAUCCAUGCGUUGUAUGAGGUUAUAGCAACUAUCUAUCUGGUCACCGUUUUAAAAGAAUAAGACAAAGGGAAAAAGAGAAAGAAAAGAAUGAUUCGACAAUGGCAUUAAAGUUCAACGUACCCCAAGAUCUUGUAAUAAUGCCAUUAAUCAUUCUCUAGCUAGGCUAGCCUUAGAGAAAAGUGAAACUGUUGCACAGGUAGAAUCACACCCCUCAGAGAUAAUGUAUUUAUUCAGCUCUUCGAAUGAAUGAAGUUUAUUUUCUCGUCAAAAAAAAAAACUGCUCGCUCCGCUGGUUUCAUACAAUGUCAACUAGAAACAUCAUACUUUCGUGUAAGUUCAUUUCAGAAUAUUUCUUAGAGUUUGUAUAAAAUGAAAAGAUUUUAAAAUAUAAAUUUAAUAUUUGUUUAUUACCGUUGUUUGGUCUAAUUUCCUCGGGAGAAUUUUCAGAAUUUAUAGGACAUUAGUUUAUAAUUUUGAAAUUUUGUAACCUAAAUGAUUUUUUUUUCGGUUACCAUUUUGUUUUCCUGCUUUAUCUACGUGUAUGUUGACUAAAACUAAUCUAUUUUGUUAAACCUUUACCACUCUAGACAUUGCACUAAAUAUGAGUUCGUGAUGCUUGCAUUUUAUUGAUGCUGAUGAUUCGUUGAAUGUUUUAUGUUUUUGAUUUUUAAGUAUUCCGGAUCGAAGUUUGUGUCUACGCGGAAAUUGUAAAGGCAGCAUAUAAAGUACUCGUCGUUCUUUAGAUUUUAUUGAGUACACUUUUGUCACAUUUAGCGUAUGCUAUACACUACUGAUUUGCGCAUUGACAUAUAUCUUUUUUUUUUAUGAGAGGGGGCUCGUCAAAACGAGCUAAACAGGAACAAACCGGGGGUUAGAAAUCCCAAACAAGUCUUGCGAAAUGAUAGAAUAAACACCCAUAGGAGGGUUAGAGAACACAUGGAGGCCAAGAGGAGCUGAAUGAGCCAUAUUAGCCAUGAAAUCCGCAGCUGAGUUUGCUUCGCGAUAAAUAUGGGUGAUAGCAGUCUGCCAAUUUCUACUUAGUAAUUCCCGGACAGCUGAUAAUAAAGCAGUGAACGCAUUAGGAACAACCACCUGCUUAGAAAUCAUUUGUGUAAUACAAAUACUAUCCACUUCCACCAACAACCGUUUUAUGCCUACAUCCCAAGCAAGAAUUAGGCCCUGAUACAGCCCCCAAAGCUCAGCCAUAAGCACUGACCUGUCCCCAAUUUUCAUACAAAAGCCGGAUACCCAAUGACCAACUGAGUCUCGAAUAACACCUCCCGCUCCUGCUUCCCAAGUAUUUUUACAGGAGCCAUCUGUAUUUAAUUUACACCAUGGCCAAGGCGACGGCAGCCAAUGAAUAUAAAUCUCCUGUCUCCUCGGCUGCUGGCUUAGGCAAGAAUUAUUUACUCUGCAAAUUUCUUUAGCUCUCGCCAUAACAUCCAUAUAGAUUGUUAGACUAUCCACCAGCUUUCCCUCAAAGAAAAAAUGGUUCCUCCAGAACCAUAGCCUCCAAACUACCACACCAAAGAUACAAUCCCAGGGGAGGGGAGACCCAAUCUUCCAUUUAUUUUGCAGGUUCCCAGCAAUCCAUUCUCGUAAGUUCGAAUUGAAGAAAGUGUUAUGACUGGCCAUCGGAACAAGCUUCCGCCAAACCUGCUUGAUACAGCUGCAGUCUCUCAAUGCAUGGAGGAUAUCUUCAACCGCACCCCCACACCUAUCACAAUCCUCAGGAACAUUAAUAUGGCGCCUAACAAGUUCAUCACGAGUCUUGAGUUUCCCAUGCAUAAGCUGCCAAAGAAAAAGGCGGAUGGAUUGAGGCCCCUUCCAACUCCAUGGAAGCUUCCAAUUUCUGUCAUGAACAGCAGCUUGAUGAUAGCAAAGUGAUUCAUAAGCUGACCGAACCGAAAACAUGCCGCUUGGAUCAAAGCCCCAGUAAAUAAUAUCAGCCCCAAGAUGAGGAGCCGGAGGCAAGACUGAAGCAAUCUGCAUGAGAAUACCAUGCGGCAGAAGAUGCUCAAAGCUCGACCAAUUCCAUCCCCCAUGCCCAUUCGUAAAGUCACUCACAGUGGCAUUGAUAAGCUCGUGAGGAAUCGGCAAGAUGGCAAGGCUGAUCAGAGGAUAUUUCGUAGCCCAACAAUCAACCCAGAAUCGAGUUCUAACACCAUCACGAACUGACCAGCGAGCUCCCUGCACUGUUGCCAACCACGUGCUACGAAUAGCCCUCCAAAUCUGAGAACCCGGUUUGUCUGAAAGAGACAUUGGUAGGUUGCGAGACUCCAAACCAUAUUUGGAGCAGAAGACUUGCACCCACAGUUUAUCCGAAUUGGAAACAACCUCCCAGCUCAAUUUCAUCAACAUCGCCUGAUUCAUUUCGUCCAUUUUUUUGAAUCCCAGGCCUCCAUGUUUUUUCGGCUUGCAAAUUUUGUCCCACCCCACCAUACUCAUCUUGUGACUCUUUGAAUUCCCAUCCCAAAUAAAUCUUCGACAAGCUUUGUCUAUUUUAUGUCUCACUGGAGAAGGAAGUAAGGUCGUUUGCAUGGCAUAAACAGGCAUUGCUUGCAGGACUGAUUGAGCCAGAGUGACGCGUCCAGCAAAAGAUAGAUGAGCCGCGUUCCAACCAGUUAACCGCUUAUCCACUUUAUCAAGGAUGGAUUGAUACGUGUAUUUAUUAACCCGCGAAUGGAUUAAGGGCAUUCCAAGAUAAUCACCCAAAUUAUUUGUGGCCGAAACUCCCAAAGUCGAGCCUAUGAUAUUGGCAUCCCGAGAAGCGACAUUUUUUGAGAAGAAAACUUUAGUUUUCAUUUUGUUGACUUUUGCUUCCGAACUCCUACAAUAAUUAUCCAGAACAGCAUCUACGACAUAAGCUUGAUCAAUUGAAGCUUCCGCAAAUAAAAGCAAAUCAUCUGCAAAAAAGAGAUGCGUUAAAGGAGUUCCAUAUUUGGCCAACCGGAUAAGCCUCCAUCUCCUCUCCAUCACCGCUUGGGUUAUACCAUGGCUUAACCGUUCAAUGCACAGAACAAAAAGAUAAGGCGAGAGGGGAUCGCCCUGACGGAUACCCCUUCCCGGAGUGAAAGCUUAUGUCGCCUCGCCAUUCCACAAAAUACGCAUACUAGCUGAAGUUACGCAUUCCAUGAUUAGUCUAGAUAAGUGAAUUGGAAUACCAGUCUGGUUAAGCGUAUCAAAAAUGAAAUCCCAACUGAGCCGGUCAUAAGCCUUCUCAAGGUCGACCUUAAUGGCCAUAAAUCCUUUCCUGCCAGUUUUUCUGCGCAUAGAGUGAACUACUUCCUGAGCCACUACAAUAUUAUCUACUAUAUGCCUCCCAGGAACAAAGCUCGUCUGAUUGGGGCUUAUUAGAUUGGGCAGCAGUGUUUGCAAUCGAGUGGCUAUAAUUUUAGUCACCGUCUUGUAGGCCACUGUGUAUAGGCUUAUGGGCCUAAACAUCUUUAAGCUAGUGGGGUGCUCCUCUUUAGGAAUCAAAACCAAGAGGGUAGUAUUUAUCUCUUGCGGCACCUUCCCCGUUGUAAAAAUAUCAUGAAUAAACCUGCAAAACGACGGACCAACCACAUGCCAUUGGGAUUGAUAAAAUAUAGCGUGCAAACCAUCCGUACCUGGGGCUUUCAGCGGCUUCAUGCUAAACACAACGUUCCGAAUUUCCUCCCUCAAAAUUGGGGCUGCAGCCCCAUCUACGUCAUGAGAAUCCAAGGCUGGGAAAAAGUUUGGAGCAUGGUAAUUCCGAUAAGUUGCAUUAUCACUUGUAAAUAGGUCAGAAAAAUACCCCACUACAUGCCUCCUUAUAUCCUCCUCAUCAUAUAGCCAAUUCCCCGAACAGUCUCGGAUGGCCUCAAUUCUAUUCCGCCGCCUUCGAGCAAUGGUUUUUUGGUGGAAAAAAUUCGUAUUUCUGUCCCCAUGCAGAAGCCAAUCCUUUCGAGAUUUCUGAAGCCAAAGAAUUUCCUCCGAUUCAUCACCAUUUCGAGCUCAUUUUGCAUGCGGGCUUAUAAGCGCAACAAACUGUUAGAGCUAUAAUUCUCUAGAGUAGCUUGAAUUCCAUUAAUCCGAGCCAUAAGCCGGCGUUUUCUCUGAAAGAUAUUCCCAAACACAUCUCGAUUCCAAGCUUGAACCUCCUGGACAAAAUGAGAGGCUGCUGCACUAUAAUGGAUUUGCGGAUUCCACACCCGCUUAAUAAAGUUAUGAAAAUGCUCGUGAGUUAACCAAGCAGCCAAAAAGCGGAAAGGCCUGUUCCUCCUGUGACCGGCCACAGCUCUCUCAAACCGAACCAGCACCGGCCUGUGAUCCGAGGCAACCUUCGGGAGGUGGAGGACAGAAUUAUUCGGAUACUUAUGUAGCCAAUCACUAUUGCACAGAGCUCUAUCAAGCCGUUUAAAGAGCAAUCCACGUGACCAAGUAAACCUUGGACCUUUAAACUUUAAAUCAAAAAUUUGGUGCCCAUCAAACCAUUUCCGAAACAGAUUACACACUCCUGGGUUCCUGGCCUCACCCCCCUGCUUUUCAGAGGCAUAUAAGAUAGAAUUGAAAUCCCCACCUAUCAGCCAAGGGCCUCGAAUUGAAGGCGCAAGGUUCUCCAUAUGGCUCCACAACUGUCUCCUUAGCAUUGGAUUUGGGCUGGCAUACACAGCCGUUACCCAAGACACAAAGGUCUUAUUCAUACAAAAUUUAAAGUGAAUGAACUGCCUAUGAUUAAUUAAGACUUCCACCUCUAUGGAAUUUCGCCAAAGAAGCCAAAUUCCUCCAGAAAAACCCACAGCUUCCACCCGGUGCGAAUACUCAAAUCCACUUUUCUUUAUAAAGUCAUCGGCUUUAGCACCACUAGUGCGAGGUUCCAUUAACACCACCAUCGAUGGAUUGUAGUUUUUAAUAAUUGUUUUAAACGAGCGCCUAAAUACCCCCGAGGCUGCCCCUUGUACAUUCCAGAACAUGAUACUAGCUGACAUAAUAAAAAUAACAGGAGAGAAACAAACGUCUACUGCUGCUGUCCAAGGACUUCCUCCAUCCACGCCAAUGGCGUUUCUUGAACCAUCUCAACUUCAUUCUCAACCAUCCCAUCGCCAUCAACACCAUUUAUAGGUACAACUGGAUGGUUAUGAGCACUGUCACCUUCAUUCACCCGAUGGAUGGUUUGAUCAUCUGGAGGGUCUGCUACUUGUUGUGGAUCCGGACCUUGCCUCUCUAUGUGUUCCGCGGUCACGUCCCUUUCAUCACCAUUAGGAAGGGUUUGGGAGGAGCAAACAAACACUGUGUGUUUAGAGGGGUCCAGGGUGGUUGCGAAUGGUGCCACGAGUUGAUUGCUAGAAGCUUUCUGAGGGAAAAUAUGGGGUUCAAAGCUUCGGUUUGCAUGAGGUAGGAUGGAUAUUUCCUUCUCUCUGGUGCUGAAGACACUAGGCUGGAGAGGGUUACAGGUAGGAGUUACUGGGACGUUUGGUUUCCUGCUCUGAUUCCUUGCUGCCACGGCCUUAUUUUGCGGCUUACGACGAGCCAUAGUCUUUGCUGAGGUAUCUGCUCUGGCUGUGAAAGUAUGGUUUGAUGCGGGCAUGAAAGGUUGCCGUGAGGUGGAAGGGAAGUCUGGGCAAGCCUCAUGCACAUGGUUUCCACCUUCAUCCGAGACUUUGGAUAAUAUGUGAAACCGUGAGGUACCAGCUCCAGUAAACUCCCUAUUACGGUUUGAGUCUCCAGUGUUCUCCUUACCAAUAUUCGGCUUCCUUCCUCUCCUAGUGGCAAUCAUCCAGGGUCCGAAUAGUUCCACAUUAUUAUCACCAUUACUACCUACAGCCUGCUGGCCAGGAGCCUCAUUUUCCGGCACUGCCUGUUGGGGUUGACCAGCAUCUUCAGGGCUUGUCGAACUCUUAGCAUCCUUACAGUUGCUGCUACUAUGCCCGUAAGAUUCCACACUUAUAACAAAUUACUGGCAAUCCCUCGUAUUCCACCUUCUGGAUCUUCCCAUCCAAUUCAAACUGAGAUACCAGCGGCCUUGUUAACGAGAUACUUACUGCAAGACGUGCAAAUCUUCCACGAGAUGAGGAGGCUGUAUUCGAAUCGAUUUUAAUCACGUUACCCACUAACUGACCCAGCUUCUGUAGAACUUUUCGAUUAUAAAGAUGAACCGCAAGGCCUGGUAAACAGAUCCAUACCGUGACUUGAUCAAGAUCCGCAUUUGUGAAAUCAAAAGAGGGUGUCCAUGGCUGCACAGUUAAAUAUUGACCCAUUAUAAGCCACGGUCCCUUAGUUAAAACAUCCAUAGCAUCCCCUACCGAUCUGAAACGAACCAGAUAAUAAUUGUUUUCCAAGUCAAUCACGGAAAAACCCAUGGCUGAUUUCCACAUGACAUUUAAUCUUGCACACAUAGCUCUAUAGCCAAUUGUGCGGCCAAGCAACUUCACAACCACCGAGUUCUUCCAAGGCUCACUUAACUUAGCAUGAACCCUAGCCGAAAAAGUGAUGGAUGGCAUGGGUCCCUCGUUAGUUUCAAUAAUGUCUCCUUCCUCAAAAUCCCAGUCCUCUAGUCCACCUCCAAUUCCUUGCUCCAUCGCUUGUGUUGCAUUCACUAGGGUUUCUUUGUACGAAAACUGUACAGUGGUAUCCCCAGCAUGUUCUUCAUCACGAAAUCUUGCUUUUUUAAUCGUUCUAGCCUCCCUAAACGGCGGGGGAAAAAUCCCUCCGGAGUUAGGGUUUCCUUCACGUCCGAGGUUUUCGGAGCCUUCCAUAUGGUGUUGAUCUUUUUAAGUCACUCGUUUCAAUAUUUCAUUUAUUUCCUUUUCAAGCUAACAAUUAAUGUAUAUGAAUGUGCGGAUGCAUUGACAUAUAUCUUAUUUUAUCAUUUUGAAUGAAUUGCACGGCGAGGCUUAUCAACUUUGGAUGAAUCCUCCAAUUGUCGCAGUCCAAGACUGGCUGCAGUGAGUGAAAAUUUACCCAUAUAUAUGCUGGCUAUUUUUAUUGGCGACGAAUUCGUUGUAGUUGGUCCAUCUUGCUAUUCUCGGACAAUAUUAGAGAAAAUAAUCAUAUUAUUUCGCGUGAUGUGACCUUCCAUAACGUAUCAAUUGAAUUACUGUAAAAUUAUUGUGUAAGUUUAGGCCCAAUGGCACUUUAGUUCAUCACAUGAUAGCCUGGAUUUAAAAGGAAAACUAUAUUGCAUUGCUUCAAAAAAAAAAUUUAAUGUUUUUAAUAUGAAUAUUUUUAACUAUAUUCAGUUAAAAUAAUAUAUUCUUAAUAUUAAUAUUCAUAGAUGAAAUUCUUUUGCGGAUUUAAGAAUAAAAUAUCAAAUAGUUUUAUUUUUCUUUUGUUGUGUAACUUGGACCGAAAAAGAAAAUGAGCUUAACAUGACCCUCCUUCCGGCACUAUGCAUGUUUUUCUUUUAUUUUUCUUGUAUUGAUGACAGUGCUCUUGGUGCUUCUCAUCUGCUUCUUGCUUUGGUUUCAAACAAGUCUUUCUCCGUCGAGACAUUUAUUGUAAUUUGAUUUGGAGACAUCUGUCGUUCAAAUAUAUUUCAUAUGCAAGCUGUUGAUAAUUCUGCUUGAGAAAGCCUUCAAAGCAGCUGUGUGAUGUAAUAGAAGACUAUAUAUGCAAGCGGGUACCGAGCUCGAAUUCUUUCUUGAGUUUCUUUGAAUUAUUUGUGAAUGAGUUCUUAAUCGGCUGCUGCUCUUCAGGAAAAGGAAAGUGUUGCAAACUGGUGAAGCUGAUCGAUAAAAGCAAUGUACCAUCUUUGCUGCCAUGGAUCGAUGCCAGUGAGUUUUUUAAUUUGUCAACCUUUUUAAUAAUGCAUAUGUGUUUCUUCAACUUGAAGCGGCAUUUAAGACGAAAGAAGUGAUCUUUAAAGCAUUCUAUAGCAUUAUCCUUUCCUAUUAUAUAUAUCCAAUUGCUCCAAAUUAUUUGUAAAUUACUGAACACGAAUGCUGAUGAAUAAACUGAUGGCUCUAUGUAUGUAUGCACAUGCAUGGAGAAAUUUUAAGUCAGACAUUCCCAUAUAUAACUCGUGCUACCAAAUCAUUAAAUAAUCUUGAAAUCAAAGUAAUAAUUAAAUACAAAUAAAUUGCUCGAAUUGUACAUAUAUCUGAAUCAUGUAGUGAAGAAAAUACAACAACAACAACCAAUGGCUCAAAUUCCCCAUCAACUUCUAAUCUCAACACUUUUGAGUGUCAGAAGCAUUACUCUGCUACCAGUUAACAAACAUAUAAUUAGUAAUUUGCCAUUCACUUCCCUUUUAGGCCUAACACAUUUUCUAUAAAGGAGCCACAGAGUGAACUCAGCAGGAAACACUCAAUUUCAACCUACGUAGGACCAGGAAUUUCAACCAAAAAAAAAGUGUGCAAUUGCUUAUCCUAUCCUAUUGCUACUAGAAAGAAAGUGAACAAUUAAUUUCAGUGAAUAAAUUAAAAAAAAUUACUUCUGCAGAUACUCAAGCUAAGAACACAUUAACCCAUUAAAGACUCCAAAUUGCAUCAAACAAAUUGUUGUUAAACAAGUAAAACAAAGAAAGAGAGUUAAGGAAGCUGACCUAGUAGUAGGGGAGCUGAAGAAAGACUGCCAGUGAAUGUAAGAGAAAAUAAAAUGCAAUAAAUGGUGAAGUGCAGCUUUUCAUGUCAACUUGAAAUUGUUUCUUCUGUUUUUUUUUUUUUUAAUCUUUUGGAUUUUUAAAACAAAGAAAAUGAGGAGCAACCAGGGAGAUAAAAAGGGCGCCAAGGCAACUGUGUGUUGGGUUUAGAGCCCAAAAAAAAAGGAGGAUAAGACAUCGUGUUCUUGUGGAGACCAGACCUAUUACGUAACGUCCCCUUCAAUACCACUUGUUCCGUAUCUGGUUUUUUCUUCGUCUUUUACAUAUUUAUCCUGUGAUUUUACAAUAACUAAAUAAUCCCCGCAUAGUUUGCAAUUUUAUUCAUUUGAGCCCUACAGAUUUCAGUAAUAGGUAGAGUUGGCAAAACGGGUCAUCGGGUCGUGUUCGUGUCAUGUCAAAUUUAAGUCGACCCAAACCCGACCCAUUUAAUAAUCGUGUCAAAAUAUUGAGACCUAAAUCCGACACGGAAAAAUAAUCGGGUUACCCAAUAACUCGUUUAAUAUCAAUAUAUUGAACAAAAGUUACAUCAAAUAUUUACACACUAUCAUACAUACAUACAUAAUUUAUCGAUAUUAUAAAAUAUAUAUAUCUACUAAUAUAUUACACAUUUACACUAUUGAGGUUUUAAUUAUAUAUAUAUAUAUAUAUAUACCUACGAUGAUUGUUUAAGCCGCGGUAAACGCUUCUAGAACGCCCUCUGGCAGGAAGGAAGGUACUCAAAGAAAGUGGAGAUGAGGGAAACUCCGCUGGAGUGAGGGGAUUUAUCGGAAUCUCGUUCAGAGUGAGGAGUCAAUGAGGGUUUGCUUGUACUUGUGGUUCUAUUGAUAGGUGUUUGCAAUGGGCUUUCGUCUCAGGUAGUUCAGUCUCCGGGGUUACGCUUAGUUUCAUAUAAAAUAAAUGAAGAAGACAGCUGGACUUCAGAGUGGGAUCCUCCUAUGUUGUCGGCUGUUUGUUUGUCCGCAGCUAUUACAGCUUGUGCUCGAAUAUAUAUGUAUCCAUAUAUUUCCAGAUAUUAUAUAUCAAUAUAUAUAUAUAUUAUUUAUCAAUAUUAUAAAAUCUACAUAUCUAUCAAUUUUUUCACAUUUACACUAUUGAAGCUCUAAAUGUAUUUAAAAUUUUAUAAAUAAAAUAUUAUGUUUAUAUUCACCCUUUUAAAGAAUAAAAAAGAAAAUCAUUACUAAUAUUUGAGUUUUAAUGAUAAGAAUAUGUAAAUUAUUUUAAAAUAGAAAAUAUAAUCGGGUCAUUGAUCGGGUAAAUGGGUCAAGAAUUUUAACUCUAACCCGACACGGAAAAAAAUCGUGUUGACCCGGACCCGACCCAUUUAAUAAUCGUGUUAAAUUUGACGACCCAUAUUCAUUUAUUUAUGUCGUGUUCGUGUCGAGUAAUCGGGUCGUGUCAAAUUUUGCCAGCUCUAGUAAUAGGAAUUAUUAAGGGACAAGAGCGCAAAACAAAAACUCUGUCCACUACUGAUGAUAUAACAACGAACCUUUGUUUUUUUCUUCUUUUUUUUUUACAAAAUAUCAUUAGAGAAAUGAAAAUAUUAACUAACAUCACCCUACUGAUGAUAUAACAACGAACCUUUGUAGUUUCUGCCUGUUAAUAUGAAUUGAUCAGGAGUGUUUCCUCACUUAAAAAUUACGAAUUUACAAAUAUGUAUGUAAGUAUGUAUGUAUGUACGUACGUACGUGAGUAUGUAUGUACAUAUAUGCAUACACCUAUGUAACAUUUACUUAUCCAUCCUUUUGAGUUUAAAACUUAAUACACAUUUUCAUGAAAUUUUUAUUUUAUUAAGUAUACAACUACAGUAAUGUAUAUAUUUUUUAUAUAAGACAUGCCGUCAUAUUAUUCAUAAGUAAAACAAUGUGUUGUAAAUAGUUUAAUUAUUAAAUAUCAUACAAUAUCUUUCAACAACCGGCAAUAGACCUUUACCCAUUUUUCUUUUUCGACCAUUAGAUUCAUUCAGUUUACAUCCAACGGCAGUUUAGGAUGGAGACAAAAAGUGUGGUACGUUACCACAGUGGUAACAUUGGAUUGGGAUUGUAUGUCGUGUUUAAUUUGAAUUGGUUGAUUCCUCUAAUGAAUUAUUUUGAUAAAUUUAGUAGCAGUAUUUGGCGGCAAAAGUAUCAUUAAUUUUUGGAAAUAUGAUUAUGUUAUUAAUUAUUUUAGCAUUCUAAAAAGUCAAUGGUUAUGUUGGAAAUACUCUAAGGUAGAAUAGAGUACAAAUCACAGUCACACAUACAAAAUGAUAAAUAAUAAAAAAUAUAUUAUAUUUUUGAUCAUAUGAUUAUGAAGACGUAUUUUACCUUAAAGAAGUUCUAAUAAGCGAAUUCUUCUAAAACAAUAUAAAAUUUCUUUUUUAUCAUACUCAACCGCUUCAAACUUCUAAGAAGUAGAUAUACAAUGAGUGGAAUACUGAAUUGAGUGCGAGCUGCGGAUAAUAUAUAAAAUUGGGAUACAAGCUUCAAGGAAAGUGUAUUGCUAUUCAAAUGUAGAUUUCAAAUUAAGAAGAUAUGCCAGCAAAUUGUAUAAAAAUGUAUAAAUUGAUCAGUAACAUUAAUUCCAAAUGAUGAAAUGAGUUAUCUUGAUCAAAAGGUCAAGAACCUACCUUACUUCUCUUAGAGAUAACUUGCAUCAACCGUUGUGGUAUUGAUACUUGUCUUCAGCUAGUAAAAGACUAAAAGUGAAAGUUUCACAAUUGAAAUAAAGCUAAGGGAAGAUGCUAUGCUCCAUUUAUUAUUAUUAUUAUUGAUGUGGUCGAGAAGUAAAGCCAUGCAUAUGAUGAAGUAUAAAUAAGAAUGCAAUAGCCCGGAAUUCAUUUACACAAACACUUCAAUAUCCUUUUGAUCACUUUUGCAAACAUCAGUUUGUCUCUUGUAUUCACCAUGGUUGAUGCCAUCGUUUCCUCUCUUGUGGAGCAGCUGACUUCCUUCGCUGCUAAAGAGAUAAUACAACAGGUGAUCGAAGUUACACCCCCCAUAUUAUAAAUACUUCUAAUGAUUUUAAUUGGUUUUGUUUUUAUCGGAAACAUUAACUUUGCUUUAUUUUAUUUAUUUAGGCAUUUUAAAUUUUAAAAUUUGAAUUGAAUUCAAUUAAAAUGUGAUGUAGCUAGUAACCACUUUUUUUAUUUCAUUUAUAUUCUCAAUAACUACCCAUAUUUUGGUAACUUACUGUAACCCCCGUAUCUAAGAAAUGAUUAAAACCCACAAUUUUAACUCCACAUAAAUAUUCCAUGUUGAGCUAAGUUUUUGCAUAACAUUCAAGUUUGUUAAAUAGUCAUUAAUUUAAUGUUUAGUAAAAACUUAUCUCUGAAAAUUUUCAUAAUUUUCUUACAUUCUUUGAGUUUGGUGAGUGACUUCAUAUAAUUUCUUUUCAAUUUAAAUUUUAAUUUGGUUUCUGAUAUAGUCUCUUUACUGAAUUUAUAUCUUUUAUGAUUCUUGGAUUUUGGGCUCCAACUUUUUAGGAUUUGAUAGUCACAUUUUAUGGCAUGCUUAGAUUGAUUUUCAUGAUUUGAGUACUCGUUAAGUGACUGAGAAUUUGACAAAAGUUUGAAAGGAAAUCCGUUUCACGAUUCUUAUGUGGAAGGUUCGUAAAAUCAUGAAAUUUGGAUAGGAUUCGCUAGCAAUAUGUACAAGACUCUUCAUGAAGUUUCAUAAUUUUUCGUUCGGUCUGGGGUGGUACAGGUGAAACUUGUGGUUGGUGUUAAAGAAGAAGUGAAAAGCCUUAUCAGCCACCUUCAAGCCAUUCAAGCUGUGCUCGAUGAUGCAGAGGAAAAGCAAGUGAAGGACAAAGCUGUUAGACAUUGGCUGGGCAGGCUCAAGUAUGCAUCCUACGACAUUGAAGAUGUGUUGGAUGAGUGGAUCACAGCUAGACACAAAUUGCAAAUUGAGGGUGGCGUUGAUGACAAUGCUCUUGCUGCUCCUCAAAAGAAAAAGAAGGUAUGUUUCUGCUUUCCUGCCUCUUGUUUUGGAUUCAAACAAGAAGAAUUUGGUUUCAGACAAGUCUUUCUACGUUAUGACAUUGCCAACAAGAUCAAAGAAAUGAAUAAAGAGCUACAUGAUAUUGCCACUCAAAAAGACAUGUUUAAUCUUGUUAAGAGUGGCAAUAAAAGUGGUGAAAGACCAAGGCGUGUACAGAGUACCUCCUUGAUUGAUGAGGAAGAGAUUUGUGGUAGAGUUGGUGAGAAGAAUGAACUCAUAAGCAAGCUGUUGCGUGAGAGUAGCGAGCAACAAAAAGGCCUCCAUAUGAUCUCAAUUGUUGGUAUGGGAGGCAUAGGGAAAACUACUCUUGCACAACUAGCUUGUAAUGAUGACGUGGUGAAGAGAAAGUUCGACAAAAUUCUGUGGGUGUGUGUAUCAGAAACUUUUGAGGAGUUUAGGGUUGCCAAAGCAAUCGUUGAAGCUUUGGAUGGUCGUGAAUCUCAUUUAGGUGAAUUCCAAUCUCUUCUUAAACAUAUUGAUGAAUCCAUUGCAGGGAAGAGCUUUCUUCUUGUCUUAGAUGACGUGUGGGAUGGAAAUUACUUGAAAUGGGAACCAUUCUAUCGUUGUCUAAAGAAUGGUCUCCAUGGAAGUAAAAUUUUAGUUACCACACGUAGUGGGUCCGUUGCAUCCACGAUGGGAUCCAUAGAUAUUAUUCCCAUUGAGAAAUUAGCUGAAGAGGAAUGUUGGUUGUUGUUUAACAAGAUAGCAUUUUUUGGUAGGCCUAUCGAGGAACGUGAAAAAUUCGAACGAAUUGGGCGAAGAAUUGCUGGCAAGUGCAAAGGUUUACCUCUUGCAACAAAGACAAUAGGUAGUCUCAUGCGUUCUAAACAAACUGAAGAAGAGUGGAAAAGAAUUUUAAAUAGUGAUUUAUGGAAAGUAGAAGAGAUUGAGAAAGAUGUUUUGUCCUCUUUAUUGUUGAGUUACAAUGAUUUGCCAUCUAGAGUAAAAAGAUGUUUUUCAUAUUGUGCUCUCUUUCCAAAAGACUACGAUAUAGAAAAAGACAAACUAAUCACAUUGUGGAUGGCUCAAGGUUAUCUUAGUGCAGAAGAAGAUGAGGAGAUGGAGACUAUAGGUGAAGAGUAUUUUAGCAUCUUAGCUUCUCGCUCUUUCUUUCAAGAGUUUAAGAAAAGUUAUGAUAAUCGGAUUAUAGAGUGUAAGAUGCAUGAUAUGGUACAUGAUUUUGCCCGAUUUGUAAGUCAAAAUGAAUGUUUUUCGAUGGCAAUUAAUGGUAGUGAAGAACCAAACGCCACAAACUCUGUUGAUGAGAAGGUCCGUCAUUUAAUGUUAAUCUUUAGUAUAGAGGCUUCAUUACCUGUUUCCACUCCUAGAGUUAAAAGAAUGCGUACCCUCUUAAUUAACGAUAGUAGAUCUGAUCAAUCAUUAUUAAAUGGUGAGAUCCUAGAAGAAUUGUUUAGGGAAUUGACAAGUUUAAGGGCAUUAGAUUUUGACAAAUUGUACCACUCAAUUUGGUCUUCGACUCUGGAGAUUCCGAGAAACAUAGAAAAGCUGGUACAUUUAAGAUACCUUAAUUUGUCUUCUCAGAAAAUAGUGGAGCUACCGGAGACAUUGUGCGAGUUAUAUAAUCUAGAAAAGUUAGAUAUUAGUUUUUGUUUUGAUCUUAGAGAAUUACCUGAAGGGAUUGGGAAGUUAAUAAACAUGAAGCAUUUACUAAAUUAUGAUACUGAUUCUUUAAGGUACAUGCCAGUAGGGAUUGGGAGAUUAACGGGUCUUAGGACCUUGGAUGAGUUCCACGUGAGUGCAGGAGGAGCUGUUGAUGGUAGGAAAGCAUGUAGGCUUGAAUCUCUUAAAAACUUGGAACACCUUCAAGUAUGUGGUAUACGUAGACUGGGUGAUGUAUCAGAUGUGGGCGAGGCUAAGCGAUUAGAACUUGACAAAAAGAAAUACCUCUUCAGUUUGACCCUUGAGUUUGAUAAGAAGGAGGAAGAAGAAGGAGAAAGAAGGAAGAACGAGGACGAUCAACUUCUUCUUGAAGCCCUGCGACCACCUCUGGAUUUAAAGGAAUUAGAGAUACGGUUCUACCGAGGCAACACUGUUUUCCCCAGCUGGAUGACGUCAUUAACCAACUUAAAGAGUUUAAAACUCUCUUUCUGCGAAAAUUGCGAGCAGCUGCCUCCUUUGGGAAAAUUGCCGUCCCUUGAACAGCUCUUCAUAUCGUACAUGUCGAGUGUGAAAAGAGUGGGUGAUGAAUUUUUGGGGAUAGAAAGUGAUCAUCAUGGCUCAUCUUCAUCUUCAUCGGUUAUUAUUGCCUUCCCCAAAUUGAAAUCACUUUCAAUUGAGUUUCUGUGCGAAUUGGAGGAGUGGGAUUAUGGGAUUACAAGAACGGGAAACACCGUCAUCAACAUCAUGCCACGUCUUUCUUCCUUGACAAUUGCUCUUUGCCCCAAAUUAAAGGCACUGCCCGACCACAUUCAUCAAACGACAACAUUGAAGGAAUUGCACAUUUGGGAUUGCAGGCUUCUGGAAGAACGUUAUUGCAAGGGGGAAGGAGAAGACUGGCCUAAGAUAUCACACAUUCCCAACCUCCAUAUUGGGCAUUGACAAGUAAUUUCUUCUCUUACUCUGAUUUGCUUUGUUGUUGUUUUUAAUCUAAUUAAGAAGCGUAAAUAGCAUUUUGAAUCAAACUCUAUAUCAGAAAUCUGCAAUACUUACUUUCUAAUAUUCUGAUUUUCAUAUCCUAUGAAUAUACGAUUUUUAAUUUGUGAGAUGGGUAACGUUACUGUAAAAGAUUAUUAAUGCAAUAUGAGUAAUUCUUUUGCAGGACAAGUGACCUACAUUUAGUUUGGCUUUGGAGUUGAAUAAUAACCUUUCGGGAACUGGUGUGGACUGGCAAAGGAUGAUGAGAUAGUUUUUUGAGUGAGUAAAUUUUGGGAGCUUGAGUGUAUUGGGAUUUGCAAUUACAAUCAUCGUCUGCCUCAGGUGAUUUCUUCUCCUGCUCUGUCAUUGUUUGUUCUCUAAUUCAAAAGCAUAAAAUAUUUCAAUCAAUUUUUAUGCCAGGAAUAUGCAAAAGUUUCUAAUAUUUUAUUUCCAUCUGUCACAAGAUCAAACUGAAGCAGAACUCAAACAAAAGUAUGCUACUUCUUGCGGAAAUCUUGCCUUCGUUCAAAUUAUGAAACCAUUUCCAUGCAGCAAAUUCAUCCAAAAGUUUGAAUAAGUUUCAUGGUUGGACACUGUUGGCUUCUUUUUCUUCUGGGGUGCAUUUAGGUGCUAUCAAGUGACAGCUGUAAGUAUGAUUGCACUAAGCUGCUGCUGGGAAAUUUGAGGUUUUGAUGGCUGCCCAUGUUAUUUUCAAGAAACUAUUGAUGUAAGAAGCCGUGGUUCUUUUCAUCAGCUUGAACCUGAAACUGUCGCUAUGGAUAACUCAGGUUUUUGUUAUCAACUAUAUCAUCUUUUUCACUAUUUUGAAACUCUUAAGAUUAAACGUUAGUAAAGUUGUUUCAGCUAUUCAAAUGAAAAACUCAUUGAUUUGAGACUUCCUUCAUUAUUGUUUCUAAUUACAAUGCUAACGAUCCAGAUAAAAUAAUAUUUAAUCGGCGAAGGUGUCCCUUGGAAGUACAUCCUUCUUUUUCUUUUAUUAUAUAAAUUCUUGCAAUGAGCUUAGUCAAGAUGUUGUGCUAAUCAUGCCACUGCAUAUAAAUUCUCCAGAAGUUAAAAUCAAUAAAUUUUCUAUUAGCUCUAGUGCUUUGACCUAAAUGCUAUUCUAUAUUCUGAUUACAAUGUUUUAACCUUUAAAUUAACUACCCCUAGGUGUUGGAUUUUCUAGAACUUCAAAAUGAUUAAUGGAGAAAGAUCCCAUUAUCGUUAUUGCUAUAAGAAAUUGAUUUAUGCAUCCAAAGAUACAUUAUAUAUUUCUGUGUCUCUAUUUAUAGAUGACAUUUAAGCAUCCAUAAACCGUCAGACAGAGGAAGGGGGUUCAGUGCAAAGAUUCUGUUGACCUAGGGUUGACUGCAUAAUGUCACUUGUUCGCAAUCUAUUAUUUAUUUUAUAUUUUGAAGAAUUUAAUGGGUAAUCCUAAUUGUUUGUUUUGGCAGGUAUGUGUUGUUUUCUCCUUCUAUCUAACAGUCGUACCUAAAUAGCAUAGUUUCAUCUGUGUUACCAUGUGAUGUACAUAAUUUCACAUUUGCCUCAGAUUAAGCUUAAUUUCCCACAGAAUAGAGCUGUCGCGACUGGACUUAGGUUGAUGUCCAAAGAGGUAAAUUAUUGGCAUGCCUAGAUAAUUUGGCCAUUUCCUAAUUCAUAAGUCUACAUUAAUUUUGAUUUUGAGUUGACUGAUUUCUUUUCAAGGUCUGCUUCCUUAACGGAGUGACCAAUGUUUUUCAACUAAAUUUAUCAUAUGAUGCAGGAAGCAGGGCAGGAUAUGAAAUGAGAAGCUCAUUGGUGGAAGUAUUGCCAGUAACAGAACCCAAAGAAAAUGAAACUAUUUCAAGGCAGCAGUUGGCAGUUGCAAGUGAAUGGAGGCCCUGACAAAAUUCUCAAGCGGUUGCAAUGCAAUUACGAUCAUCCUCAGCCUCAGGUAAUUUCUUCUCCUGCUCUGUUUUUAUUUGUUAUCUAAUUAAAAAGCAUAAAGUAUCUUGAAUCACUUUCUCUAUCUGGAAUAUAUGCAGCAGUUUCUAAAAUCUUCAUAUGAGUGUAAUGAUGGUAAUUUCUGUUUUUUGUCUGUCAUUGAAUGUUAGACAACUUUCAGUGAGACUCUUGAACCGAGACAUUUUUGACAACUGAAGGACAAUUGCUGAAGAGUCGGAAUGGUGCUAGAUUGGGGAAUAAAGACAAAGGAGGUAAAUUAUUUGCAGUUUAUUCAGCAUUAUUUGCUUUGGACCAGCGCCUGAUUCACAAGUCUCCAUAAUUUGGCUUUUGACCAGUUAAUAAAUUUUUAAUUCCAUUGGUGCUAAAUGUACACGUGAAGCAGGCAGAGCAGGACUGUGGAAAUGAGAAGGUUUUUAGUGAAAGCUUAAACUCAGGUAAUUCUAAAAAGUACAUGUUUUUGCUGAUUUAUCUAAAUCAGGAAAUUUUAUUUCCAUCUGUUACAAGAUAAAACAGAAACAGAACACAAAGAAAAAUAUUCUACUUCUUGUGGCAAUCUUGCCUUCAUUCAGACAAUGAAACCAUUUCCUUUCACCAAUUUCUUCCAAAAGUUUGAAUAAGUUUCAUGGGUGGACCUAGUUAGCUUCUUUUUCUUUUGGUGCAUUUAGGUCCUAUCAAGUGACAGCCAUAAGUAUGAUUGCAUUAUUGGGAAAUUUUAGGUUUGGAUGGCUCCCCAUGUUAUUGCCAAGAAAGUCCUCAUGUCAGAAGCUGCGGUUCUUUUCAUCAGCCUGAACCCGAACCUGUCGUUAUGGAUAACUCAGGUUUUUGUCAUCAACUAUAUCAUCUUUUUUACUGUUUUGAAACUCUUAAGAUUAAACUUCAGUAAAGUUGUUUCAGUUAUCCAUGUAAUCAGGCUAAGGAUAUUUAGCAGCUUAUUUAGGCAACUGCCAGAAUUCAGUUUGUUAGCUCGAAACUUGUAUGGUGACAAGGAUACUGGCAAGGAUAGUGAGAUAGUUUUUUGUGUGAGUGAAAUUUGAAAGCUUGGGUGUUCUGGGAUUUGCAAUUGCAAUCAUCCUCUGAGUCAGGUGAUUUCUUCACCUGCUCUGUCUUGAUUUUCUCUCUAAUUGAAAGCAUAAAGUAUUUCAAUCAAAUUCUGUACCAGGAAUACGUAAAAGUUACUAAUAUUUUAUUUCCAUCUGUUUGCAUUGAUAACUCGGCGGCAUAUGUUCUAGUUAAAGAACAAACAGAAACAGAGUUCAGGAAAAAGUUUCUUCGGCCACCAUAUUUGAAAAUGAAACCAUUUCCAGGAAGCAGUUGGCAGCAAAUUCAUAUGGAGUGUAGACAAUGAUGAGCAAAAAGGUGAUUCGCAAUUUCUUUUUUUUUUUAAGUGAAAUUAUUUGUUAGAUUGAAGCUGAUAUUGUAAGAAGGCCAUUGAGCUAACCUAUGUCGCCACUUGCCUAGAUUGCAGGGGGUCAAGACUCAAAAGAAGCACUGAAAUUUAAAAAGCAUGCAAUAGUUCUUUUGCCAUGUGUCAAUUAAUGCAAGUUUGAAUAAGUUUAUUGGCUGAACGAUGUUAGCUUCUUUUCCUUUCGUGCACUUUGGUAUGCUAUCAAGUGACAGCCGUAUGUAUGGCUUGCAUAUAGCUGCUGCUGGGAAAAUUGACGAUUUCAUGGCUGGCCGUGUUAUUGUCUUAAAUUAGUUGUGAUAAGCUGUUGCUUGGAGAUUCUGUUGCCAAGAAUUUGCUCACAUCAGAAGCUGUGGAAUCUGAACCCUUCGAUUCUGUUGCCAAGAAUUUGCUCACAUCAGAAGCUGUGGAAUCUGAACCCUUCGUUAUGUAUCAUCUUUUUCAUUGUUUUAAAACAGUAAACUCUCAGGACACUGAGCAGGCAAAUGUUAUAACUCGGUUUGUUAGCCAAAAACUUGUUGAAGAUUCUUGACAAAGCUGCGUCGAGUGAAUUGUCGGAGCUCUGAGGGUGAGAGAAAUUAGAGGGUGUAUAGGGAUUUGGAUUUGUUAGGAAGUUAUCAUUUUUAUUUGUCCGAUUCAAAACUUGAUAUUCCAAUUAUAUUCAUAAGCUUCUACAGUUAUCUUCAAAAAGACAUUCCAAUUAUAUUCAUAAGCUUCUACAGUUAUCUUCAAAAAGACAAAUGGAAGGCUUUGAACGGCUUGGGUCUGAGUAUUGUAGUUUGAUUUAUUUUGAUGAAAGAACCUUUUGACAUUAAGAUUCUUUCAUGAGUUAAACAUUCUUUUUAAAACCAACUUAUUAAAAAAAAAGUAACGAACAUAUAUUAUUUUGUUAGUGCUUUUUAAAUCAAAUAUAAAAAAGAGAACUGUAAUUCUUAGCAACCAAUUUUUCAUUGAGUACACCUACAACAAAUUAUUAAAAAAUAAAGCGAUAGAAAAUGCCUGAUUUUUCGUACUUUCUAAUUACUUUUGGUCCUAAAAUAUGGCGAUUUGUGUAAUAAUAAGCCCAUGUAUAUCUUUAUGCCAUUAGUUUGAUAAAUAACUAUCAAGGAUAACUUAUUAAGCUAAAAAUAUUUGAAGGAUAAAAUGGGAAAACUAAAAGGGUGGAGUAAUAAAGUUAUUUAAGAUUACAUAGUAAGUUAACUAUAUUCGAGGGAUAAAAUAUUAAAACUUGAAUAGUUAUAUUAAAAAUAUCUCGGCUAUUAUACUAUUAAACCAUAUGCCGUAAUAAUGUUUUUUUUCAAACUUUAAAAAAUUCAGGAUUUUAAAUUAAAACAUGGAUUUCUUUAAGAUGCUAUAUGUGUUUUUACAGUAUUGAUAGUGGGAUUAGUGUGUACCCUUAUAUGAAAGAGUUUUAAUCUGAAUCAUUCAUUUAAUAUAAUAGAUAAUUAAAUAAUUAAUUAAAAUAUAGCAGGUAACUUAUAGGUUGCAGGUAAAAAAUUAAUUUUUUAAUUUUAAAUUAAAAUUAAUUUGGAACAAAACCAUCCACACCCCUAAGGUUUACUUAAAUGAUCAUAUAAAUCCCUUUAGUUUCUACAUAGUUAUACAGACCCUCUUAAUUUCAUAAAUUAUUAUUAUACUUUUAAUUAAAACAACCUAAAUGAAUAUAAAUAUAGUAAUAGGAUAGAAAUAAUAAAUAAAUAUCAGAUGAAACAAAUAAAAUAUUACAAUAAAUACAAUUAAUUAAAUAACAUGUAUGAUGAAAAUUUUAUUCAUAUUAAGUUAUUAUUAGUCUAUCCCGAUGGAUUUACUCAAAUCAAUUAAUCCAAAAUUUAAUUUUAAGAUUGAUAUUAAUAUGGACAUAAUUAAAUAAGAUGUUGUAAUAUAUACUACUUUGAAUGUUAAGUAUAAUUAUCUAAUAUUAUUAGUAUGUGAAAUAGAUUUUAAUAUUAUUAAAGAAUAUGACAAUAUAUAAUUUUGAAUUAAAUUUUUUAGUAUUCAUGAUAUUUUAUAAAUUUUAUGUGAUUUUAUAUAUUAUAUUUUUUAAUUUUAAUGUAUUAUAUAUGAUCAUUUAAGCAAAUUUUGGAGGUGCGGUGGUCUUUUCCCUAUUAAUUUUGUAGCAUAUUUAAAGUGUUAUAUCAUACAUGAUACAUCACACUUUUGUUAAAGUGUUAUGUUAUUAAAAAUUAAACUUUGCAUUUAUAAUAUACUACCAUUUUAAUGUAAAGGUAAUAGAAAAUAUGAAGAUAUUUUUAAGUAGUCAAUUGUAGCUUUCUUUUACAAAAUAGCAGUAUAGAAAUACAAUUGGUAAAAUGUAAUAAAAAUGGUAUGGAAAAAAGUUAGUAGAGGCAAUUAUUCUUGUAGUUGCUAAAACAUAUGAAGUGACACACACACACACACACAUAUCAAGUACUUGUAUGUUCCCCUAACUUUUAUUAAUGGGAAGGAAAUUAAAUUCGUAAUUUUCCCGGUGAAUUAUGAAUUGAUAAAUGAAAUAUAAAUAUUAGUAAAAAUUAAUUUGUCGACUAAAGAAGUAAACCAUAUUUUAUGGGCAUUUAAUACAUUAAUUUAAGGUCAAAUGAGAUAAUAUCACAUGAUAUUUGAUACAAGAGUCCAAUUUUCAACAUUUGCAUAUAGUUUCUAAGCUAGUAAUCUAAUAAAAUAUACCAAAUGAGAAAUUGAAGGCUAUUAUUUAUAUUUCACCAUUGGACAAACACCAUACAUUAGAAUAAAAAAAUCUCACAGUAGAGACGGCAUCUGUUUGCAUGUUUUGAAAAUAGAUUUUGAAAUUAGUUUAAUUACAUGAUAAUUAAAUUAUAUUAUAAAAUUAAGAAUAUGAUUUAAGUACUAUUUUAGCAAUUUUGAGUCUCACAUUGAGUAUUCAAGUUAAUUAAAUGUUGAAACUCUUUUCUAUUUGGCUUGAAAUCACUACUAAAUAAAAUUACAAAAAGUCAAUAAUGAAUGAUGUAGGACACAUAUGUAAAAUAAAUUUUAAAGUGUAAUUAAACAUUCCUAUCAAUAUUAGUUUUGCAUACAUAUUCAUAUAUUUUACCGAAACCAUAUAUAAUUAAAUUUUGUGUAAUUAAGUAAAAUAUAUUAUUCAAGUGAAUUUAUGAGAAUAUUUAAAAUUGUAGGGGUCGUCACUGAAAUUUGCCAAACUUGAGCCAACCGUGCAUGAUCCAAACAGUUUAUUUUAAUAAUUCUCAAUAUGUUAGUCUGUUUGACUGUUGGCAAAAUAAAUUCCUAUCAGCAAUGCAACACAAUUCAAAAUCAUAUCUGCAUACAACGAACAAUAUCUCAUGAAAGAUCAAAUUAUACAUUUUUUACACCAAACCAUAAAUAUCUAAAUUGUCCCUCUUCAACUCACCAAGCUCAUACCUAACAACAGCAAGAUUAAAUGUCAUUUGAUCCAUCUUUUUUAUUAAGCUUUAUCAAUUCUUCUCAUGGUUGCAAUUUUGAAAGCUCGCUUCGCUAUUUCCAUUUGCUUUUAUGCUUUGUUUGAGCUCCAUCUUUUCUCUCCAUCUACAUUUUACACUGUAAAAAAAAUUUUAAAAAAAUUACAAAGCUUCUUAUGCUAGAAUAUGAGCAACAAUAUAAAUAAUAAACAAUAAAGUUAUGAUAGCACAGCAUGCUCAUUAAAGUGCUUCUUUUUUUUUUUUUUCAACAAGAAAUUACUACUGAAUUAAAGAUUUGGCUUUGCAUUAAGGUUUGCCUUCAAUAACUCAACUCCCCACUUGGGUUUUGUCGUUUUCUUAAAAUCUCUGCUCAAUCAAUUUAAAGAUCCUUUUUUUUUUCUUUCCAAAGAUCUAAAAGCAAUGUCUUUUAUUGGUACCCAACAAAAAUGCAAGGUCUGUGAGAAGACAGUUUGUCCAGUUGAGCAGUUAUCUACUGAUGGGGUUGUUUAUCACAAGUCUUGCUUCAAGUGCUCUCACUGCACUGCAAAGGCACACUCAAGCUAAGCAAUUACUCAUCCCUGGAAGGUGUUCUUUACUGUAAGCCUCACUUUGAGCAGCUUUUGAAGGAGUCGAGUAACUUCAACAAGAAUUUCCAAUUACCUGCAAAGUCAGCUGAGAAGUUAACUCCUGAGCUGAAAAGGUCGCCUAGCAAAGUUGACAGCAUGUUCUCUGGGCCCAAUAAAAAUGUGCUUCUUGCAGUAAAACAGUGUGUCCGUGGGAGAAGGUAGCAGCGGAAAACCAAGCCUCUCACAAGACAUGUUUCAAGUGCUCACAUGGUGGUAAUUCCAUUAGCCCGUCAAAUUACGCAGCCCUAGAAGGCAUCUUGUAUUGCAAACAUAAUUUCUCCCAAUUGUUCAAGGAAAAAGGCAGCUACAACCACCUUCUAUCAAAUCUGCUUCCAUGAAGCGUGCUGCAGUCUCUGUUCAAGAAGCUUGAACAUGUUAUGUUAUCUUCCAUAAAUCUUAUUUGGCGUGGGUUUUCUCUGGCUUGAGGGUGUGCUUUCUAUUUUGAUCCCUCUUGUUGUUUUUGCGGGGAACUACCAAACCUUCGGUUCCCUCUGCUUCUUUGGAUCAUCUUUGUUGGGACAAAUUUCAUGUAAUUAGAGAUACUGAUUUAUGGGAGGCAUAAUCCCAUGGUUGUAAAUUGACCAUUUUCUGGCAAUGUUCUUUUUAAAAAGAGAUGAGCAGUUGUUUAACAAAAAAAAUAGCUGGCCUUCAUCAUGGUAUGUUACCAAACUGCUAUGUAUAGCUGCUAACUAUGAGCAUCCGAAAAUAUGGUGCAUCGUGAUUCAUGUCGUGCAAUAUGGCUACCAACGCAUCCUAAAUGGAGUAUUACUCAGUUAGUCAGCAAAAUAAGACAACAGUAAGAUAUUAAAAAAAUAAAAACUACAUUAAUAAGUGGGCAAGAUCAUGCCAGUUUAACUUUUCGCGCGUCGCUGCUGGAGAUAAUCAAAUCGGGGCAGAGAAAAGGAGAAUGGAAUCAGAGGCUAAGAUUAAUAAGUGGGCUUCUGCUUGCUUUGCCCCUCUUUCUUAAACGAUUGGUAGACUGCUGCUUCCACCGAUUAACCGGGUCUUCAACCACUGCUUUUAUUGCCUGCCAUCUUGUUGUUUGUCGAAGGGAUGAAUUCGAGUCGAAAAGAGAAAGCGCGCUGAAAAAGACAAAUCACUAGUGGUUAACUACUGACUCAGCCAAGUGUUGGCUUCACUUGAUUCACCGAUUGAGGUUAUUUUGUCUUCUAUCUAAUGCAGCGAAGAAGCUUUACUGCUUAACAUGCUGCAAUGCAACUUUAUCUUUUGAAGUUCACACUUCAGGGCUGCGCACUUUAUGUAAUCCUAUGAGUAAAAAGAAUUUAUUUUCAAAUGUGAAAAAAGAAAAUGUAAGGUAGUAACUAAAUAUAUUAUAGCAUCAAAGUAAGAUUUGAUAUGAAUUUAGUACAACAAAGAACAUUAAAUCUGUGAUUCCUUGUCUAAUGUCACCAUCGAGCAACAAAUUUAAAAGCCUACCUAUCAAAUACACGAGGCAAUAAACGGAGAAAAAGUUGAAUUACAAGAACAAGUUUACAAUUCUUGUCAAUGGUUAAUGAUUCGUGAAUUGAGAUAGCAUUCAAGAAUCCAAUUUCAAUACAACAACGUAAAAGAUAAACAGAUGAUGAAUUUUAUGAGAUAAAGAAGGAGAUUGUGUUUUAUCGUAUCUCUAUUUUCUUUCCAUUUAAAUUUAAAAUAAGCUUUUCAACCGGUUAUAAUAUUUUUUGAAAUAAUUAAAUAUUUUUAUUAUUAAAAAUAAUGUGUACCGUUGAUUACAUCUAACGCUACAUAUUUCUUACACUAUUAAUACCGUAAAAAAAAUCAUAGAGGGACCCUUAAAACAUUUUCAUUUGAAAUUAUUUGGUGAAGUGAAAAAGUUAAGAAAGAAAUAGUUGUCCCUUUGGUCAUUUCACAAAAAUGAAAGCCCCAUAUAACAUGGACUUGAAUGGAAGCCCAAUUGUUGUGUUUGAUUUCAAGCUUUAUCGGACCUUUGGACCUGGAUACUUUACUGCGGCCUCUAAGCGCUACAAAUUUUUUUUUUGGGAUAAAAGGCGCUUCAAUGAAAAAGCACUUUAAAACUUUGGAUUUUGCCAAAACUUCAAAGCGGUUGGUCCAGUUACGGUGUUAUGCUAACGGGUUUAAAGGUUCCGAUCCAAUGAGUUAGGGUGGAAUAUGAAUAUAUAAAUCCUAGUCAUGUAAGGACUAGGAUUUGUUUGUUCAUAUCAAGAAAAAAAAUCUGAAAAUUUGAUGAUCAGAAGAUAAAAACACUUAAACACGUUUAUUACAGAGAAACAAACGACAACAUGAUGCUAGUAGUAAUUUUAUUUUUCUUUUAUUGUGUAACGUGGACCAAAAAAAAGGAAAUGAAUUUAAUAAAACCGUCAUUCCGCAAUAAUAAUGUACCAGCCUGGUUUUUAUAAUCCAUACCAUCCUGAUAUAAUUAAACACCAUUAAUAAUGUACCAGCCUUUAAAUAGUAAUUAAUUUAUUUAUCUAAUUCACCAAAUGUCAUUUCCGGUACAUAUCUCCUGGUAUCAAGAAGAGGCAGAACCCAAAGAAACGUUUCUUGUAUCUUCAUAUUUGUGCGAAUUCAUCCUUUCAUUGAGAAUAACCAUUUCCAGGCGGCAGUUGGCAAUCAAUUCAUGCGCAAGUCGAUGCUAUUCAUAGAUAUUAAAGACAAUGAUGAACCAAAGGUGAUAAAUCAUAAAUGCAUAAUUACCAAACCUCCAUCCUUCUCUCAUUAUGAUUUGAUUUUAAAUGAAUUAUUGCUUGGUAACAUUAUUUCCAACCAUUGCAAGAUUAUUAUUAUUUUUUUUUGGGGAGAAAUUUCAAUUGAAAGUGAAACCUUUAGACAUUUACCUAAUGAAGUUAGUUAAUGGGGAGGGUUGGAAAAAUUCCCAAGCCGUUGCACAGCAAUUACGAUCAUCCUCGGCCUCAGGUAAUUUCUUCUCCUGCAUUUUUGUUAUUUGCUAUCAAGUGACAUUCGUAAGUAUGAUUGUAUUAAGCUGCUGCUGGGAAAUAUAAGGUUUUGAUGGCUGCCCAUGCUAUUGUCAGAAGCUGCGGUUCUUUUCAUCAGCCUGAACCUGGACCUGUCGCCAUGGAUAACUGAGGUUUUUUUUUUUUUAAAUCAACUACGUCAUCUUUUCCACUGUUUUGAAACUCUUAAGAUUAAACUUUAGUAAAGUUGUUUUAGUUAUCCAUGUAAUCAGGCUGAGGAUACUUAGCUGCCUAUUUAGGCAAAUGUCAGACUUUAGUUUGUUCGCUGGGAACUGGUGUGGUGACAGCGUCCUGGCAAAGGAUGAUGAGAUAGUUUUUUGAUUGAGUAAAUUUUGGGGGCUUGAGUAUAUUGGGAUUUGCAAUUACAAUUAUCCUCUGCCUCAGGUGAUUUCUUCUCCUGCCCUGUCGUUGUUUGUUCUCUAAUUCAAAAUUAUAAAAUAUUUCAUCAAAUUUUAUGCCGGGAAUAUGCAAAAGUUUCUAAUAUUUUAUUUCCAUCUGUUUGUCUUGAUAACUUUGCAGCAUAUGUACUAGUUAAAGAACAAAUCGAAACAGAGUUCAGUUAAAAGUUUCUUCUGCCGUCAUAUUUGAAAAAUGAACCCAUUUCCAGGAAGCAAUGGGCAGCAAAUUCAUAUAAAGCGUAGACAAUGAUGAGCAAACAGGUGAUUCACAUUAAUGAAAUUAAUUGUUUGGUUGGAGCGGACAUUGUUAGAAGGCUAUUGAGCUAACCUAUGUCACUACUUGCCUAGAUUACAGGGGGUCAAAACUCAAAAGCGGCAUUGAAUUUUAAAAGGCAUCCAAUAAUUCUUGUGGCCAUAUAUCAAUUCAUGUAUGUUUGAAUGUAAUUAUUGGUGAAGGGGUUUCACUUCCCGUCUCUAAAUAAAAAUACUGAUUCUUUAAGGUACCUGCCACUAGGGAUUGCGAGAUUAAUGAGUCUUUGGACAUUGGAAGAGCUCCUUGUGAGUGGAGGAGGAGGUGUUGAUGGUAGCAAAGCAUGUGGGCAGUGGGCUUGAAUCUCUAAAAAACUUGGAACUCCUCCAAGCGUAAGUAUACGUAUACUGGGAAAUUUGUUAGAUGUGGAUGAGGCUAAGAGAUUAGAGCUUGACAAAAUGAAAUACCUCUUUCAUUGAGACUUAAAUUUGAUGGGGAAGAAGAAAAAGAAGAGGGAAGGAGGAAGAAUGAGGAUAAUCAACUUGUUCUUGAAGCCUUGCAACCACCUCUGAAUUUGAAGGAAUUAGAGAUUUGGUCAUACAGAGGCAACAUUGUUUCCCCCCGGAUGAUGCAAAAAUUGAAGGAAUUUACCAAUCUAAGGAGUUUGACACUCUUUAAAACUGCAAAAAUUGAGAGCAGUUGCCUCCUUUGGGAAAAUUGUGAUCCUUUGAAAAUCUCAGCAUAUUGUACAUGGAGAGUGUGAAAACAGUGGGUAAUGAAUUUCUGGGAAUAGAAAGUCAUCUUCAUGACUCAUCUCCAUCUUUAUCAGUUAUUAUUGCCUUCCCCAAAUUGAAAUCACUUUCAGUUGAGGGAUUGAUGGAAUUGGAGGAGUGGGAUUAUGGGAUUAAAAGAACAGGAAACACCUUCACCAACAUUAUGCCACGUCUUUCUUCCUUGGAAAUUAGUGUGGGGUUAUGGGAUCGCACAACCACGUUGAAGGUAUUGCAGAUUGUGGCAUGUGGUACUCUAAGAAGACGUUGCAGACAGGGGAGAGCAGAAGACUGGCCUAAGUUCUCUCACAUUCUAGACAUCAUGAUUGUGUGAAAAGAGGCCCUUGACAAAAUUCUCUAGGCGGCUACAUGGAGUACAAUCAUAAAAUGCUAAUGUGGCCACCCUGGUUCUUAAUUAAGGUUGUGAAAUAUUAUUGUAAAAGAUGAUUAAUUCAAUUUGAGUCAUUCGUUUGCUUUGAUAAUGAUAGUAAUUUUAUAUUUUGACAAUUUGCAAGGUGAGAAUGGUGCUGAUUGGUGAUACAGGAUACGGUUCAAACACCAUUGAAUAAAGCUACGGACAUGGUGGCUCAACUUAGCUAUUGCUGUCAAAAUUGGUAAGUUGGCUUGUCAAUGUAUUGAUGCUUUUGUUUUCUCUCAACCCUAAUUACCUUACCUUCAUUUAGUUUGGCUUUGGAGUUGAGUAAUAACUUUCAAGGUUCUCAAACAGAGCAGGACAACCGAAAAAAAAAGCUUAAUUUGCUACUGAUCACGUGUUACCAAUUAUUAAGGUAAUUCUCGUUUACUUGCUUCUACACUAUAGAGUACGUGUUCUGGCUGGUUUAUCUAAUUCAUCAAAUGUUAUUUCCUUAUUGUUCCAUUGAUAUAUUUGUUAGAAAGUGAAACCAUUUCCAGGCAGCAGUUGGCAGUGAAUUCAUGCAAAUGUUGAUGCCAUUCAUAGAUAUUGAAGACAAUGAUGAGCCAAAGGUGAUAAAUCAUUAAUGCAUAGUUACCAAAACCUCCAUCCUUCUCUCAUUGUAAUUUGAUUUGAAAUGAAUAAUUUCUAGGUAAUUGAAGCCAAUAUUGUUAGAAACGGUGUUGAGCUACCCAAGCUAAGAAGUUGGCUGCCAAAAAAUGCAGGGGAUCAAAAGAAGCAUUGCAUUUGAAAAGGAAUGAGAUUCUGGUUGCUACAUGUCAAUUCGUAGAAGUUUCAAUAAAUUUAAUGGUUCAAGAUUUUAGUUUCUGUUUAAAUUUGUGCUACUGCAGUGCUGCAGUGCUGCUACUGGGAAAUUUAAAUCCCAUAUUAGACUUUCCUCACAUAAGAAGCUGUGGAUCUUCGGACAUCAGGUUUUUUCACAGUUCUGAAACUCUCAGGAUUAAACUCUAUUAAAGUUGUUGUAGUUGUCUACGUUCUCAGGUCAAGGAUUCUAAGCUGCCGAUUAAGGCAAAAUGUCAGAAUUCCCCUAUUAUUUUUUUUUUCAUGUAAAAUUAUGUUGUUGUCUUCGCCCAUGAAUCUUAGCUAAAUUCUGAACCAAUUGUUUGCUAUUAUAAAUUUCAUUGUUAAAUAUUAAUUGUGAUGUUGGUGUUGAGUUUCUUUUAAAGUCAGAGAAGCCUGACGAUUGAGUUCCAUGGGAUUCUGAGAAGCAGUAAUAUUUUGAACAAGUGAAGGUUCUUCGUUUUUACAGUAUGUGCAGAUGUCUAAGAGGCAGGAUUUUUAUUUCUGUAAUGCUAAAUUUCGCAAAACAAUAAAAAUAAAUAAAUGCAUGACAGUGACUUCAAGAAUUUAGAUUAUUGAAUUUGGUCAUUUUAAAAUUGUUGGAAUGUUGAACUUAAGUAAUUUUUAUAAACCAGAGCUCAGAAAUGUAGAAUAUAAAUAUUGGAGAUUUGGACUUCAAUCAUUAGACUUGAAGCUAAAGAGGUAAGCCAUUAAUUAUAUCAAAGGAUUUGGAAAAUGGAGGGAUUGGAAAAAGGAAACAUUUUCAUAAACUUCAAGAGGAACGUCACAGAAAGGGGUAAAGAGAAGAGUAGCCUAAGAUAUUAAAGACAAUGUUGAGCCAAAGGAAACAUAAAUCCCAACCAUUGCAUGUGAACAUGAUCACAAUAAGGUCAAAAACCAUUUUUUUGAGAAUUUUCAAUUGAAAGUGAAACCUUUUGACAUUUACCUAGUAAAGUUAGUUAAACGAGAGAAAUAAAGGGGAAAAGAAAAGUUGACUCAAGUCAAUACAGAAUAAUUAGUUCAAUCUGGAGUAACUAAAACAGAGCCACUAUAUUUUCAAAAAUAUCUGCAUUCAUCACCUUCUCCUCCAGCUAGUGAGCUACACACGAAUCCUUUCCUUUUAGCAUUUUUGCAGCAUCAAUUUCUCCCCUCGUUUGUCAUCAAUUUCUCCCUUCGUUUCACCAAUACCAUGGCUGAUGCAAUCGUUUCCCCUCUCUUGGAGCAGCUGAUUAUCUUUGCUGCUGAAGAGUUGAAACAACAGGGGAAGCUGGUGAGUGUUGGAUGAGUGGAUCACAGCAUGCGCCAAAUCGCAAAAUAGAUCAAUGCUCUUGGUGCUCCUUAUCUGAAGAAGAAGGUGCAAAUUGGGAGCUGCAUUUCACUGUCAUAACAUUUAUUGUAAUUUCAUUUGGAGAUAUGUAAUAUCUGUUGUCCAGAUACAUAUCAUACACCAGUUGCUAUGUAAUUUCGUUUAGGUUCAUUUUUGUUUCUUAAGAGUUUGUAAAAAGAAUGGAAAGAUUUUAAAAUAUAAAUUUCAUAUCUGUUUAUUACUGUUGUUUGGUCUAAUUUCUUAUGUAGAAUUUUCAGAAUCUGUAGGACAUUAGUUUAUAAUUUUGAGAUUUUGCAGCCAUAAAAAAAAUUUUUUUUUUUUGCCAUUUUAUUUUGCUCCUUUAUCUAUGUGCAUGUUGACUGGCUGCAGUGAGUGAAAAUUUACCUAUAUAUGCUGGCUAUUCUUGGACAAUAUUAGAGAAAAUAAUCAUAUUAUUUCGCGUGAUGUGAACUUCCAUAACUUAUCAAUUGAAUUGCUGUAAAAUAUUAAAUAGUUUUAUUUUUCUUUUAUCGUGUAACUUGGACCAAAAAAGGAAAUGAGUUUAACACGACCCUCAAUAUAACCUCCAUUUCAGCACAAUACAUGUUAAUUGUUCCCCAAGGACUUCUCCUGUUUCCCAUUCCCACCUCCAUGCUCUCGAGAGGAAUUUAGCACCCAUCAAUUUUUAUUUUUGAAAACUCGUAAUGGUCUGAUAAAAUUAAACAACAUCAAUAAUGUUACCAGUCUUUAAAUAGUAAUUAAUUUAUUUAAUUUGCCACCUAAAAGAAUCCUGCUGGAAAUAGAGGUUAAAAAUUUUAUUAGAUCUGCUUACCUUUGUUCAUUCAGCAAAAACACUUACAAUUCACAGCUAGAGAAUCUAUCCAUUGACAAUUGUGGAUUAAAAUUAUAACACCUGAAUUCAAACAUAUCCUUAUGAAGUUAUGAAUUUGUUCAUACUUCAAAUGAUUUUUUUUUCCAAGCUAAUAAAGCAACCACUUUGAUCAAACGACGACGUUGAAGGAAUUACGUAUUUUCAAUGUCCUUUUCCAGACAGAUGUUGGAGAGAGGGAAAGGAGAAGACUGGCCUAAUUAAGAUAUCUCACAAAGAUUAUUGAGUUAAAAUGUUAUUGUAAAAGAUGUUUAAUACAAUAAUAGUAAUUCUUUUGCAUUGUUAUAAUGAGGCUGGUGGGUUUCCUCAGAGGAUGGAUAUGGCUCGCUAGCAUGCAUUUGGGAAGAUGCUAAUUAUCGGCCAUAAAAAGUCAGGGGGUUGUGGCUCUUCCGUCGCCCAGAAAUUCCUAAACUCAUAUAUCAAACUUCAGAUGAACUUGGGCAUUAUGUAAAUAUGUAUUUUUGAGAAUUAAACUAGUGCGUUCGAAAAAUUUUGAGCCAUUGUAAUCAUUUUAUUUUGCUAAGAGAAAAUUUUACUUUGUUUCGCUUUGCCUUUUGUUUUUUCUGUGAUAAUAUGAUUCAUACGAAUGUGAUUACACACUAUCAUGCAUCUAUUUUCAUUUGCUUGUCAUGAAUGGUCAACAUGCUCGAAAUAUUUACUUAGGUUGGAAAUAUUUGAAUCCACUAAAAUACUAUACAAACCCAUUUUAAAAUUAAAAAAAUGAUUAUCAUAAUACUCGUGAAGAUAACACGAUAUCAUACAUAAAAUAAAAUAUUUCGCAAAAAAGAUAAGAUACAAAUCUUGAGUAAAUAGGUACAAAAAAUAUUUUAGUGGGUUAAGUAGCACUAAUGCCCCCUUAUCAAAAAAUAAAUAAAAAUAACUAGUCUGAUUGGGUAUACCGUUUAUAUAUAUGUACAUAUUCUUGAUAAUGUGUAAUGUACAUUAUAGACAAAGAUUUUGAAAGCAAUAUUUUUUAAAAAGUCGAGAGAAUAGGAAAAGUCUAAAUCAAUUUUCUAAUCUCUACCUCCUUUAUGAUUUAAACUUUAGUGUUUAGUGUCGCGAGCCACUCAAAUUUUCUAAUCAAAGAGACUAAAUUGCACGAAAUUGUGCUAGCUUAUUUGAUUCUAGAAAUUUCUACUACACUGUAACACACUCUCACGUAGGGAUGGCAAUGGGGAGGGGAGGGGAGGGGACCAAUCUCCCCAUAUCCAUCCCCGAUAUUUUACAUAUGUCCCCGUCCCCGUCAGAAUUGCUUGAGAGAAUCCCCAUCCCCUCCUCGAAUAAUAACAGGGGAUCCCCGAGGGUCCCCGGUCCCCGAAUAACUAAUAAUCUAAUACAUUUUUUUAUUUUCGAUUUUAAAUUAAUCAUAUUAAAAUAAACUCAUACCGCUAUUGUAAGCUCGUAACCAAUUUUGACAGCACAUUAAGGCCUCCAAUGUGCUUGGAUGAAGUCUGUUAUGGUAUGGGCUCACAACUCUACCACUAGUGUUAAAAGCUGAUUCAGAAGCAACUGUUGUAAUUGGAAUUGCCAAAAUAUCUCUAGCAAUUCGAGCUAAUGUAGGAUACCUAUUAGCAUUUGUCUUCCACCAACUCAAAAUAUUAAAAUCUUCCAUCCGAGGUAUAACUUUCUCAUCCAAAUAUGAAUCUAAUUCAUCUGCAACAACUGCACAAUCUCCAUUGUUUACAUAAUCAUCAAAACCUAUCAUCCAUUUGGUUGCUUUCUUAUAAGAAUCCCCUGUAGAUCUAGUAGAAGAACUACUACCAGUAUAAUCAAAGCAAUAAACAGUUGGUGAAAACUUCAAUUAAUACUCUUCAACUAAUUCCCGGCAAAGGAUGACCACUUUCCCAACAUACAACUAUUUUGAUAUUUAUUAUUUUUAACAAUAUUUAUAAUUUUGUUAUUUAUUUAUUAGUAAUUUUAAAAAUAAAAAUAAAAUUAAAAAUUAAAAUGGGGAAAUGGGUAGGGGAUGGGGAUUCCACCUCAUCCCCGUCCCCUCCCCGAAUAAAAAAUUGGGUAAAAAAUUUUCCCCGUCCCCUCCCCGAAAAAAAAAUUGGGUAUAAAAUUAUCCCCGUACCCUCCCCGAAUGGGGAAAAUCCCCGAGGGUAUCCGUCCCCGUGGGGAUUUUUGCCAUCCCUACUCUCACGCUUGUACAUACCUCGAAAUUCUCUAGAAUUUACUAGAGUAGUGUUGCAUGUAGCUUGUACAUAGGUUUUUCUGGAACACUCCAGGCAUUACUAAGCAUGAGAGCCUUGAGAACUCUCUAGCCAUAAAACAUUCUAGGGUAAGCCUACCCUAAAAAUAGGGCAUGAUGCUUGCCACUUGAGCAUACAACAAGUAAGAACAAAUCAAGCAUACUUGUGAGCUCUCAAACUCUCUUAUACACACUUUUAUGAAUAAUAUAUUCUCUCUUUGGCUAUAUUGCUCUCUCUUCUCUCUAGUUUUUUUCGCAAGCAUCAAACCUUAGUUAGUCGAAAAAUUCAAGGCUUACUUUAUAGCUAUCUCGUAAAAGUUGUUUAAGUACCAUAGAGAUUUGCUGUGCAAAAUACUCAUCACAUGACAUUAGCUAAAUAAAAUUGUUUGAAAGCCACUUACCCAAACUAUUAAACGAAUAUUGACUUUUGUCUUAAUUUUCUAUCUCCUACGAUAAAUUUUAUAGUUAAAAAUUGAAAAAAAUUAAUAACUAUUAGAUAGAGCAUUCUUUAUUGUUAAAAGAAAUCUAUAUAGAUAGAUAGAUGGUAAUAUAAAAACUUACUUAUUGUAGUAUAAUGUUUUUAGUUUUUUGAAACACAGAUUCUCACUUUUUAAAGAUAAAAUUCAAAGAAAACAAGUUAAAUGUUGUAGAAAAUCUUCCAGCCAUACAAGAAAUUGUGAUGGCUAAAUGCAAACCUAACUAAAGUAUUAGUUGUUUUAUUACAAUCUCCAAAAAGAUGAGCAAUUCCAAAAUCUUUUUUUGUGACAAUAAACACUACACGUCAGUAAUUAUCCAGGUCAAAAGCAAGCUACUCUAUUAAAAAAAAAAAAAACUUGCAGUGAAUUCGAAGAUAAACCAAUUUUACUAGCAAGUUGGAUACAAAAGAGUAGGGCUUCGGCCUCAAUUACUCAGUGUACCAACAACUCAAUCUCGGUGAGUUAAAAUCAACUUCCAUCAGUCUUUUAUUUGUUGAUAGAUCGAUUAAGGUACCAAAAAGAAUAAUUAAAGAUGUAUUAGUUCAAGUUAAUAAAUUCAUAUAUCUUGUGGAUUUUAUUAUUUUGGAAACUGAACCAAUUGCUAAUGAAUGCAAACAAAUUCCUGUUACAUUGGGUCGUCCAUUUUUAACUACUGCUAAUACAUUGAUUAAUUGCUGGAAUGGAGUAAUGAAUUUAUCUUUCGGCAACAUGACAUUGGAACUUGAUGUGUUCAACAUAUGUAAACAACCUCACCACCAGGAAGAUGAUGAUAAUGAGAAUUAGGAGAUUGAUUUCAUCGAGCCAAUCAUUGAGGAACACAUUCAGAAUAAGAAUUUUACAAAUUCUGUGGAAAUUUAUUCUUCUUGUUCUUUUGAAUCGAGUAAAGAAUUAAAUUAUGAUACUGCUAACAUAUAACCUACAAUUGAUUCUAUGCAGGUACAUGCUGACAAUGGCCAAUCAAACUUUAAAGAUACAGAACAACCUGAAGAACCAAACGAAGAGCAAGUACCAGAGCUCAAAUUAAAGCCCUUACUGGAAGAAUUGAAGUAUGUCUAUCUUGGAGAACAACAGAUUUAUCCUGUGGUAAUUUUUUUCCCAACUCACGCUUGAUCAAGAAGGUAAGUUGUUGUCUGUACUAAAAAGGCAUAAAACUGCAUUUGGCUGGACUUUAAAAGACAUAAAAAACAAUAAUUCUUUAAUCUGCACACACCGAAUACACUUAGAGGAAAAUACCAAAACAACCCAUCAACAUCGACAUUAUAUGUGUAAACAUUAAAUACCAAAAUCAACCCCAAAAACUAUAAAUAAAAUAUCAUGAUUAAAAUGAAGUUUUUUUUUAGAUAUUCGUUGUAGUAUCUCUUUAGAUCGCAAACAAGAGAUAAAAUAAAUAAAUAUUUGCUAUGUAAAUAAAAAUAAAUAAUUUUUUUUAACUGAAAAAUAUUCUCAAAAACUAAAUAGUUCAAACUUUUUUUAACAUCAUGUGUUUCUAGGGUUGGGCAUUCAGUUCGGUUUUUACCGAACCGAACAACUAAAUUAAAUCGAAAUUACCUGUUCGGUUCAAUUGAAUAGACAAAAACCGAAGAGUUUAUAUUUUCAUGAACUGAAUGAUUUGUGUUUCAGUUGAGUUCGGUUCGAUUCUGGACCUGAACCGAACCGAACCGAUCCGUGAAUCGUAAACUGCCCACCCUUACGUAGUAGUUUCCGUUAACCGACGUUGUAUUGCUCGUAUAAAAUUGUUCAAAUGUUCAAAUCACAGUCUCCCGCUCUCAGCUCAGUCAGAGUUUCCAGGUCCAGAGACUUCCCGCUGACUGAGAACUUUUUCGUAGCAGGUCUACAAAUAAUGGAGUAGAGCUGAUUUUAUGAUUAAUUUAUUUCCUUUUUCAAUUUCUCUUGAUUGCGAUUUAAUCUGGAAAGUUAAACGUGAAUUGUUUAGUGCGGAUUAAAUGUUCGACGAAUUUCCCACAAGAGUAUUAAGUUCAAGAGAAAAAAAGAAAACAAUUGAGCGUGAGCGUGAGCGAGAAUGGUGUUUGGGCAAGUGGUGAUUGGUCCGCCCGGCUCGGGAAAGACCACUUACUGCAAUGGCAUGUCUCAGUUUCUCAGCCUUGUUGGCAGGUAACUUCGUUUCUUGAUUUCAAGCAGCUUUAUCUUCGAUGACCAAAAAUAUUGAUUUGGGCUUUGCCAUUAAAUGAAUGUAAGAGCAGUAGGGAAUAACUGAGUUAUAGGAUUAGCUUUAAGUGAACAUUGAUGGUAAUGUGAAGGUUGUAUGUGUUCAGUGGCAAGCUGUAUGCCAAUUUGGUCUAUAUGGUUGCUUAGGUAGUAACUUAUUAAUUUUUAGGCAGGAAGGUUGCAGUCAUCAAUUUAGUUCCUGCUAAUGAUAGUUUGCCGCAUCCUUUGUCAUUGAACUUUCUUACAAAUGCUGUGGUUUGUUGUAGUAUAAUUAGUUCAAUUGGAAAUUUCCUUGAUGUUAAUAUAGAAAUGAGUGUGCUGUGAAUAUUGAGGACCUCAUUAGACUAAGUGAUGUGAUGAUGGAGUAUUCACUUGGUCCCAAUGGAGGUUAGUCAGCCUAUUGUUGUUUACUCUUUCUUGCUUUAUCACGCAAUGAUAUUCCUUUGCUUUACAACAAAUUUCAUGAAAUUAACUUCAAUCAAGUGGCAAUGUUCAUACGCUGUUGAGAUUUUAUGGACAAUGAUUUGGUAGAAUUUAUAUGCCGUCUUCUUUCUUUUUGCAGUGAUAUGCUUGUAUUCAAUGAGCUUGUACUUAUUCUAUGGUUUCUAAAGUAGGUGUUUUUAUGAUAAACUAGGUCUUGUGUAUUGUAUGGACUAUCUAGAGAAGAAUAUUGACUGGCUGCAGUCGAAAUUGGAACUACUUUUGAAAGGUAAGUAGAGGCCAUUUUCCUUCAUUCUAAUGCCAAUAAUGCUGUCAUGAGACUCAUAAAAAUUGUUAAAACGUUAAUGUUUUUGGUAUUUUGCAGAUCGUUAUCUUCUGUUUGAUUUUCCUGGCCAAGUUGAAUUAUUUUUUCUUCAUUCCAAUGCCAAGACUGUUAUAAUGAGACUCAUAAAUAAGUUAAAUCUCAGGGUAUUGUUACAUCUUACAUCUAUGAAGGGACUCAAAGAGUUGAGAUGAAUUCAUCUUUGUUAUUUUGAUGCCAGAAUUGUGCAAUUCUCAGUUUGUUCCUUUCACAUGCAGUUGACUGCAGUGCAUCUAGUUGAUGUGCAUCUUUGCAGUGACCCCAGGAAGUAUGUUAGUGCUUUGCUUCUCUCAUUGUCUACGAUGCUACAUCUGGAACUUCCCCAUGUCAAUGUCUUGUCUAAUCGAUCUGAUUGAGAAUCAUGGAAAGCUAGGUGUGGUUUUAAGUGUAGCUCUCCUGCUUGUUUGUUUAGUUUGAAAUAUCAGAUAUUGUCACAAGAUCCUAUUUGCUACAUUUCCUCACCAAUCAAUUAUUUUGGGUCUGUUGCAGCUUUUAAUCUCGAGUACUAUACAGAUGUGCAAGAUUUGUCAUAUUUACAGCAUGCUCUCGGUCAGGACCCUCGUUCUGCUAAGUACAGGUUUGAAUUCUAGCUGAAUCAAUGAUGCAAAUUAUGUCCAUUGUUAUUUCUGCUGUUGUUUCUAUCAUUUUCAAUUGUUACUUCCCCUUUCCAUCUACUACCACACUACAAUACCCACACAAAUGUUGUGAAAUUUGUCAAUGGAAAAAAAACAGUUCCUCUUUUAUUUUGAUCAGACUCAAUGAAUAAGUGGUUAAAAUGUGCCUGUCCUAGAAAUAUAGAUGUGUGGUUUCGUAAAAUUUUCUUGAUCUUAAGAAAGAGUUAUCUCGAAAAGAAGAUAACAUGGAGAAUUCAACAACUAUACAGUCAUAUUGAUGUCUGUCAACUUGGGUCAUAUGGUGUCGUUUGGAUGGAGAUGUUAGGUCCCAGAUGGUAAACUUGUUAUCGAAUUCCAGUCUACUUCAUUCAUGCUUUGAUGACAUAUACGGUGCAGCUUCUUAUCUAAGACCUGCAUAUGUUCAAUCAUCAUUCUGUUCUGUAUUUGGCUGCCAUUCUUUUCAAUGAAUUCAAACCACUUCUGAAUACUUGCAAAUUCAUCCAGUGUUGUCAUUGAGAUGCCAAUAUGAAAGGAAGCCAUAAUUGCCCUUGAUAGUAUGCUUAUUGAUUGCCUCUUGCCUCACUCAGCCUCAUGAAUCUGCUUGUAUGGUGUUCUUGUAAUUUCAUUUGGAGAUUAGUAAUAUCUGUUGUUCAAAUGUAUUUUAUAUACCAGCAGUUAAUAAUUCUGCUUGCAGAAAGCUUACAAAGGAGCUGUGUGAUGUAAUUUUUCAACCUUAGAUAUCCAGGUCAUCAGUUUCUCUUGAAUUCUUUCUUGAAUUUCUUUGAAUUAUUUGUGAAUAAGAUCUUAGUUGGCUGCUUCUCUUCAGGAUAAGGAAAGUGUGGCAAAACUCGUGAAGCUGAUAUAUAAAAGCAAUGGGUACAUCUUUGCUGGCAUGGAUGCCAGUGCAGUUGAAUUCAGCAAGAUUGCCGUUCGCGAUGUUGAUUGGGAUUAUUUCGGAUAUCCUUCUUUUCACCUAUUUUCAAUGUUGUUAUUCUCAUAUUCAUAAAAUUUUUUGGUUAUUUAAUUAUGGUUCAUCAUAUGCAUCUGCAUCUUCUAACUUGUUCGUUUGAGAAACUAAUUUUGCCGUUAGGUAGGCUUCGAGCUUGAUGAGUUGAUUCAUGCUUUUUUCAUAAAUGUACCAAAAUCAUGGAAACUUCUUUUUCCCAGAUAUUGUAUCCACACUUUUUCCAUGUAAUUGGGUCAGACAAGUUUUGCUUAACAAAGAUAUCUACAGUAGCCGAAGUGCAGGAGAAGUACAUUAAGGAUGAUGAUGAUGUUAACUAAAAUGAGACGUGAAGAUAUGUGGUGUGCGAACCGUAAGCCUGCCUCUUAAUUUUGUGCAUGUUUACUUGCUUGUGAUUCACGUUUGUUAAUCUAUUUUGCUCUCUUGCAGGAGUUAUAAAGUUUUCAAUCAAUCAAACAUUUAACUUAAGUCCUUACCUCUUGCUGCAAAGACAAUGGGAAGUCUCAUGAGCUCUAAAAAAACUGAAGAAGAGUGGAAAAUAAUUUUAAAUAGUGAUUUAUGGAAGGUAAAAGAGAUCGAGAAAGGUGUUCUAACCCCUUUGUGGUUGAGUUAUAAUGAUUUGCCGUCCAGAGGAAAAAGAUGUUUCUCGUAUUGUGCUGUCUUUCCAAAAGACUACAAUAUAAAAAAAGACAAAUUAAUUACUUUGUGGAUGGCUCAAGGUUAUCUUAGUGCAGAAGCAGCAGAACAAGAUGAGGAGUUGGAGACUAUAGGUGAAGAGUAUUUUGGCAUCUUAGCUUCUCGCUCUUUCUUUCAAGAGUUUCAGAAACGUUAUGAUAAUCGUAUUAUAGCGUGCAAGAUGCAUGAUAUGGUACAUGAUUUUGCCCAAUUUGUUAGUCAAAAUGAAUGUUUUUCGUUGGAAGUUAAUGGUAGUGAGGAACUAACCGUCACAAACUCUACAAACUCUCUUGAUGAGAAGGUCCGUCAUUUAAUGUUAAUCUUUAGUAAAGGGACUUCAUUACCUGUUUCCACUCGUAGAGUUAAAAGAAUGCGUACCCUCUUAAUUAACGAUAGUAGAUCUGAUCAUUCAUUAUUAAAUGGUGAGAUCCUAGAAGAAUUAUUUAGGGAAUUGACAAGUUUAAGGGCAUUAGAUUUUGGCAAAUCGUAUAACUCAAGUUGGUCUUCGACUGUGGAGAUUCCGAGAACCAUAGAAAAGCUGGUACAUUUAAGAUACCUUAAUUUGUUUUAUCAGGGAAUAAAGAAACUACCGGAGACAUUAUGCGAGUUGUAUAAUCUAGAAAAGUUAGAUAUUAGUUUAUGUUUUAAUCUUAAAGAAUUACCUGAAGGGAUUGGGAAGUUAAUAAACAUGAAGCAUUUACGAAAUAGAGGUACUAGUUCUUUAAGGUACAUGCCAGUAGGGAUUGGGAGAUUAACGGGUCUCAGGACCUUGGAUGAGUUCCACGUGAGUGGAGGAAAGCGUGUAGGCUUGAAUCUCUUAAAAAAUUGGAACACCUUCAAGUAUGUGGUAUACGUAGACUGGGUGAUGUAUCAGAUGUGGGCGAGGCUAAGCGAUUAGAACUUGACAAAAAGAAAUACCUCUUCAGUUUGACCCUUGAGUUUGAUAAGAAGGAGGAAGAAGAAGGAGAAAGGAGGAAGAACGAGGACGAUCAAGUUCUUCUUGAAGCCCUACAACCACCUCUCAAUUUAAAGGAAUUAGAGAUAGAGUACUACCGAGGCAACACUGUUUUCCCCAGCUGGAUGACGUCAUUAACCAACUUAAAGAGUUUAGAUCUCUCUUCCUGCGAAAAUUGGGAGCAGCUGCCUCCUUUGGGAAAAUUGCCAUCCCUUGAAGCACUCAGCCUAUGGGACAUGAAGUGUGUGGAAAGAGUGGGUGAUGAAUUUUUGGGGAUAGAAAGUGAUCAUCAUGGCUCAUCUUCAUCGGUUAUUAUUGCCUUCCCCAAAUUGAAAUCACUUUCAAUUGAGGUUCUGCGCGAAUUGGAGGAGUGGGAUUAUGGGAUUACAAGAACGGGAAACACCGUCAUCAACAUCAUGCCACGUCUUUCUUCCUUGACAAUUGCACUUUGCCCCAAAUUAAAGGCACUGCCCGACCACUUUCAUCAAACGACAACAUUGAAGGAAUUGCACAUUUGGGAUUGCAGGCUUCUGGAAGAACGUUAUUGCAAGGGGGAAGGAGAAGACUGGCCUAAGAUAUCACACAUUCCCAACCUCCAUAUUGGGCUUUGACAAGUAAUUUCUUCUCUUACUCUGAUUUGCUUUGUUGUUGUUUUUAAUCUAAUUAAGAAGCGUAAAUAGCAUUUUGAAUCAAACUCUAUAUCAGAAAUCUGCAAUACUUACUUUCUAAUAUUCUGAUUUUCAUAUCCUAUGAAUAUACGAUUUUUAAUUUGUGAGAUGGGUAACGUUACUGUAAAAGAUUAUUAAUGCAAUAUGAGUAAUUCUUUUGCAGGACAAGUGACCUACAUUUAGUUUGGCUUUGGAGUUGAAUAAUAACCUUUCGAGGUCCCGACAACCAAAAAACGAAGCUUAAUUUGCCACAGAUUGCACGUAUUGCCAUUAUUGACAAUUUUCUGCACAAGCUUAGGUUGAUGUCAAAAGAGGUAAAUUAUUGGCAUGCCUGACUAUUUUGACCAUUACACGAUUCAUAAGUUUACAUUAAUUUUGAUUUUGAGUUGAGUGAUUAGUUUUCUAGGUUUGCUUACUUUAACUGGGUGACCAAUUUCUUGUAACUAAAUGUAUGAUGUGAAGCAGAACUCAAACAAAAGUAUGCUACUUCUUGCGGAAAUCUUGCCUUUGUUCAGAUUAUGAAACCAUUUCCAUGCAGCAAAUUCAUCCAAAAGUUUGAAUAAGUUUCACGGUUGGACACUGUUGGUUUCUUUUUCUUCUGGGGUGCAUUUAGGUGCUAUCAAGUGACAGCUGUAAGUAUGAUUGCACUAAGCUGCCGCUGGGAAAUUUGAGGUUUUGAUGGCUGCCCAUGUUAUUUUCAAGAAACUAUUGAUGUAAGAAGCUGUGGUUCUUUUCAUCAGCUUGAACCUGAAACUGUCGCUAUGGAUAACUCAGGUUUUUGUUAUCAACUAUAUCAUCUUUUUCACUAUUUUGAAACUCUUAAGAUUAAACUUUAGUAAAGUUGUUUCAGCUUUUCAAAUGAAAAACUCAUUGAUUUGAGACUUCCUUCAUUAUUGUUUCUAAUUACAAUGCUAACGAUCCAGAUAAGAUAAUAUUUAAUCGGCGAAGGUGUCCCUUGGAAGUACAUCCUUCUUUUUCUUUUAUUAUACAAAUUCUUGCAAUGAGCUUAGUGAAGCUGUUGUGCUAAUCAUGCCACUGCAUAAUUUGGCCCCUAAUGUGGGUACUCUGUUACAUUGUUCUGCAAAUUCUCCAGAAGUUAAAAUCAAUAAAUUUUCUAUUAGCUCUAGUGCUUUGACCUAAAUGCUAUUCUAUAUUCUGAUUACAAUGUUUUACCUUUAAAUUAACUACCCCUAGAUGUUGGAUUUUCUAGAACUUCAAAAUGAUUAAUGGAGAAAGAUCCCAUUAUCGUUAUUGCUAUAAAAAAUUGAUUUAUGCAUCCAAAGAUACAUUAUAUAUUUCUGUGUCUCUAUUUAUAGAUGACAUUUAAGCAUCCAUAAACCGUCAGACAGAGGAAGGGGGUUCAGUGCAAAGAUUCUGUUGACCUAGGGUUGACUGCAUAAUGUCACUUGUUCGCAAUCUAUUAUUCUUUUCAAGGUCUGCUUCCUUAACGGAGCGACCAAUGUUUUUCAACUAAAUUUAUCAUAUGAUGCAGGAAGCAGGGCAGGAUAUGAAAUGUGAAGCUCAUUGGUGGAAGUAUUGCCAGUAACAGAACCCAAAGAAAAUGAAACUAUUUCAAGGCAGCAGUUGGCAGUUGCAAGUGAAUGGAGGCCCUUGACAAAAUUCUCAAGCGGUUGCAAUGCAAUUACGAUCAUCCUCAGCCUCAGGUAAUUUCUUCUCCUGCUUUGUAUUUAUUUGUUAUCUAAUUAGGAACCGUAAAGUAUCUUGAAUCAUUUUCUGUAUCUGGAAUAUAUGCAAGAGUUUCUAAAAUUUUGAUAUGAGUGUAAUGAUGGUAAUUUCUGUUUUCUGUCUGUCAUCAAAUGUUAGAAAACUUUCAUUGAGACCCUUGAACCGAGUCAUUUUUGACAAGUGAAGUGCUGAAGAGUGAAGAGUAAGAAUGGUGCUAGAUUGGGGAAUAAAGCAAAAGGAGGUAAAUUAUUGGCAGCUUCUUCAACCUUAUUUUCUUUGGACCAGUGCCUAAUUCACAAGUCUCCAUAAUUCGGCUUUUGACCAGUUGAUAGAUAAAAUUUUAAUUUCAUUGGUGCUAAUGUACCCGUGAGGCAGGCAGAGAAGGACUGUGGAAAAGAGAAGGUUUUUAGUGAAAGCUUAAACUCAGGUAAUUCUAAAAAUUAUAUGUUUUGGCUGAUUUAUCUAAAUCAGGAAAUUUUAUUUCCAUCUGUUACAAUAAAACAGAAACAGAACACAAAGAAAAAUAUUCUACUUCUUGUGGCAAUCUUGCCUUCAUUCAGACUAUGAAACCAUUUCCUUUCACCAAUUUCUUCCAAAAGUUUGAACACAUUUCAUGGUUGGACAUAGUUAGCUUCUUUUUCUUUUGGUGCAUUUAGGUGCUAUCAAGUGACAGCCGUAAGUAUGAUUGCAUUAUUGGGAAAUUUUAGGUUUUGAUGGCUCCCCAUGUUAUUGCCAAGAAAUUUUAAGUCCUCGUGUCAGAAGCUGCGUUUCUUUUCAUCAGCCUGAACCCGAACCUGUCACUAUGGAUAACUGAGGUUUUUGUCAUCAACUAUAUCAUCUUUUUCACUGUUUUGAAACUCUUAAGAUUAAACUUCAGUAAAGUUGUUUCAGUUAUCCAUGUAAUCAGGCUAAGGAUAUUUAGCAGCUUAUUUAGGCAACUGCCAGAAUUCAGUUUGUUCGCUCGAAACUUGUAUGGUGACAAGGAUACUGGCAAGGAUAGUGAGAUAGUUUUUUGUGUGAGUGAAUUUUGAAAGCUUGGGUGUUCUGGGAUUUGCAAUUGCAAUCAUCCUCUGCUUUAGGUGAUUUCUUCUCCUGUUCUGUCUUUAUUUUCUCUCUAAUUGAAAGCAUUUCAAUCAAAUUCUGUACCAGGAAUACGAAAAAUUUACCAAUAUUUUAUUUCCAUCUGUUUGCAUUGAUAACUUGGCCGCAUAUGUACUAGUUAAAGAACAAACAGAAGCAGAGUUCAGGAAAAAGUUUCUUCGGCCACCAUAUUUGAAAAUGAAACCAUUUCCAGGAAGCAGUUGGCAGCAAAUUCAUACAAAGUAUAGACAAUGAUGAACAAAAAGGUGAUUCGCAAUUUCAUUUUUUUAAAAUGAAAUUAUUUGUUAAGUUGGAGCUGAUAUUGUUAGAAGGCCAUUGAGCUAACCUCUGACACUGCUUGCCUAGAUUGCAGGAGGUCAAGACUCAAAAGAUGCACUGAAUUUUAAAAGGCAUGCAAUAAUUCUUAUGGCCAUUUGUCAAUGGUGGAAUGCUUUUAGCUUCUUUUCCUUUUGUGCAUUUUGGGGUUCUAUCAAGCGACAGCCGUAUGUAUGGAUGGAUAUAGCUGCUGCGUUGAUUUCUAAUGCAUUGUAUGAUGUUAUAGCAACUAUCCAUCUGGUCAAUGUUUCAAAAGAAUAAGACAGGGAAAAAGAGAAAGCAAGUGGCCAAUCAAGUUGCAUCAACCAAAUUGUUGUUAAACAAGUAAAACAAAGAAAGAGAGUUAAGGAAGCUGACCUUGUAGUAGGGGAGCUGAAGAAAGGCUGCCAGUGAAUGUAAGAGAAAAUAAAAUGCAAGAAAUGGUGAAGUGCAGCUUUUCAUGUCAACUUGAAAUUGAUUUUUCUGUUUGUUUUUUUUUUUUUGUAAUCUUUUGGAUUUUUCAAACAAAGAAAAUGAGGAGCAACCAGGGAGAUAAAAAGGGCGCCAAGGCAACUGUGUGUUGGGUUUAGAGCCAAAAAUAAAUAAAUAAAUAAAUAAGACAUCGUGUUCUUGUGGAGACCAGACCUAUUACGUAACGUCCCCUUCAAUACCACUUGUUCCGUAUCUGGUUUUCUCUUCGUCGUUUACAUAUUUAUCCUGUGAUUUUACAAUAACUAAAUAAUCCCCGCAUAGUUUGCAAUUUUAUUCAUUUGGGCCCUACAGAUUUCAGUAAUAGGAAUUAUUAAGGGACAAGAGCGCAAAACAGAAACUCUGUCCACUACUGAUGAUAUAAUAACGAACCUUUGUUUUUUUUUUUUAAAAAAAAAAAGAGUAACAAAAUAUCAUUAGACAAAUGAAAAUAUUAUCUAACAUCACCUAUUCACCUUACUGAUGAUAUGAAAAUAUGUAUGUAUGUAUGUAUGUAUGUACAUAUAUACAUACACCUAUGUAACAUUUACUUAUACAUUCUUUUGAGUUUAAAUCUUAAUACAACUACAUACAACCACAUCAAUGUAUAUAUUUUUUACAUAAGACAUGCCGUCCUAUUAUUCAUAAGUAAACAAUGUGCCGUAAAUAGUAUUCUGUGUUUUCUCAAAGUUGACUUUUCGUCUUUUAUUUUCAGACGCAGACGCUAUGUCAUUUUGUAAUCGUCCGAACAUAUACAGAGCAGAAUUGGUGUUAUCUGAUUUUGUGAUGCAAUAAGAUUUGCACUUCCUGUGCAUUCAAUGGAAUCAUGCCACGCUAGUAGACAAUAUGCUAGUUUGAACAAACUUGUUUGAAUGGCAAAAACGACAUGACCUGCUGUAGUAUUAAUUCUUUCCCGAACCAACGGGUGAUUUGCUACGUUGGAUCAUGAAAAUUAACCAAAAUAAAAAUUCUUAAGGAAUUAGUUAGUUAAUUGAUUGAUCGAAUUUAAUCUAAAUUUGAAAAUGAUAAGAUAAAUUUAAAUUUAUUAUUAUUAUUAUUAUUAUUAUUUUAAAGUGGGUGGGUUUAUACAAUUUGAGCGGUGGAAAUAUCACUGCUGAAUUAUUAAAUAUACAGUGUAAAAUUUUGACCUUUAAAAUAUUCCCUUUUUUUUUUUAUUUAGCACUAUAAGUUUAAAAAUUUAACAUUUUACCUCAAUAAUUAAAUACUUUUAACUUUAAUCUUCAAAUAUUUACCCUACAACAUUUGGACCUAAAUUUUUAAUCCGACUCGGCCCCUGACCCAAGUGGGAAGAAGAUCAGGCUUAUAAGUUAUAACUAUCACCAACAUAACAUCUUCUGGAAAAUAAUAAGAUUACUCACCUGCAAUUAUGUGAUCAAACUAAUGGUAAGCAAAAUAGAACAGCGUUAUUUCAGUCCCCUUUCAGUUUCUUUAUCAUUUUUCUUUUCCUAUUUAUAAGCUUAAUUCGGUUCAAAAUCGGCUAAUUCACUUUGAUUUCACUUUUCUUUCUUUCGGUUCAAAAAAAUUGAACCCAUUGGCUGUCAAUUCAAUUUUGUUGAAAACCAACUUUGCCUGAAUUUAAGUAAUAAUAGAGGAAAAAAAAAGAGUACUUAGCAGAAGAGAUUUCUCAUUUUUUUCUCAUUCAAACUUCUAAAAUAAAAGAAAAAAAAACAAGAGUAAUUGUUAAUUAUCAAAAUUUUGUUUAUACUAUUCCACCAAGAAAAUUAUACAAAAAAAAAAAUUUUAAAAAUUGGAGAAGAAAUAUGAGGUGAAAUACGUGGAUGGCUUAGACUAAUAAUGUGAACAAAUUCCUCUUGGAAGCAUGUCAUUGUUCAUCCGGACAACACGCGGCGAUGAGAUUCGAGAAUAAAAGGAUAGGAAUCAACUGUAACCUCAUAAACAAAUGGCCUUGGAGUUGUAACCAAAGCUUUUAAUUAUUGAUCAUUAAGAUCGAUAUAAAGUAUCACGAAAUGAUGUGUACGACGACAAUAUCAAUAGCGUAGUGUGAAGACCUGGCUGUAAACACAAGGCUCGGCAGAUUAAUUAAACAAGAGUAUCCGAAUUUUCUAUGAUAAUCUCUAGGAAACGAUCAGCUAUAAUGUACGAAAUUAAAAUAUUGCAUAUAUUUUUGAAUUUUUGAACUCAUGCAUUAAUUUAAAAAAUUAUAUCGUAUUAUAAUUUAUUCACAAAAGAAAGAAAAAUUCACUAAUCAAGUGAAAUCGUAUUCUUAUUGAAAUGAAUUCCAGUAAUUGGAUAAAUAUAAGUAUUUCUUCCGUUGUAAUUUUUGUUUAACAGAAAAUCUAUUUGAGAUUUUGUGAGAAGAAACUCAACAAUAAAGUUUGAUAGACUUUGUGGAUAUUAAGAGUUUGACAAGUAAUUGAAAUCUGAAGUUUACUGAAAUUUACGAGCAAACAAACUGAAAUCCGAAGUUUACUGAAGUUUACUAUCAAGAGUUUCAAAACAGUGAAAAAGAUGAUAUAGUUGAUGACAAAAACCUGAGUUAUCCAUAGCGACAAGUAACAUACUGAAGUAAGCCGUUGGGAGCUGGCCUGUUCAUGGGCUAUUUUUCUCUGAUGAUCUGCAUUUUUCUUCCUUUUAAAGUGAACCUUGACUCGUAUCAAACCUGUCAAAAGAACAGUUCAUCAACUGAGCUGAGAUUUGCUUUCCUUUUUCAAAACCCACCUGAGAUAUUGUAAUUCCCAAAUUUCUCUCUCUCAGCUACACGAGCAAGCAGCCGCUUUUUCACUUCAUCGAAGAAGGUAAGCGAUUUAUCUAUUUCGUCCGAUUGAUUUCUUGUUUCGUUUUCAGUGUUCGGGUAAAUUAUUGGCAUGCCUGACUUUUUGACCAUUACAUGAUUCAUAAAUUUCUAUUAAUUUUGAUUUUGAGUUGACUGGUUACUUUUAUAGGUUUGUUUACUUUGACUAGGUGACCAAUUUCUUGUAACUAAAUUUAUGACGUGAUGCAGGAAGCUCGGCAGGAUAUGAAAUGAGAAUCUUAUUAGUGGAAGGAUUGCCAGUAACAGAACCCAAAGAAAAUGAAACCAUUUCAAGGCAGCAGUUGGCAGUUGGGAGUGGAUGGAGGCCCCUGACAAAACUUCAGUAAACUUCAGAUUUCAGUUUGUUUGCUCGAAACUUGCAUGGUGACAAGGAUACUGGCAAGGAUAAUGAGAUAGUUUUUGUGUGAAUGAAAUUACGAUCAUCCUCAGCCUUAGUUGUUAUUUGUUACCUAAUUAAGAAGCAUAAAGUAUCCUGAAUCAUUUUCGUUGUCUGGAACAUAUGAGUGUAAUGAUUGUAAUUUCUGUUUUCUGUCUGUCAUCGAAUGUAAGACAACUUUAUUAAGAUUCUUGAACCGAGUCAUUUUUGACAAUUGAAGGACAAGUGCUGAAGAGUGGGAAUGCAAAAAGUUUUGUUGUUUCUAGCCUUGUUUUCUUUGAACCAGCGCCUGAUGAUAUAACAGAAACAAGGCUAGAAACAACAAAAACUCUGUCCACUACUGAUGAUAUAACAACGAACCUUUGUUUUUUUCUUUUUUCUUUUUUUUUUUAAAAAAAGUAACAAAAUAUCAUUAGAGAAAUGAAAAUAUUAUCUAACAUCACCCUACUGAUGAUAUGAAAAUAUGUAUGUAUGUAUGUAUGUAUAUACGUAUGUAUGUACAUAUAUACAUACACCUAUGUAACAUUUAAUUAUACAUUCUUUUGAGUUUAAAUCUUAAUACACAUUUUCAUGAAAUUUUUAUUUUAUUAAGUAUACAACUACAUACAACUACAUUAAUGUAUAUAUUUUUUACAUAAGACAUGCCGUCCUAUUAUUCAUAAGUCAACAAUGUGUUGUAAAUAGUGUUCGUGUCUCAAAGUUGACUUUUCGUCUUUUAUUUUCAGACGCAGACGAUAUGUCAUUUUAUACACAGCAGAAUUGGUGUUAUCUGAUUUUGUGAUGCAAUAAGAUUUGCACUUCCUGUGCACUCAAUGGAAUCAUUUCUUUGUAACUAAUUGGGUGCUGGAAUGGUGGUCAAAUCUCGAACGAAGACAGAUCUAUCAAACUCCAGAAUUGGUGUUAUCUGAUUAAUUGAUUGAUCGAAUUUUAUCUAAAUUUGAAAAUGAUAAGAUAAUUUUGAAUUUAUUAUUAUAAUUAUUAUUUUAAAGUGGGGUGGGUUUAUACAAUUUGAGCGGUGGAAAUAUCACUACUGAAUUAUUAAAUAUACAGUGUAAAAUUUUGACCUUUAAAAUAUUCCCUUUUUUUUUUAUUUAGCAUCUAUAAAUUUAAAAAUUUAACAUUGUACCUCAAUAAUUAAAUACAUUUAACUUUAAUCUUCAAAUAGUUACCCUACAACAUUUGGACCUAAAUUUUUAAUCCGAUUCGGCCCCUGAUCCAAGUGGGAAGAAGAUCAGGCUUAUAACUAUCACCAACGUAACAUCUUCUGGAAAAUAAUAAGAUUAUUCACCUGCAAUUAUGUGAUCAAACUAACGGUAACCAAAAUAGAACAGCGUUAUUUGAGUCCCCUUUCAGUUUCUUUAUCAUUUUUCUUUUCCUAUUUAUAAGCUUAAUUCGGUUCAAAAUUGGCUAAUUCACUUUAAUAAGUUUAUUGGUUUGAACGCUGUUAGCUUCUUUUCCUUUCGUGCAUUUUGGUAUGCAACAGUUCUUGCCUAUGACACUGCUUGCCUAGAUUGCAGAAGGUCAAGGCUCAAAAGAAGCACUGAAUUUUAAAAGGCAUGCAACAGUUCUUGUGCCAUAUGUCAAUUCAUGCAAGUUUGAAUAAGUUUUUUGGUAUGCUAUCAAGUGACAGCCGUAUGUAUGGUUUGCAUAUAGCUGCUGCUGGGAAAUGUGAGGAUUUCAUGGCUGGCCGUGUUAUUGUCUUAAAUUAGAUGUGAUAAGCUGUUGCUUGGUGAUUCUGUUGCCAAGAAUUUGCUCACAUCAGAAGCUGUGGAACCUGAACCCUUCUCUAGAUAUCAUCUUUUUCAUUGUUUUAAAACUCUCAGGAUUAAACUUGAGUAAUUUUGUUCGGUUGUCUAUAUAAUCAUGUAUUGAGUAAACUCUCAGGAUACUGAGCAGGCAAAUGCCAUAACUCGGUUUGUUCUUCAAAAACUUGUUUAAGAUUCUUGACAAAGCUGCAUGAAGUGAAUCUUGGGAGCUUUGAGGGUGAGAGAAAUUAGAGGGUGUAUAGGGAUUUGGGCUUAUUAGGAAGUUAUAUAUGUAUUUCGUCACUUAUCAUUAUCAUUUUUUUUUUCACAGAAAACCUUCUGAUGGUGCUAAAUUUUCAAACACCGGUCCGAUUCAAAACUUCAUAUUCCAAUUAUAUUCAUAAGACAAAUGGAACACUUUGAACGGCUUGUGUCCGAGCAUUGUAGUUUGAUUUAUUUUGAUGACAGUACCUUUUGACAUUGAGAUUCUUUCAUGAUUUAAACAUUCUUUUAAAAACUAAAUUAUUAAAAAAAAAGUAACUAACAUAUAUUAUUUUAUUAGUGCUUUUUAAAUCAAAUAUACAUAGGAGAACUGUAAUUCUUAGCAAUCAAUUUUCCACUAAAUACACCUGCAACAAACUAUUAAUAGCAAAGUGAUAGAAAAUACCUGAUUUUUCAUACUUUCUAAUUUCUUUUGGUCCUAAAAUAUGGGCAUUUGUGUAAUAAUUAGCCCAUGUGGAUCUCUAUGCCAUGAGUUUGAUAAGUAGCUAUCAAGGAUCACUUAUUAAGCUAAAAAUAUUUGGAGGACAAAAUUGUAAAACUAAAAGGGUGGAGCAAAUAUGGCUAUCUAGGAUUAAAUAGUAAGUCAACUAUAUUUAAAGGAUAAAAUAUUAAAACUUGAAAUGUGAUAUUAAAAAUAUCUCAACUAUUAUGUUAUUAAACCAUAUGUUGUAAUAGUUUAUUUUUUAAGCUUCAAAAUGUUCAGGAUUUUAGAUUGAAACAUUUUCAUUUGAAAUUAUUUGGUGCAGUCACAAGUUAAGAAAGAAAAAGUUGUCCCAUUGGUCAUUUCACAAAAAUGAAAGCCCUGUAUAACAUGGGCUUGAAUGGAAGCCCAAUUGUUUGUGUUUGAUUAAUUGAUUUCAAGCUUUAUCGAACCUUUGUACCUGGAUACUUUACUGCGGCCUCUAAGCGCUAUAAAUUUUUUUGGGGAUAAACGGCGCUUCAAUGAGGUCAUCUCCGAUGCUUAACACCAUUUUGGUGUAAUACCAACAUUAAAAAUAUACAUUUUUCACACUAAAUUACUAUUUCAUCUCCAACCCAUUUACACCAAAAAAAAUAUUUUUCUUUUUAUUCUUUUAAUUCUCAAGAAUUAAUUCAAUUAACACAAUAAAUACUACUAUUAACAUAGAUAAUUAAGUAAUAAGUAAUUUUAUCGAUUAACAAAAAAAUAUAGAAAAUUAUUAAAUUUGCAUUUAAUUAACUAAAUUAGUACAUUAUGAAAAUUAAACAUUACAUUAAUAUAGAAAAAUACAAUAACAAUAAUAAUAAUUUUAUAUCUAAUAUUUUGAUGAUAUUGGAGGAUCUAAUAAUGAUCUUCCAGAUUAUUAAAUAAUUGUUCUAAUUUAUACUAGUAGUAGUAGCUUUUUUAAUUUGUGUUAAUUUAAUUUUGUAAUAUGUAAUAUAGUAAUUAAUGUUACUAGCAUUUUAUUAUUAUUAUUAAUUUUUGUGUUGAAUAUUUUUUAUUUAAAAUAUUAGUAUAAUAUUCAAAAAUUAAAAAAUGAAAUAAAAAUAAUAACAAAAAUAAUAAUAAUAAUAACUUAAAAUAUUAUAUAAAAUAGGACAUAUAUGUAAAUAAGAAAAAGUAAUAAAGAUAUUUAAGAGCUUUUUUUCCUAGCACCAAAUGAAUAGUGUUACACCAUAUUUGGUGCAAUACUAUUCACAACACCAUUUUGUUGUUGGUUUUGGUGUUACAUUGGAGAAGCAUUUUACACCAAAAAUAGUGUAAAAGGUGGUUUGGUGUUAGUUUUGGUGUCACAUUGGAGAUGGCCUGGAAAAGCACUUGAAAACUUUGGAUUUUUGGUUCGUCCAGUUACGGUGUUAUGCUAACGGGGUUAAAGGUUCCGAUCCAAUGAGUUAGGAUCCGAAGGUUACUGAAGUUUACUAUCAAGAGUUUCAAAACAGUGAAAAAGAUGAUAUAGUUGAUGACAAAAACCUGAGUUAUCCAUAGCGACAAGUAACAUACUGUUUAUUACAGAGAAACAAACGACAACAUGAUACUAGUAGUAGUUAUUCUUUUCAUCCGAUAUAUUACAUGGUAAUAUCACUACUCGUUCCACUAGUUUCAUGUACACUGUCGACCAGCAACAUGAUAAUUUCGUGCCAGUUCAUUUUGGUUUGUUGGAAAAAGCAGUGUAUUUCUUAGAACUUGAAAAUAAUAAAAAUAUUUUAAAAUAUAAAUUGCAUAUUUGUUUAUUACCAUUCUUUGGUCUAUUUCUUCUGUAGACUUUUCAGAAUCUGUAGGACGUUAGUUUAUAACUUUGGGAUUUUGUAGCCCUAAUUUUUUUUUUUGGCAUUUUAUUUUGCUGCUUUAUCUAUGUGCAUGUUAACUAAAUUAAGCUAAUCUAGAAUUAAUAGAGAGGGAUAUUUAUCUAUUUUGUUUAACCUUUACCACUCUAGGCAUUGUACUACAUGUGAGCUUGUGAUGCUUGCAUUUUAUUGAUGUUGAUGAUUCGUUGAAUGUUUUAUUUUUUGAUUUUUUAAGUUUUCCAGAGUCAUGUUUGUGUCUACGAAGAAAUUGUAAAGGCUGUGCACGAAGCACUUGUCAUUCUUUAGACUUUAUUGAUUAUAUUUUUGUCAGAUUUGCGUGUAUAUUCACAUAUGUUUUAUUUUUUCAUUUUGUAGGACAUUUUUACAUGCCAUAUUAUCACGACUCUUCUGUGUCUGAAUAAGAAGAAAGCAUAAUGCGACCCUCCAACAGCUUAAUCUAUGGAAUUAUCGUGUUUUGUAAGUUCUGGUCCAAUGGCGUUUUGGCACAUCAUAUGAUAGACCACUAUAUUGCGUUGCUUUACAAAAGAUUAAUAUUUUUAAAAUUAUUAACUCAUGAUAUGAUAGUCCAGGUUUUCGAGGACCACUAUAUUGUAUGGAUUUAAAAAAAAUUAAUAUUUUUUAAUAUUAAUAUUCUAAAUUAUAUUCAGUUAAAAUAUUAAAUAUUAAAUACAUUCUUAACAUUAAUAUUCUUAGAUGAAAUUCUUUUGCUGACUUAAGAAUAAAGUAUUAAAUAAUUUUAUUUUUCUUUUAUUUUGUAACGUGGACCCAAAAAAAAAAGGAAAUGAAUUUAAUAAAACCUUCAUUCCGCCAACAUGCAUGUUAAUUGUUUCCAAAUUCCAACCUCCGUACUCUCUUGAGGAGUUUCCCAUUCAUCAAUUAUUAUUUUUUAUAAUCCAUACCAUCCUGAUAUAAUUAAACACCAUUAAUAAUGUACCAGCCUUUAAAUAGUAAUUAAUUUAUUUAUCUAAUUCACCAAAUGUUUUUUUCCGGUACAUAUCUCCAUUGGUAUCAAGAAGAAGCAGAACCCAAAGAAAUGUUUCUUGCAUCUUCAUAUUUGUGCGAAUUCAUCCUUUCAUUGAGAAUAACCAUUUCCAGGCAGCAGUUGGCAAUCAAUUCAUGCGCAUGUCGAUGCUACUCAUAGAUAUUAAAGACAAUGAUGAACCAAAGGUAAUAAAUCAUAAAUGCAUAAUUACCAAACCUCCAUCCUUCUCUCAUUAUGACUUGAUUUUAAAUGAAUUAUUGCUUGGUAACAUUAUUUCCAACCAUUGCAAGAUUUUUUUUUGGAGAAAUUUCAAUUGAAAGUAAAACCUUUAGACAUUUACCUAAUGAAGUUAGUUAAUCGGGAGGGUGGAAAAAAAAAAGUUGACGCAAGUCAAUACACAAUAAUUAAUUAAAUCCGGAGUCACUAAAACAGAGCCACGACUUUUUCAAAAAUAUCUGCAUUCAUCACUUUCUCCAGCAACUAGUCAGCUACACACGAAUCAAUUUCUCUCCUCGUUUGUCAUCCAAAAUUAUUCACCAAUACCAUGGCUGAUGCAAUCGUUUCCCCGCUCUUGGAGCAGCUGAUUUCCUUCGCUGCUGAAGAGAUAAAACAACAGGUGAUCGAAGUUACACCCCUCAUAUUACAAAUACUUCCAAUGAUUUUAAUUGGUUUUGUUUUUAUCAAAAACAUUAUAUAUUUUUGCUUUUUUUUAUUUAUCUGAUAAUUUUAUAUUUUGAAAUUUGAAUUGAAUUUAAUUAAAAGGUGAUGUAGUAACCACUUAUUUUUAUUUUAUUUCAUUUAUAUUCUCAAUAACUACUCAUAUUUUGGUAACUUACUAUAACUUCCAUAUCUAAGAAAUGAUCCAAACCCACAAUUUUAACUAUGUAUAAAUAUUCAACGUUGAGCUAAGGUUUUGCAGAACAUUCAAGUUUAUCAAAUAGUCAUUAAUUUAAUGUUUUAGUAAAACCUCAACUCAUCACUGAAUCCCAUAGCUAUUACUUAGACACUAUGAAAAAUUUCAUAGUUUUCUUACAUUCUUUCAGUUUGGUAAGUGAUUUCAUAUAAUUUCUUUUCAAGUUAAAUUUUAAUUUGGUUUCUGAUAUAGUCUCUUUGCCGAAUUGUAUCUUUUAUGAUUCUUGGAUUUUGGGCUCCAACUUUUUAGGAUUUGAUAGUCACAUUUUAUGCCAUGCUCAGAUUGAUUUUCAUGAUUUUUAGUACCCGUUAAGUGACGUACAAUUUGACAAAAGUUUGAAAGGAAAUAUGUUUCAGAAUUCUGUUUUAAUUGACCUUUUAGUGGAAUUAGGAUGCUUAUAACUUAAUGUGGAUGGUUCGUAAAAUCAUGAAAUUUGGAUAGGAUUCACUAGCAAUAUGUACAAGACUCCCCAUAAAGUUUCAUAAUUUUUCAUUCGGUCUGGGGUGGUACAGGUGAAACUUGUGGUUGGUGUUGAAAAAGAAGUGAAAAGCCUUACCAGCCAUCUUCAAGCCAUUCAAGUUGUGCUCGAUGAUGCAGAGGAAAAGCAAGUGAAGGAAAAAGCUGUUAGUCUUUGGCUGGGUAGGCUCAAGUAUGCAUCCUACGACAUUGAAGAUGUGUUGGAUGAGUGGAUAACAACAAGACGCAAAUUGCAAAUUGAGGGUGGCGUUGAUGAAAAUGCUCUUGUUGUUCCUCAUAAGAAAAAGAAGGUAUGUCUCUGCUUUCCCGGCUCUUGUUUUGGAUUCAAACAAGAAGAAUUUGGUUUCAAACAGGUCUUUCUCCGUCAUGACAUUGCCGACAAGAUCAAAGAAAUCAAUGAAGAGCUACAUGAUAUUGCCGCUCAAAAAGACAUGUUUGAUCUUGUUAAGAGUGGCAAUAAAAGUAGUGAAAGACCAAGGCGUGUACAGAGUACCUCCUUGAUUGAUGAGGAAGAGAUUUGUGGCAGAGUUGGUGAGAGGAAUGAACUCUUAAGCAAGCUGUUGUGUGAGAGUAGCGAGCAACAAAAAGGCCUUCAUAUCAUCUCAAUCGUUGGUAUGGGAGGCAUAGGGAAAACAACUCUUGCACAACUAGCUUGUAAUCAUGACGAGGUGAAGAGAAAGUUCGACAAAAUUCUGUGGGUGUGUGUAUCAGAAACUUUUGAGGAGUUUAGGGUUGCCAAAGCGAUCGUUGAAGUUUUGGAUGGUCGUGAAUCUCAUUUAGCUGAAUUCCAUUCUCUUCUUCAACAUAUUUAUGAAUCCAUUGCAGGGAAGAGCUUUCUUCUUGUCUUAGAUGACGUGUGGGAUGGAAAUUACUUGAAAUGGGAACCAUUCUACCAUUGUCUAAAGAAUGGUCUCCAUGGAAGUAAAAUUUUAGUUACCACACGUAAAGGGUCAGUCGCAUCCAUGAUGGGAUCCAUAGAUAUUAUCUCCGUUAAGGAGUUAGCUGAAGAGGAAUGUUGGUUGUUGUUUAACAAGAUAGCAUUUUUUGAUCGGUCCAUCGAGGAACGUGAAAAAUUAGAACAAAUUGGGCAAAGAAUUGCAGGCAAGUGCAAAGGUUUACCUCUUGCAGCAAAGACAAUAGGGAGUCUCAUGCGUUCUAAACAAACUGAAGAAGAGUGGAAAAGAAUUUUAAAUAGUGAUUUAUGGAAAGUAGAAGAGAUUGAGAAAGAUGUUUUGUCCUCUUUAUUGUUGAGUUAUAAUGAUUUGCCAUCUAGAGUAAAAAGAUGUUUUUCAUAUUGUGCUGUCUUUCCAAAAGACUACAAUAUAGAAAAAGACAAACUAAUCACGUUAUGGAUGGCUCAAGGUUAUCUUAGUGCAGAAGAAGAUGAAGAGAUGGAGACAGUAGGUGAAGAGUAUUUUGGCAUCUUAGCUUCUCGCUCAUUUUUUCAAGAGUUUAAGAAAAGUUAUGAUAAUCGGAUUAUAGAGUGUAAGAUGCAUGAUAUGGUACAUGAUUUUGCCCGAUUUGUAAGUCAAAAUGAAUGUUUUUCGAUGGCAAUUAAUGGUAGUGAAGAACCAAACGCCACAAACUCUCUUGAUGAGAAGGUCCGUCAUUUAAUGUUAAUCUUUAGUAUAGAGGCUUCAUUACCUGUUUCCACUUGUAGAGUUAAAAGAAUUCGUAGCCUCUUAAUUAACGAUAGUAGAUCUGAUCAUUCAUUAUUAAAUGGUGAGAUCCUAGAAGAAUUAUUUAGGGAAUUGACAAGUUUAAGGGCAUUAGAUUUUUGCAAAUCGUAUAACGCAAGCUGGUCUUCGACUCUGGAGAUUCCGAGAAACAUAGAAAAGCUGGUACAUUUAAGAUACCUUAAUUUGUCUUAUCAGGGAAUAAAGAAACUACCGGAGACAUUAUGCGAGUUGUAUAAUCUAGAAAAGUUAGAUAUUAGUUAUUGUUAUAAGCUAGAAGAAGUACCUGAAGGGAUUGGGAAGUUAAUAAACAUGAAGCAUUUACGAAAUAGAGGUACUAGUUCUUUAAGGUACAUGCCGGUAGGGAUUGGGAGAUUAACGGGUCUUAGGACCUUGGGUGAGUUCCACGUGAGUGCAGGAGGAGGUGUUGAUGGUAGGAAAGCAUGUAGGCUUGAAUCUCUUUAAAACUUGGAACACCUUCAAGUAUGUGGUAUAUGUAGACUGGGUGAUGUAUCAGAUGUGGGCGAGGCUAAGCGAUUAGAACUUGACAAAAAGAAAUACCUCUUCAGUUUGACCCUUGAGUUUGAUAAGACGGAAAGAGGAGGAGAAAGGAGGAAGAACGAGGACGAUCAACUUCUUCUUGAAGCCUUGCGACCACCCCUGGAUUUAAAGGAAUUAGAGAUACGGUACUACCGAGGCAACACUGUUUUCCCCAGCUGGAUGGCGUCAUUAACCAACUUAAAGAGUUUACAUCUCCAUAGGUGCGAAAAUUGCGAGCAGCUGCCUCCUUUGGGAAAAUUGCCGUCCCUUGAAAAUCUCUACAUAUGGCGCAUGGAGAGUGUGAAGAGAGUGGGUGAUGAAUUUUUGGGGAUAGAAAGUGAUCAUCAUGACUCAUCGUCAUCUUCAUCAGUUACUAUUGCCUUCCCCAAAUUGAAAUCACUCACAAUUUAUUCGAUGCUGGAAUUGGAGGAGUGGGAUUAUGAGAUUACAAGAACAGGAAACACCGUCAUCAACAUCAUGCCACGUCUUUCUUCCUUGACAAUUGUUGAUUGCACCAAAUUAAAGGCACUGCCCGACCACAUUCAUCAAACGACAACGUUGAAGGAAUUGAGCAUUUUUAUGUGUUGGCUUCUGAACAAACGUUACCGCAAGGGGAAAGGAGAAGACUGGCCUAAAAUAUCACACAUUCCCAACCUCCAUAUUGGGCUUUGACAAGUAAUUUCUUCUCUCACUCUGAUUUGCUUUGUUGUUGUUUUUGUUGAAAAGUUAAAAAGUUUGGUUGGAAAAGAAAAGUGAGCCACAUGCAUUGCUUUUGUUUUUCAAAGUCGGCACCAAAUUGCAAACUGUAUUUGGCAUUUGACAAUCCUGCACCAAAUGAAGAAAAAUGCAAAAGUUAGCAAAAUUUGUCAAAUUGACAGAGAUGGAGAUUGAUAAAUUGCAGAGGGAUUAGGUGGAAUAGUGCAUGCUUGAAGCCUAUAAAUUGAAGCCAUUUCUUCAUUCUAAAUAAUCCCAAAAUUGUUAAACUUAUAAGUUUCUAAGCUUUUGAGAGAAGUGAGAGAAGUGUGUCUGUGGAAUUUAUUUUUCCUGCAGAGUGUGAGAGUACUUGGUAUAUUUGGGUUUCUGGGAAGUGAGAUUCGUUACUCAAAUAUUGUAUUCUAUUAAUUGUUAAAUAAACAAUUAUUCUUUCUUACCUCCGUGGAUGUAGGUUUAAUUACCGAACCACGUAAAAUCUUGUGUCCUUUAUUUUUCAGUAAUUAUUUGGUGCGCUUGAUUCCGCAUUCCGCGCACAACAGUUUUUAAUCUAAUUAAGAAGCGAAAAUAGCAUUUUGAAUCAAACUCUAUAUCAGAAAUCUGCAAUACUUACUUUCUAAUAUUCUGAUUUUCAUAUCCUAUGAAUAUACGAUUUUUAAUUUGUGAGAUGGGUAACGUUACUGUAAAAGAUUAUUAAUGCAAUAUGAGUAAUUCUUUUGCAGGACAAGUGACCUACAUUUAGUUUGGCUUUGGAGUUGAAUAAUAACCUUUCGAGGUCCCGACAACCAAAAAACAAAGCUUAAUUUGCCACAGAUUGAACGUAUUGCCAUUAUUGACAAUUUUCUGCACAAGUGUGACUGAACUUAGGUUGAUGUCAAAAGAGGUAAAUUAUUGGCAUGCCUCACUAUUUUGACCAUUACAUGAUUCAUAAGUUUACAUUAAUUUUGAUUUUGAGUUGAGUGAUUAGUUUUCUAGGUUUGCUUACUUUAACUGGGUGACCAAUUUCUUGUAACUAAAUGUAUGAUGUGAUGCAGGAAGCAGGGCAGGAUAUGAAAAGAGAAGCUUAUUAGAGGAAGGAUUGCCAGUAACAGAAUCCAAAGAAAAAGAAACCAUUUCGAGGCAGCUGUUGGCAGUUGGCAGUGAAUGGAGCCCCUUGAAAAAAUUCCCAAGCCGUUGCACUGCAAUUACGAUCAUCCUCGGCCUCAGGUAAUUUCUUCUCCUGCAUUUUUGUUAUUUGCUAUCAAGUGACUAUUUUAAGUAUGAUUGCAUUAAGCUGCUGCUGGGAAAUUUGAGGUUUUGAUGACUGCCCAUGCUAUUGUCAGAAGCUGCGGUUCUUUUCAUCAGCCUGAACCUGGACCUGCCGCUAUGGAUAACUCAGGUUUUUUUUUUUUUUUAAUCAACUGCCAUCUUUUCCACUGUUUAGAAACUCUUAAGAUUAAACUUUAGUAAAGUUGUUUUAGUUAUCCAUGUAAUCAGGCUGAGGAUACUUAGCUGCCUAUUUAAGCAAAUGUCAGAAUUUAGUUUGUUCGCUGGGAACUGGUGUGGACUGGCAAAGGAUGAUGAGAUAGUUUUUUGAGUGAGUAAAUUUUGGGAGCUUGAGUGUAUUGGGAUUUGCAAUUACAAUCAUCGUCUGCCUCAGGUGAUUUCUUCUCCUGCUCUAUCAUUGUUUGUUCUCUAAUUCAAAAGCAUAAAAUAUUUCAAUCAAUUUUUAUGCCAGGAAUAUGCAAAAGUUUCUAAUAUUUUAUUUCCAUCUGUUACAAGAUCAAACUGAAGUAGAACUCAAACAAAAGUAUGCUACUUCUUGCGGAAAUCUUGCCUUUGUUCAGAUUAUGAAACCAUUUCCAUGCAGCAAAUUCAUCCAAAAGUUUGAAUAAGUUUCAUGGUUGGACACUGUUGGCUUCUUUUUCUUCUGGGGUGCAUUUAGGUGCUAUCAAGUGACAGCUGUAAGUAUGAUUGCACUAAGCUGCCGCUGGGAAAUUUGAGGUUUUGAUGGCUGCCCAUGUUAUUUUCAAGAAACUAUUGAUGUAAGAAGCUGUGGUUCUUUUCAUCAGCUUGAACCUGAAACUGUCGCUAUGGAUAACUCAGGUUUUUGUUAUCAACUAUAUCAUCUUUUUCACUAUUUUGAAACUCUUAAGAUUAAACUUUAGUAAAGUUGUUUCAGCUAUUCAAAUGAAAAACUCAUUGAUUUGAGACUUCCUUCAUUAUUGUUUCUAAUUACAAUGCUAACGAUCUAGAUAAAAUAAUAUUUAAUCGGCGCAGGUGUCCCUUGGAAGUACAUCCAACUUUUUCUUUUAUUAUAUAAAUUCUUGCAAUGAGCUUAGUGAAGCUGUUGUGCUAAUCAUGCCACUGCAUAAUUUGGCCCCUAAUGUGGGUACUCUGUUACAUUGUUCUGCAAAUUCUCCAGAAGUUAAAAUCAAUAAAUUUUCUAUUAGCUCUAGUGCUUUGACCUAAAUGCUAUUCUAUAUUUUGAUUACAAUGUUUUAACCUUUAAAUUAACUACCCCUAGAUGUUGGAUUUUCUAGAACUUCAAAAUGAUUAAUGGAGAAAGAUCCCAUUAUCGUUAUUGCUAUAAGAAAUUGAUUUAUGCAUCCAAAGAUACAUUAUAUAUUUCUGUGUCUCUAUUUGUAGAUGACAUUUAAGCAUCCAUAAACCGUCAGACAGAGGAAGGGUGAUGGGUGUCGAAGCCAACAAAAAUAAAUUCCUACUCUAAAUAAAUUGUGUAUAGUGAUUGAGCAGGGUCGUGUCCACAGAGAUCGGUAAUUAAUUAAAUCCUUUUGAAACGUAAAACAUAAAAUGGGGGAAUUGUUGACAAUAAUAAAAAUCAAAUUAAAAUAACAAGAAUGCAAAUUAAAGUUGUAAUUCAAAUUAGAGAAAGCUCUGGUUGAAGGAAUUAACUCAGCUUGAUUCGACUACUGAUCAUUGAUUCAAAUAUAGAUUAUUAUUACUCAUGAAUAGACCGGUUAUAGCUACUGAGACCCUCUAAUAGCCAAUCUCUCCUUAACUAGUCGAUAACCAAGGUACGACCAUUGGUUAUUUCCCUAAUCAAUAGACAACCCUAGAUACGAUCAUAGAAUUUAAUCAAUUGACAGCCUGAAAAACCAGAGAGACCCAAAUCCUAAUCAACACAUAUGAUGAUUCAUUUAAAUUAGAUUGUUUAUUCUCACAACACAACUCUCUGCUAUGUUAUUUGUCACAAACAUUAAAUUCUUCAUACGAUGAAUCCUUUAAUUGACAAUAGAUUAAGUUGAUAAUUAAAUAGUGGCCAAUUACCUAAUUAACAAACAUAAUCAUGAAAAUAAUUCAGAGAAUAAACAAAUACCCAAAAAGUAAUAAAACAAUUAAAGCACAAGAAAGAUCUCACAGUAGUGAUGAAUCAAAGCUUCAUUAACCUUCAACCAGAAAAAUAGGUUUAGCUCUUCAUAGAGAGAAGAGAAAAAUUAGAUCUAGGGUUUCUUUCUUUUUCUCCAAUCCAAAAAUCCCCCUUUUUCACAAUAGAUUCCUCCCUUAAAUACUUUCUCUCUCUUCUCUUUUAGAAUUCUAUUUAAAAUAAAAUCCUAAUAUCUGAAAUAUUAAAUUCGUAAUUACAAAAAUAACCAAAAAUACAAAACACGUUAAACUAAAAACUGCAGGUCCGCAGUUGACAGCACGCGCCCACGCCUUAUCAACAAAGUUCUUCUGACGCUCAUAAUUUCUCCAAGAGAACAAUCAUCCUUAAACAUCAUCUUAUAGCUCAAUUUUAUCAUCAAUCAAUAGAAUUGCACCUACAAAAGUAAAACACAAGUAAAUCACUAUUAUUAAGUGCAAAACAUUGAUAUUAAGGGAAGUAAAUAAUGCAAAACUAGUGCAUAAAUUGCACUCUAACAAAGGGGGUUCAGUGCAAAGAUUCUGUUGACCUAGGGUUGACUGCAUAAUGUCACUUGUUCGCAAUCUAUUAUUUAUUUUAUAUUUUGAAGAAUUUAAUGGGUAAUCCUAAUUGUUUGUUUUGGCAGGUAUGUGUUGUUAUCUCCUUCUAUCUAACAGUCGUACCUAAAUAGCAUAGUUUCAUCUGUGUUACCAUGUGAUGUACAUAAUUUCACAUUUGCCUCAGAUUAAGCUUAAUUUCCCACAAAAUAGAGCUGUCGCGACUGGACUUAGGUUGAUGUCCAAAGAGGUAAAUUAUUGGCAUGCCUAGAUAAUUUGGCCAUUUCCUAAUUCAUAAGUCUACAUUAUUUUUGAUUUUGAGUUGACUGAUUUCUUUUCAAGGUCUGCUUCCUUAACGGAGUGACCAAUGUUUUUCAACUAAAUUUAUCAUAUGAUGCAGGAAGCAGGGCAGGAUAUGAAAUGAGAUCUCAUUGGUGGAAGUAUUGCCAGUAGCAGAACCCAAUGAAAAUGAAACUAUUUCAAGGCAGCAGUUGGCAGUUGCAAGUAAAUGGAGGCCCUUGACAAAAUUCUCAAGCGGUUGCAAUGCAAUUACGAUCAUCCUCAGCCUCAGGUAAUUUCUUCUCCUGCUUUGUAUUUAUUUGUUAUCUAAUUAGGAAGCGUAAAGUAUCUUGAAUCAUUUUCUGUAUCUGGAAUAUAUGCAAGAGUUUCUAAAAUUUUGAUAUGAGUGUAAUGAUGGUAAUUUCUGUUUUCUGUCUGUCAUCAAAUGUUAGAAAACUUUCAUUGAGACCCUUGAACCGAGUCAUUUUUGACAAGUGAAGGACAAUUGCUGAAGAGUGGGAAUGGUGCUAGAUUGGGGAAUAAAGACAAAGGAGGUAAAUUAUUUGCAGUUUAUUCAGCAUUAUUUGCUUUGGACCACCGCCUGAUUCACAAGUCUCCAUAAUUUGGCUUUUGAGCAGUUGUUAAUAAAUUUUUAAUUCCAUUGGUGCUAAAUGUGCACGUGAAGCAGGCAGAGCAGGACUGUGGAAAUGAGAAGGUUUUUAGUGAAAGCUUAAACUCAGGUAAUUCUAAAAAGUACAUGUUUUUGCUGAUUUAUCUAAAUCAGGAAGUUUUAUUUCCAUCUGUUACAAGAUAAAACAGAAACAGAACACAAAGAAAAAUAUUCUACUUCUUCUGGCAAUCUUGCCUUCAUUCAGACAAUGAAACCAUUUCCUUUCACCAAUUUCUUCCAAAAGUUUGAAUAAGUUUCAUGGUUGGACAUAGUUAGCUUCUUUUUCUUUUGGUGCAUUUAGGUCCUAUCAAGUGACAGCCAUAAGUAUGAUUGCAUUAUUGGGAAAUUUUAGGUUUGGAUGGCUCCCCAUGUUAUUGCCAAGAAAGUCCUCAUGUCAGAAGCUGCGGUUCUUUUCAUCAGCCUGAACCCGAACCUGUCGUUAUGGAUAACUCAGGUUUUUGUCAUCAACUAUAUCAUCUUUUUUACUGUUUUGAAACUCUUAAGAUUAAACUUCAGUAAAGUUGUUUCAGUUAUCCAUGUAAGCAGGCUAAGGAUAUUUAGCAGCUUAUUUAGGCAACUGCCAGAAUUGAGUUUGUUUGCUCGAAACUUGUAUGGUGACAAGGAUACUGGCAAGGAUAGUGAGAUAGUUUUUUGUGUGAGUGAAAUUUGAAAGCUUGGGUGUUCUGGGAUUUGCAAUUGCAAUCAUCCUCUGAGUCAGGUGAUUUCUUCUCCUGCUCUGUCUUGAUUUUCUCUCUAAUUGAAAGCAUAAAGUAUUUCAAUCAAAUUCUGUACCAGGAAUACGUAAAAGUUACUAAUAUUUUAUUUCCAUCUGUUCGCAUUGAUAACUCGGCGGCAUAUGUGUUGUGCGCGGAAUGCGGAAUCAAGCGCGCCAAAUAAUUAUAGAAAAAUAAAGGACACAAGAAUUACGUGGUUCGGUAAUUAAACCUACAUCCACGGAGGCAAGAAAGAAUAAUUGUUUAUUUAACAACUAAUAGAGUACAAUAUUUGAGUAACGAAUCUCACUUCCCAGAAACCCAAAUAUACCAAGUACUCUCACACUCUGCAGGAAAUAUAAAUUCCCCAGACACACUUCUCUCACUUCUCUCAAAAGCUUAGAAACUUAUAAGCUUAACAAUUUUGGGAUUAUUUCAAAUGAACAAUUUCCCUUCUAUAUAUAGGAACCGUAGCUCACCUACCACUUCCAAUUUGGCUACAACUUGCCGAAUUGAUAAAUUGAAUUUAGAAUGGAAAAUCAAUUUGGUGAGCAACAAAAUCAACAAGUUUGAAAAAUCAAUUGGCUUCUAGAAAAACAUCACAUUUUUCCUCCAUACAAUUUCAACAAAAUCGUCCCACCAACCAUGUCUUUUGAAAUUUGCAUGCCAUUCUUUGACUUGUUGUGCGCGGAAUGCGGAAUCAAGCUCACCAAAAAUUACUGCAAAAAUAAAGGACACAAGAAUUUACGUGGUUCGGUAAUUAAACCUACAUCCACGGAGGCAAGAAAGAAUAAUUGUUUAUUUAACAAUUAAUAGAAUACAAUAUUUGAGUAACGAAUCUCACUUCCCAGAAACCCAAAUAUACCCAGUACUCUCACACUCUGCAGGAAAGAUAAAUUCCCCAGACACACUUCUCUCACUUCUCUCAAAAGCUUAGAAACUUAUAAGCUUAACAAUUUUGCGAUUAUUUCAAAUGAACAAUUUCCCUUCUAUAUAUAGGAACCGUAGCUCACCUACCACUUCCAAUUUGGCUACAACUUGCCGAAUUGAUAAAUUGAAUUUAGAAUGGAAAAUCAAUUUGGUGAGCAACAAAAUCAACAAGUUUGAAAAAUCAAUUGGCUUCUAGAAAAACAUCACAUUUUUCCUCCAUACAAUUUCAACAAAAUCGUCCCACCAACCAUGUCUUUUGAAAUUUGCAUGCCAUUCUUUGACUUUUCAACAAUUCUCCACCUCGGCGAAAAUUUUCCAAAUCUGAGCCGACUACCAACUAACCAUCCCCAAAGUGAUCCUUCAAUAAGGAUCCAGAAUGGCUGUGUCGAUUCGACUGCCUACGUACCCAAACUGUCUUGAUUUUCUCUCUAAUUGAAAGCAUAAAGUAUUUCAAUCAAAUUCUGUACCAGGAAUACGUAAAAGUUACUAAUAUUUUAUUUCCAUCUGUUCGCAUUGAUAACUCGGCGGCAUAUGUGUUGUGCGCGGAAUGCGGAAUCAAGCGCGCCAAAUAAUUAUAGAAAAAUAAAGGACACAAGAAUUACGUGGUUCGGGAAGCAGUUGGCAGCAAAUUCAUAUGGAGUGUAGACAAUGAUGAGCAAAAAGGUGAUUCUCAAUUUCUUUUUUUUUUAAAGUGAAAUUAUUUGUUAGAUUGAAGCUGAUAUUGUAAGAAGGCCAUUGAGCUAACCUAUGUCGCCACUUGCCUAGAUUGCAGGGGGUCAAGACUCAAAAGAAGCACUGAAAUUUAAAAAGCAUGCAAUAGUUCUUUUGCCAUGUAUCAAUUAAUGCAAGUUUGAAUAAAAUUAACAUAUAUCAAGACACAACUAGAAACAUCAUACUUUCGUGUAAGUUCAUUUCAGAAUAUUUCUUAGAGUUUGUAUAAAAUGAAAAGAUUUUAAAAUAUAAAUUUAAUAUUUGUUUAUUACCGUUGUUUGGUCUAAUUUCCUCGGGAGAAUUUUCAGAAUUUAUAGGACAUUAGUUUAUAAUUUUGAAAUUUUGUAACCUAAAUGUUUUUUUUUUUCGGUUACCAUUUUGUUUUCCUGCUUUAUCUACGUGUAUGUUGACUAAAACUAAUCUAUUUUGUUAAACCUUUACCACUUUAGACAUUGCACUAAAUAUGAGUUCGUGAUGCUUGCAUUUUAUUGAUGCUGAUGAUUCGUUGAAUGUUUUAUGUUUUUGAUUUUUAAGUAUUCCGGAUCGAAGUUUGUGUCUACGCGGAAAUUGUAAAGGCAGCAUAUAAAGUACUCGUCGUUCUUUAGAUUUUAUUGAGUACACUUUUUUCACAUUUAGCGUAUGCUAUACACUACUGAUUUGCGCAUUGACAUAUAACUUAUUUUAUCAUUUUGAAUGAAUUGCACGGCGAGGCUUAUCAACUUUGGAUGAAUCCUCCAAUUGUCACAGUCCAAGACUGGCUGCAGUGAGUGAAAAUUUACCCAUAUAUAUGCUGGCUAUUUUUAUUGGCGACGAAUUCGUUGUAGUUGGUCCAUCUUGCUAUUCUCGGACAAUAUUAGAGAAAAUAAUCAUAUUAUUUCGCGUGAUGUGACCUUCCAUAACUUAUCAAUUGAAUUACUGUAAAAUUAUUGUGUAAGUUUAGGCCCAAUGGCACUUUAGUUCAUCACAUGAUAGCCUGGAUUUAAAUGGAAAACUAUAUUGCAUUGCUUCAAAAAAAUAAAUUAAUGUUUUUAAUAUGAAUAUUUUUAACUAUAUUCAGUUAAAAUAAUAUAUUCUUAAUAUUAAUAUUCAUAGAUGAAAUUCUUUUGCGGAUUUAAGAAUAAAAUAUCAAAUAGUUUUAUUUUUCUUUUGUUGUGUAACUUGGACCGAAAAAGAAAAUGAGCUUAACAUGACCCUCCUUCCGGCACUAUGCAUGUUUUUCUUGUAUUGAUGACAGUGCUCUUGGUGCUUCUCAUCUGCUUCUUGCUUUGGUUUCAAACAAGUCUUUCUCCGUCAAGACAUUUAUUGUAAUUUCAUUUGGAGACAUCUGUCGUUCAAAUAUAUUUCAUAUUCAAGCUGUUGAUAAUUCUGCUUGAGAAAGCCUACAAAGCAGCUGUGUGAUGUAAUGGAAGACUAUAUAUGCAAGCGGUCAUCAGUUUCUCUUGAAUUCUUUCUUGAGUUUCUUUGAAUUAUUUGUGAAUGAGUUCUUAAUCGGCUGCUGCUCUUCAGGAAAAGGAAAGUUUUGCAAACUGGUGAAGCUGAUCGAUAAAAGCAAUGUACCAUCUUUGCUGGCAUGGAUCGAUGCCAGUGAGUAGCUCAUUGGUGGAAGUAUUGCCAGUAACAGAACCCAAAGCAAAUGAAACUAUUUCAAGGCAGCAGUUGGCGCUUGCAAGUGAAUGGAGGCCAUUGACAAAAUUCUCAAGUGGUUGCGAUGCAAUUACGAUCAUCCUCAGCCUCAUGUAAAUUCUUCUCCUGCUUUGUUUUUAUUUGUUAUCUAAUUAAGAAGCACAAAGUAUCUUCAAUCAUUUUCUGUAUCUGGAAUAUAUGCAACAGUUUCUAAAAUUUUGAAACGAGUGUAAGGAUGGUAAUUUCUGUUUUCUGCCUGUCAUCCAAUGUUAGACAACUUUCAUUGAGACUCUUGAACAGAGUCAUCUUUGCUGGCAUGGAUCGAUGCCAGUGAGUUUUUUUAUUUGUCAACCUUUUUAAUAAUGCAUAUGUGUUUCUUCAACUUGAAGCGGCAUAUAAGACGAAAGAAGUGAUCUUUAUCCAAUUGCUCCAAAUUAUUUGCAAAUUACUGAACACGAAUGCUGAUGAAUAAACUGAUGGCUCUAUGUAUGUAUGCACAUGCAUGGAGAAAUUUUAAGUCAGACAUUGACUCGUGGUACCAAAUCAUUAAAUAAUCUUGAAAUCAAAGUAAUAAUUAAAUACAAAUAAAUUGCUCGAAUUGUACAUAUAUCUGAAUCAUGUAGUGAAGAAAAUACAACAACAACAGCCAAUGGCUCAAAUUCCCUAUCAACUUCUAGUCUCAACACUUUUGAGUGUCAGAAGCAUUACUCUGCUACUAGUUAACAAACAUAUAAUUAGUAAUUUGCCAUUCACUUCCCUUUUAGGCCUAACACAUUUUCUAUAAAAGAGCCACAGAGUGAACUCAGCAGGAAACACUCAAUUUCAACCUACGUAGGACCAGGAAUUUCAACCAAAAAAAAAGUGUGCAAUUGCUUAUCCUAUCCUAUUGCUACUAGAAAGAAAGUGAACAAUUAAUUUCAGUGAAUAAAUUAAAAAAAAAAUUACUUCUGCAGAUACUCAAGCUAAGAACACAUUAACCCAUUAAAGACUCCAAAUUGCAUCAAACAAAUUGUUGUUAAACAAGUAAAACAAAGAAAGAGAGUUAAGGAAGCUGACCAAGUAGUAGGGGAGCUGAAGAAAGACUGCCAGUGAAUGUAAGAGAAAAUAAAAUGCAAGAAAUGGUGAAGUGCAGCUUUUCAUGUCAACUUGAAAUUGAGUUUUCUGUUUUUUUUUUUUUUUUUAAUCUUUUGGAUUUUUCAAACAAAGAAAAUGAGGAGCAACCAGGGAGAUAAAAAGGGCGCCAAGGCAACUGUGUGUUGGGUUUAGAGCCAAAAAAAAAAAGAAUAAGACAUCGUGUUCUUGUGGAGACCAGACCUAUUACGUAACGUCCCCUUCAAUACCACUAGUUCCGUAUCUGGUUUUUUCUUCGUCUUUUACAUAGUUUGCAAUUUUAUUCAUUUGAGCCCUACAGAUGAUAUAAGGGACAAGAGCGCAAAACAGAAACUCUGUCCACUACUGAUGAUAUAACAACGAACCGGGGUUUUUAAUUAAAUACCCUUUAAUAGUUUCAAAAUUAUUUAAAUACCUCCUCCCUUUUUAGUUUUCAUGGAUACCCUAACAAAAUUAUUUAAAAAUGGUUCAAUUUUAUUCUACUCUCAGGAAUUAAGUGUUGGAUAGACUAGAAAAUUCUGAGUACAAAGCAUCGCUUGUUUUCGUUGGUUUUUUUUUUGCAUUCCAGUAGAAAGGUUGUGUACAAUUGAAUCUGAUAACUAUGGCAGGAGGUAAGUUUUCUAACUUGCGCAUGAUGAAUAUAGUCUUUUAUUUCUUCCAUUGUAAUUUUUGUUUAAUAGAAAAUCUAUUUGAGAUUUUGUGAGAAGAAACUCAACAAUAAAGUUUGAUAGACUUUGUGGAUAUUAAGAGUUUGACAAGUAAUUGAAAUCUGAAGUUUACUGAAGUUUACGAGCAAACAAACUGAAAUCCGAAGUUUACUGAAGUUUACUAUCAAGAGUUUCAAAACAGUGAAAAAGAUGAUAUGGUUGAUGACAAAAACCUGAGUUAUCCAUAGCGACAAGUAACAUACUGAAGUAAGCCGUGGGGAGCUGGCCUGUUCAUGGGCUAUUUUUCUCUGAUGAUCUGCAUUUUUCUUCCUUUUAAGUGAACCUUGACUCGUAUCAAACCUGUCAAAAGAACAGUUCAUCAACUGAGCUGAGAUUUGCUUUCCUUUUUCAAAACCCACCUGAGAUAUUGUAAUUCCCAAAUUUCUCUCUCUCAGCUACACGAGCAAGCAGCCGCUUUUUCACUUCAUCGACGAAGGUAAGCGAUAAUAUCUAUUUCGUCCGAUUGAUUUCUUGUUUCCUUUUCAGUGUUCGGGUAAAUUAUUGGCAUGCCUGACUUUUUGACCAUUACAUGAUUCAUAAAUUUAUAUUAAUUUUGAUUUUGAGUUGACCGGUUACUUUUAUUGGUUUGCUUACUUUGACUAGGUGACCGAUUUCUUGUAACUAAAUUUAUGACGUGAUGCAGGAAGCUGGGCAGGAUAUGAAAUGAGAAUCUUAUUAGUGGAAGGAUUGCCAGUAACAGAACCCAAAGAAAAUGAAACCAUUUCAAGGCAGCAGUUGGCAGUUGGGAGUGAAUGGAGGCCCCUGACAAAACUUCAGUAAACUUCAGAUUUCAGUUUGUUUGCUCGAAACUUGCAUGGUGACAAGGAUACUGGCAAGGAUAAUGAGAUAGUUUUUGUGUGAAUGAAAUUACGAUCAUCCUCAGACUCAGGUAAUUUCUUCUCCUGCUUAGUUGUUAUUUGUUACCUAAUUAAGAAGCAUAAAGUAUCUUGAAUCAUUUUCGUUGUCUGGAAUAUAUGCAACAGUUUUUAAAAUUUUGAUAUCAGUGUAAUGAUUGUAAUUUCUGUUUUCUGUCUGUCAUCGAAUGUAAGACAACUUUAUUAAGAUUCUUGAACCGAGUCAUUUUUGACAAUUGAAGAACAAGUGCUGAAGAGUGGGAAUGCAAAAAGUUUUGUUGUUUUUAGCCUUGUUUUCUUUGAACCAGCGCCUGAUUCACAAGAGUUCAUUAAUUUGGCUUUUGAUCAGCUGAUUGAUAAAUGUUCAAUUUCUUUGGUGAUAAAUGUAUAUGUGAAGCAGGCAGCAGGGCAUGACUGUGGAAAAGAGAAGAUUUUAGUGAAAGCUGAGACUCAGAUAAUUCUACGCGUUUUGGCUGAUUUAUAUAAUUCGUGAAAUUUUAUUUCCAUCUGUUACAAGAUCAAACUGCAAUUAGCAAUUUAACAUUCCCUUAAAACCACUAGCUACAUUUCAUCUUUGCACAAUUACACUUAAAAUUCCACUAAAAGAAACUCUUGAGUUGCUCGCAAGCUAUAUGUCAUUAUCCAUUGAAUUCUUACCACAUACAUCUCACCUUUCAAUCAAUCACAUAAUAAUCAAUAUACAUAUUGUAAGAAUUCAACAAAUGGAGAACAUAAUAUACUAUAAAAGCAUCCAAAAUUUUUCCAUCUCAAAUUAUUACUAAACUUCUUGAACAAGUUGAAGAUUGGGGGGAAAAAGUGCAAGAAGGAAAAGCAUUAUUCUACUAGUUUCUAGGUUUCUCAUUUGAACAGAAAGAUUAAAUAAGAUAUUUGUGUAUGGCUGUAGUACUACACGGUAUCUGCUAGAAAGCAAAAUACCUUCUGCUGAUUGCACAUUGGAAUGGGAAUAAGUUGGUAAAUAUAUAAGUUACAUAAAUUAUUUUGGAUAAUUCUGCUGGUGAAUUAAUUAUCUUAAAAUCACCCUUUUAUUUUUUAAAAAAUCUUAAGUUAUUUUUCAUAUAUCUUAGGAAGACAAACAAACUUUCAUCAACUCUCCUUUUUUAGCUUUUCCCUUCAAUAAUGUUAGAAAUUCUAACAUUUGAGUCCUGCUUGAGCUUAAUACUAUUUAUCACUCAUUUAUUAGAUGAUGAAUUUUUUAAAUUAUAAAGUUAUUUGACUACCAUUCAAUGAAUGAAUGUCACAUCAUUUAAAACUCAAAGAAAAGUAUUCUACUUCUUGCGGCAAUCAUGCCUUCAUUCAGACUAUGAACCAUUUCCUUUCACCAAAUUCUUCAUAAACAUUGAAUAAGUUUCAUGGUUGGACAUAGUUAGCUUCUGUUUCUUUUGGUGCAUUUAGGUGCUAUCAAGUGACGGCCGUAAGUAUGAUUGCAUUAUUGGGAAUUUUACGAUUUGAUGGUUCCCCACGUUAUUGCCAAGAAAGUUCUCAUGUCGGAAGCAGCGGUUCUUUUCAUCAGCCUGAACCCGAACCUGUCGCUAUGGAUAACUCAGGUUUUUGUCAUCAACUAUAUCAUCUUUUUCACUGUUUUGAAACUCUUAAUAUUAAACUUACAGUAAACUUCAGAUUUCAGUUUGUUUGCUCGAAACUUGUAUGGUGACAAGGAUACUGGCAAGGAUAAUAAGGUAGUUUUUUGUGUGAGUGGAUUUUGAGAGCUUGUGUGUAUAGGGAUUUGCAAUUACAAUCAUCCUCUGCCUCAGGUGAUUUCUUCUCCUGCUCUGUCUUUAUUUGCUCUCUAAUUGAAAAGCAUAAAGUAUUUCAAUCAAAUUCUGUACCAGGAAUAUGUAAAAGUUCCUAAUAUUUUAUUUUCAUUUGUUUGCAUUGAUAACUUGACGGCAUAUGUACUAGUUAAAGAACAAACAGAAUCAGAGCUCAAGAAAAAGUUUUUUCUGCCAUCAUAUUUGAAAAUGAAGUCAUUUGCAGGAAGCGGUUGGCAGCAAAUUCAUACAAAGUGUAGACAAUGAUGAGCAAAAAAGGUGAUUCACAGUUUGAUUUUUUUUUAAUAAUGAAAAUAAUUUGGUAGGUUGAAGCUGAUAUUGUAAGAGGGCCAUUGAGCUAACCUAUGUCGCUACUUGCCAAGAUUGCAGGGCGUUAAGACUCAAAAGAAGCACUGAAUUUUAAAAGGCAUGCAAUAGUUCUUGUGCCAUAUGUCAAUUCAUGCAAGUUGGAAUAAGUUUAUUGGUUUGAACGCUGUUAGCUCCUUUUCCUUUCGUGCAUUUUGGUAUGCUAUCAAGUGACAGCCGUAUGUAUGGUUUGCAUAUAGCUGCUGCUGGGAAAUGUGAGGAUUUCAUGGCUGGCCGUGUUAUUGUUUUAAAUUAGAUGUGAUAAGCUGUUGCUUGGAGAUUCUGUUGCCAAGACUUUGCUCACAUCAGAAGCUGUGGAACCUCAACCCUUCUCUAGAUAUCAUCUUUUUCAUUGUUUUAAAACUCUCAGGAUUAAACUUGAGUAAAUUUGUUCGGUUGUCUAUAUAAUCAUGUAUUGAGUAAACUCUCAGGAUACCGAGCAGGCAAAUGCCAUAACUCGGUUUGUUCUUCAAAAACUUGUUUAAGAUUCUUGACAAAGCUGCAUGAAGUGAAUCUUGGGAGCUUUGAGGGUGAGAGAAAUUAGAGGGUGUAUAGGGAUUUGGGUUUAUUAGUAAGUUAUAUAUGUAUUUCGUCACUUAUCAUUAUCAUUUUUAUUUUCACAGAAAACCUUCUGAUGGUGCUAAAUUUUCAAACACCGGUCCGAUUCAAAACUUCAUAUUCCAAUUAUAUUCAUAAGACAAAUGGAACACUUUGAACGGCUAGUGUCCGAGCAUUGUAGUUUGAUUUAUUUUGAUGAAAGUACCUUUUGACAUUGAGAUUCUUUCAUGAUUUAAACAUUCUUUUUUAAACCAAAUUAUUAAAAAAAGUAACUAACAUAUAUUAUUUUAUUAGUGCUUUUUAAAUCAAAUAUACAUAGGAGAACUGUAAUUCUUAGCAAUCAAUUUUUCACUAAAUACACCUGCAAUAAACUAUUAAUAACAAAGUGAUAGAAAAUACCUGAUUUUUCAUACUUUCUAAUUUCUUGUGGUCCUAAAAUAUGGGCAUUUGUGUAAUAAUUAGCCCAUGUGGAUCUCUAUGCCAUGAGUUUGAUAAAUAGCUAUCAAGGAUCACUUAUUAAGCUGAAAAUAUUUGGAGGACAAAAUUGUAAAACUAAAAGGGUAGAGCAAAUAUGGCUAUCUAGGAUUAAAUAGUAAGUCAACUAUAUUUAAAGGAUAAAAUGUUAAAACUUGAACUGUGAUAUUAAAAAUAUCUCAACUAUUACAUUAUUAAACCAUAUGUUCUAAUAGUUUUUUUUUAAGCUUCAAAAUGUUCAGGAUUUUAGAUUGAAACAUUUUCAUUUGAAAUUAUUUGGUGCAGUCACAAGUUAAGAAAGAAAAAGUUGUCCCAUUGGUCAUUUCACAAAAAUGAAAGCCCUGUAUAACAUGGACUUGAAUGGAAGCCCAAUUGUUUGUGUUUGAUUAAUUGAUUUCAAGCUUUAUCGGAUCUUUGGACCUGGAUACUUUACCGCGGCCUCUAAGCGCUAUAAUUUUUUUUUUUUUGGGAUAAACGGCGCUUCAAUGAGGGCAUUUCCAAUACUUAACACUAUUUUGGUGUAACACCAACACUAAAAAUGUACAUUUUUCACACUAAAUUACUAUUUAAUCUCCAACCCAUUUGAUCUACCAUGAUUGUGACUCCCACUGGGGCCACGUUCUGUUGAUCACCCUCUCGUCACCGAUAGCGCCUCCGCUUGUGGCGAACUUGCUUGUCUAUUUUCCCUAUUUUUCCGCUUACUCUCCUCAUUUAAUACGGAGGCUGCAACAUCAUCGAAAACUAGACUGUCCACUGAAUUGUAGUUUGUCAGGUUGACGAUGAGUUGUUCAUACGAAUCUUAUAGACUUUGAAGUAGAAGCUCUGCAUGUACAUUAUCCUCUAUAUUAUGACCCAACGUUGUGAGUUGUGAAAAUAGAGUCUUCAAGGUGUUGAUGUGGUCGGUCACCAUUGUAGAUUCCACCAUUCGAAGAGUAUAAAGUCUCCUCUUCAAAAAGAUUUUGUUGUGUAGUGACUUGGCCUCGUACAAUUUUGUAAGAGUAUCUCAUAUUUCCUUUGCUGUAUUUUUCUCUGCCACACUGGAUAAUACUCCAUCCGCAAGUGCCAAGUGUAGAUCAGAAAUAGCGUUGCCAUCUAUCUCAUUCCACUUGUCAUCAGUUAUCUCCAUGGGCCUUUCUCCAAUUGCUGCCAAACAAUUAUUUUUCCUCAAUACAACUUUCAUCUUCAUUUUCCACAAUGAAAAAUUAUUUCCGUUAAACUUCUCAAUUUCAUAUUUUGCUGCCAUUUUUUUGAUAAAUACCGCACACAAGUUAGUGUAUCACCUUGAAUAGUUGUCGGUAUGUGUGAGAAUGCACACCAGGAAAGUUCCCAGGAAAGACUGGAGGGGUCACACUGGUCCACUUAAAACUCAGACUCCUUAAGCACUUAUCGCGUUUGUAACAGAACUUUCCUAGACAUGUACAAAACCACACAGUUGCUUUUACUUACACCACUAUUUCCUACUUUGCAGUGCAAAAGUUCUUGGAUCGCUCCCAUCGUUUCUCGUGAACAGUACCAUAUACGUGAACAGUGCCACAUACAUGAAUAGUACCGUAUACGUGAACAGUACCGUAUACGUGAAUACUACCCUUUACGUGAACAGUACUUGACUCCAAAAAAUUCAACCAAUAGCUUUGAUACCACUGUUAGGAAAUUGGUAGGUGAAGCAGACACGCAGCUAAAAUAAAAUUGGAAGAAAAUAAAGAACAAGUACAAAGUGGACACCAAGAAAUUACGUGGUUCGGCUUUUAGCCUACGUUCACGGGCGAAGAUAGAAGGAAAAUAUUAUACUAGUGAUAUGAAGAUUACAAGUAUUGUAAUAUUUUGGCUCACUAUCCAAAACCCCAAUACACUCAAUCUCUCACUCAAUAAACUCUCAGGAGCUUUAUUAUUUUAAGCUCUUAAAAUCUCUCAAGCUUUCUCCUUAUUAUUCUCUCACAAAUUGUAUGCUAAAAUUAGGGUGGGAAGCCCUCUUUAUAUAUCCAAGAUUUUGGCUCUUUUUUUUUUAUAUAACAAGUCAACACGGCACCAUUAAGAAUGGCGAGCCAUGUUGAAUGGCAUGGCACCGCCCAUCUAGAUGGCCGGUGCCAACCAUGACUUUAACAUUCUAUCACUUGGAGAUUUGAUUGAGAAUCAAUCAAUCUCCACAUCAUCCUUUCUACUUCGCCAUAAUCAUGUUGCCUACGUUUUUACUAGGCCACAAGAGGAUCUACUCCAGUUAAACUUAUCAAUAUUGAUUGGCUUAGUCAAAACAUCUGCUAGGUUCUCCUUCGUAUGGAUUUUUGCAAAUUGACACUUCCAUCUUCCACUACUUCUCGAACGAAGUGAUACUGAACUCCUAUGUGCUUUGUCUUGGAAUGAAAGGCUGGAUUCCUUGCAAUGUGCAAGGCACUCUGACUGUCACAAAACACAGGAAUUUUCUGUUGUUUGUGCCCGAGCUCCUCCAAUAAUCUUUGUAUCCAAAUAGCUUCCUUGCAAGCUUGUAUAGCUGCCAUGUAUUCUGCUUCUGUUGUAGAUAAAGCCAGAACGGUCUGCAGUUUCCAAACCCAACUUACAACUCCUCAUGCAAAUGUAAACACAUAACUAGUAGUGGAUUUCCUUUUAUCAAGGUCUCCUGCAAAAUCUGAAUCCACAUAGCCCCUGACAGUAAACUCUGAUCCUCAAUAACAUAAUACAACAUCUGAGGUUCCUCUUAUGUAUCUCAGAAUCCUCUUCACAGCUAUCCAAUGCUGUCCACCAGGAUUCACCAUGUAUCGACUGAUUGCUCCCACUGCUUGUGCAAUGUCUGAUCUUGUACAUAUCAUAGCGAACAUCAAACUUCCCACUGCUGAUGCAUACGGUACUUGAGACAUCUCCUUCCUCUCUGCUUCAUUGCUAGGACACAUACUUGAGGAUAAUUUGAAAUUAACAGGAAGUGGGGUAGAAAUUGACUUACAAUCUUGCAUGUUGAAGCGCCACAAGAUUUUCUUCAAGUAGUUAUUCUCAGAAAGCCAAAUCUUUCUGUUAUUUCUGUCUCAGUGAAUUUGCAUCCCUAGAAUCUUGUUUGCUGGUCCCAAGUCCUUCAUUUCAAACUCCCUAGCCAACAGUGCCUUCACUUCUUGGAUUCGAUCUUUGUCGGGGCCUGCUACCAACAUGUCAUCCACAUAUAACAACAAAAUAAUGAAAUCAUUAUCUUCAAACCUUUUGUAAUAUGCACAAUGGUCUGAACUGAGUCUGUUAUAUCCAAGACUCAUGAUGAAGGAAUCAAAUCUCUUAUACCAACACCUCGGCGCCUGUUUGACACCGUAUAGAGAUUUGUUCAACCUACAAACCAAGUUUUCCUUUUCUGUUUCUGCAAAACCUUCUGGUUUGAGCAUAUAAAUUUUCUCUUCAAGUUCUCCAUGAAGAAAUACAGUUUUCACAUCUAACUGCUCUAGAUGUAGGUCAAAUAUAGCACACAUUGCCAAGACUACUCUGACUGUUGUGAGUCGAACCACCGGAGAAAAUAUCUCGUUGAAGUCAAUACCUUCUUUCUGAGCAUAUCCUUUCACCACCAAUCUUGCACGAUACCGCUCCACUUGAUCAUUGCCAUCACGUUUGAUCUUGUAGACCCAUUUGUUUCCAAUGACUUUUCUUCCAUGUGGUAGUGGUACAAGUUCCCAUGUCUUAUUUUUAUGUAGAGCUUCAAUUUCUUCCUGCAUUGCUGUCAUCCACAAAGCAACAUUUGAACUUUCUAAAGCUUCAUGGAAAGUUGAUGGCUCUCCAUCCUCUGUUAGAAGACAGUAUGCAACAUGGAUCUCUGUGACAUACUCCGAGUGCCACGCUGGCGAUCGUCUCUCACCAAUUGACCAAAGAACUUCUGGAGUCUCAGACUCGACUGGUUCUUGUUCCUCGUGCUCUGGUGCUGCUUUAGAAGAAUCUGAAUCUUCUAGAUUAUUUCCACAUAUACCGGCACAGUUUCUGACUUUUCUUUUACAGUGUCAUCAUCUCCAUCUUUCCUUUACAGUUGAUCUUCUACAAAAAUAACAUCUCUGUUGAUGACGAUCUUGUGGGCAGUGGGGUCCCACAAACGAUACCCCUUUACUCCAUUAGCAUAUCCCAAGAAGAUACAUCUUCUAGAUUUUGGAUCCAGCUUUGUUCUUUCUUACGGAUUGUACAUCACAUACACAGGACAUCCAAAUGCAUGUAAGUAGGAAUAAUCAGCUGGCUUUCCAGUCCACAUCUCCACGUUGUCUUCAGCCCAAUAGCUGUAGAUGACGACUGAUUUACUAUAUAACAAGCAGUUUUGGCUGCUUCUUCCCAAAAUGAAUUGGGUAGACCAGCAGUCCUCAACAUAGCUCUUAUUCUUUUGUAAGAGUUUUGUUCAUCUACUCCGCCACUCCAUUUUGUUGAGGAGUGUAUGCUACCGUGAACUGUCUAUGAAUACCUUCUUACUUACAGAAAGCAAGAAACUCACCGUCUGUAUACUCUCCACCAUUAUCUGUCCUCAAGCACUUGACCCUUUUACCAGAUUCAAGUUCCACCCGCGCUUUGUAUUCUUUAAAUACUGGAAAUAUAAUUGACUUUUUCAUAAUUGGAUACACCCAACAUCUCCUGGAAUAAUCAUCAAUGAAAGUCACCAUAUACUUUGCACCUCCCAUGGAUAUAUCCAGUGAUUCCCAAACAUCAGAAUGAAUCAAGUCUAAAAUGCAUUUACUUCUAGCAAUAGAUUUACUGAAUUUUAAUCUAUGCUGCUUACUUGUAACACAAUGCUCGCAAAAUGGUAAACUUACCGAUUUAAGCCCCGGAAGUAAUUUUCACUCAGAGAGAAUCUUCAAACAUUCUGACAUGUGACCAAAUUUGAGAUGCCACAUCAUCGUUGACUCUUCUCCAUUUGAUACGAGACACGCAUUAGCCUCCUAUAGUGUUUCUCCUUUAAGCAUGAAUAGAUUAGCACCGAUCUUUUCUGCCUUCAUCAAUACAAGCGCUCUUUUAACAAUUUUCGUAAUUUCAUUCUCCAUAUGAGUUUUAUACCCAUGACUAUCCAUUUGUCCCAAAGACAAUAGAUUUUUAUUCAGGUCAUUGACAUGUCGUACCUCCCCAAUUGUGCGAAUUGUACCAUCAAAAUUUUUAUUUUGAUAGUGUCAAUACCAGCGAUCUCCAAGGUAUGAUCAUUACCCAUAUAUAUAGAUCCUCCUGAGAUAUGUUCAUAUGUGUGGAACCAUUCUCUCCGAGAGGUCAUGUGCCAGGUAGCUCCUGAGUCUAUAAUCCAGACAUCAGAUAGUCGUUUUCUACCUUCUAAAACAGUUGUUGCCUCGCUUUAGAGAAUUUCACCAUUAUCUGAAGUACUUGCUACACACCCUUGAGCAUUUGAUGACUCAGGUUAUUUGCCCUCUCUUCUCUUCUGGUUACUCCAACACUUUUUCUUGACGUGCCCUUUCUUGCCACAGUUGUAGCAUUUAACAUUCUUCUUACUUCUGGAUUUUGAUCUACCAUGAUUAUGACUUCUACUGGGGUCACGUUCUGUUGAUCUCCCUCUCGUCACCAAUAGCGUCUCCGCUUGCUGCGAACUUGCUUGUCUGCUUUCAUUAUUUUUCCGCUUACUCUCCUCAUUUAAUACGGAGGUUGCAACAUCGUCGAAAACUAGACCGUCCGCUGGAUUGUUGUUUGUUAGGUUGAUGAUGAGUUGAUCAUACGAAUCUGGUAGACUUUGAAGUAGAAGCUCUGCAUGUACAUUAUCCUCUAUAUUAUGAUCCAACGUUGUGAGUUGCGAAAAUAGAGUCUUCAAGGUGUUGAUGUGGUCGGUCACCAUUGUAGAUUCCACCAUUCGAAGAGUAUAAAGUCUCUUCUUCAAGAAGAUUUUGUUGUGUAGUGACUUGGCCUCGUACAAUUUUGUAAGAGUAUCUCAUAUUUCCUUCGCUGUAUUUUUUUCUGCCAUACUGGAUAAUACUCCAUCCGCAAGUGCCAAGUGUAGAUAAAAAAUAGCGUUGCCAUCUAUCUCAUUCCAUUUGUCAUCAGUUAUCUCCAUGGGCUUUUCUCCAAUUGCUGCAAAACAAUUAUUUUUCCUCAAUACAGCUUUCAUCUUCAUUUUCCACAACAAAAAAUUAUUUCCGUUAAACUUUUCAAUUCCAUACUUUGCCGUCAUUUUGUUCAUAAAUACCGCACACAAGUUAGUGUACCACCUUGAAUAGUUGUCAGUAUGUGUGAGAAUGCACACUAGGAAAGUUCUCAGGAAAGACUGGAGGGGUCACACUGGUCCCACUUAAAACCCAAACUCCUUAAGCUCUUAUCGCCUUUGUGACAGAACUUUCCUAGACAUGUACAGAAUCACACAGUUGCUUUACUCACACCACUAUUCCCUGCUUUGCACCGCAAAAUUCUUGGAUCGCUUCCACCGUUUCUCGUGAACAGUAUCGUAUACGUGAACAAUGUCGUACAUGUGAAUAGUAUCAUACAUGUGAAUAGUAUCGUAUACGUGAACAGUACCGUAUACAUGAAUACUACCCUUUACGUUAAGAAAUUGGUGGGUGAAGCAGACACGCAGCUAAAAUAAAAUUGGAAGAAAAUAAAGAACAAGCACAAAGUGGACACCAAGAAAUUACGUGGUUCGACUUUUAACCUACGUCCACGGGCGAAGACGGAAGAAAAAUAUGAUACUAGUGAUAUGAAUAUUACAAGUAUUGUAAUAUUUUAAUUUACUACCCAGAACCCCAAUACACUCAAUCUCUCACUCACUAGACUCUCAGGAGCUUUAUUAUUUUAAGCUCUUAAAAUCUCUCAAGCUCUCCUUAUUAUUCUCUCACAAAUUGGAUGCUAAAAUGAGGUGGGAAGCCCUCUUUAUAUAGCCAAAAUUUUGGCUCCUUUUUUUUUUUUAUAACAAGUCAACACGGCACCACCAAGAAUGGUGGGCCGUGUUGAAUGGCAUGGCACCGCCCAUCUAGAUGGCCGGUGCCAACCAUGACUUUAACAUUAUAGUCCAAGUUUUCGAGGACCACUAUAUUGUAUUGAUUUAAAAAAAACUAAUAUUUUUAAUAUUAAUAUUCUAAAUUAUAUUCAGUUAAAAUAUUAAAUAUUAAAAACAUUCUUAAUAUUAAUAUUCUUAGAUGAAAUUAUUUUGCUGACUUAAGAAUAAAAUAUUAAAUAAUUUUAUUUUUCUUUUAUUGUGUAACGUGGACCAAAAAAAAGGAAAUGAAUUUAAUAAAACCUUCAUUCAAAACCUUCAUUCCGCCACCAUGCAUGCAUGUUAAUUGUUUCCAAAUUCCAACCUCCGUACUCUCUUGAGGAGUUUCCCAUUCAUCAAUUAUUAUUUUUUAUAAUCCAUACCAUCCUGAUAUAAUUAAACACCAUUAAUAAUGUACCAGCCUUUAAAUAGUAAUUAAUUUAUUUAGUUGGCCACCUAAAAGAAUCCUGCAGGAAAUAGAGGUUAAAAAUUUUAUUAAAUUUGCUUACCGCUGUAUCAUUAUAUAUAUAAAGAGUGAAAUCUAAAUGAAAUUUUUUAUCAUCCAUUCAGCAAACACUUAUAAUUCACAAAUAGUGAAUCUAUGCAUUGACAAUGUGGAUUAAGAAUUAUAACACAUGAAUUCAAACAUACCCUUGUGAAGUUAAGAAUAAGUUCAUACUUCAAAUGAUUUUUUAGCUAAUAAAGCAAUCAGUUUCAUUAAACGACAGCGUUGAAGGAAUUGUGCAAUUUUUUACGUUCUUUUCUAGACAGACGUUACAGAAAUGGGGUAAGUAGAGGGCUGGCCUCAGAUAUCUCACAAUUGUUAGUGAGAUAAAAUGUUAUUGUAAAAGGCGUUUAAUAGAAUAAUAUUAAUUCUUUUGCAUUGUUAUAAAAAUAUUUUUUUCUUUUGACAGUUCUGCAGGACAAGUGAUCAGAGCUCAAUGAAUAUAGCCGUGGAGGCACAGCAGAGCAGGAUUAUGAAAAAGAGAAGCUUAUUACAGGUCAUUCAAGUUUACUUGCUUUUAUAUAAUAAGUGUUUUGGCCGAUUUAUCUAAUUCACCAAAUGUUUUUUCCGGUACAUAUCUCCAUUGGUAUCAAGAAGAGGCAGAACCCAAAGAAACGUUUCUUGCAUCUUCAUAUUUGUGCGCAUUCAUCCUUUCAUUGAGAAUAACCAUUUCCAGGCAGCAGUUGCCAAUCAAUUCGCACGUCGAUGCUAUUCAUAGAUAUUAAAGACAAUGAUGAACCAAAGGUGAUAAAUCAUAAAUGCAUAAUUACCAAACCUCCAUCCUUCUCUCAUUAUGAUUUGAUUUUAAAUGAAUUAUUGCUUGGUAACAUUAUUUCCAACCAUUGCAAGACCUUUUUUUUUUUUUGGGAGAAAUUUCAAUUGAAAGUGAAACCUUUAGACAUUUACCUAAUGAAGUUAGUUAAUCGGGAGGGUGGAAAAAAAAAAGUUGACGCAAGUCAAUACACAAUAAUGAUUAAUUAAAUCCGGAGUGACUAAAACAGAGCCACUACUUUUUCAAAAAUAUCUGCAUUCAUCACUUUCUCCAGCAGCUAGUCAGCUACACACGAAUCAAUUUCUCUCCUCGUUUGUCAUCCAAAAUUAUUCACCAAUACCAUGGCUGAUGCAAUCGUUUCCACUAUCUUGGAGCAGCUGAUUUCCUUCGCUGCUGAAGAGAUAAAACAACAGGUGAUCGAAGUUACACCCCUCAUAUUACAAAUACUUCCAAUGAUUUUAAUUGGUUUUGUUUUUAUCAAAAACAUUAUAUAUUUUUGCUUUUUUUUAUUUAUCUGAUAAUUUUAUAUUUUGAAAUUUGAAUUGAAUUUAAUUAAAAGGUGAUGUAGUAACCACUCAUUUUUAUUUUAUUUCAUUUAUAUUCUCGAUAACUAACCAUAUUUUGGUAACUUAAUAUAACUCUCGUACAUAAGAAAUGAUCCAAACCCACAAUUUUAACUCUGUAUAAAUAUUCAACGUUGAGUCAUUAAUUCUCAACUCAGCACUGAAUCCCAUAGCUAUUACUUAGACUCUAUGAAAAAUUUCAUAGUUUUCUUACAUUCUUUGAGUUUGGUAAGUGAUUUCGUAUAAUUUCUUUUCAAGUUAAAUUUUAAUUUGGUUUAUGAUAUAGUCUCUGUGCCGAAUUGUAUCUUUUAUGAUUCUUGGAUUUUGGGCUCCAACUUUUUAGGAUUUGAUAGUCACAUUUUAUGCCAUGCUCAGAUUGAUUUUCAUGAUUUUAACUACCCGUUAAGUGGCUUACAAUUUGACAAAAGUUUGAAAGGAAAUAUGUUUCAGGAUUCUGUUUUAAUUGACCUUUAAGUAGAAAUAGGAUGCUUAUAACUUAAUGUGGAUGGUUUGUAAAAUCAUGAAAUUCGGAUAGGAUUCACUAGAAAUAUGUACAAGACUCUCCAUAAAGUUUCAUAAUUUUUCAUUCGGUAUGGGGUGGUACAGGUGAAACUUGUGGUUGGUGUUGAAAAAGAAGUGAAAAGCAAGUUGUGCUCGAUGAUGCAGAGGAAAAGCAAGUGAAGGACAAAGCUGUUAGUCUUUGGCUGGGUAGACUCAAGUACGCAUCCUACGACAUUGAAGAUGUGUUGGAUGAGUGGAUCACAGCAAGACGCAAAUUGCAAAUUGAGGGUGGCGUUGAUGAAAAUGCUCUUGUUGUUCCUCAUAAGAAAAAGAAGGUAUGUCUCUACUUUCCCGGCUCUUGUUUUGGAUUCAAACAAGAAGAAUUUGGUUUCAAACAAGUCUUUCUCCGUCAUGACAUUGCCGACAAGAUCAAAGAAAUCAAUGAAGAGCUACAUGAUAUUGCCGCUCAAAAAGACAUGUUUGAUCUUGUUAAGAGUGGCAAUAAAAGUAGUGAAAGACCAAGGCGUGUACAGAGUACCUCCUUGAUUGAUGAAGAAGAGAUUUGUGGCAGAGUUGGUGAGAGGAAUGAACUCUUAAGCAAGCUGUUGUGUGAGAGUAGCGAGCAACAAAAAGGCCUUCAUAUCAUCUCAAUCGUUGGUAUGGGAGGCAUAGGGAAAACAACUCUUGCACAACUAGCUUGUAAUCAUGACGAGGUGAAGAGAAAGUUCGACAAAAUUCUGUGGGUGUGUGUAUCAGAAACUUUUGAGGAGUUUAGGGUUGCCAAAGCGAUCGUUGAAGUUUUGGAUGGUCGUGAAUCUCAUUUAGCUGAAUUCCAUUCUCUUCUUAUAAGUAUUGAUAAAUCUAUUGCGGGAAAGAGAUUUCUUCUUGUCUUAGAUGACGUAUGGGACGGAGAUUACAUUAAGUGGGAACCGUUCUACCGUUCCCUAAAGAAUGGUCUCCAAGGAAGUAAAAUUUUGGUUACUACACGUAAGGAGUCAAUUGCGUUUAUGAUGGGAUCCAUUGAUAUUAUCUCUAUCAAGGGAUUGGCCGAAGAAGAAUGUUGGUCGUUGUUUAAGCGGUUAGCAUUUUUCGGUCGAUCCAUUGAGGAAUGUGGAAGAUUGGAACAAAUUGGACAAAGAAUUGCAGGAAAGUGUAAAGGCUUACCUCUUGCAGCAAAGGUAAUAGGGAGUCUCAUGCGUUCUAAAAAAACUGAAGAAGAGUGGCAAAGAAUCUUAAAUAGUGAGCUAUGGAAAAUAGAAGAGAUCGAGAAAGGUGUUCUAAC